AAGAUGAUCGGGUUAGCUGCCAGAUCUGUAAAAAGAAAGGUCAUACCGCUAUAGCAUGUCACAACAGGCACAACGAGCAAUUGUAUCCCACUCCACCGGAAAGCAAAGCACGUCAGGACGCCUAUUCUAAAAAGGCUACAACUCAAGCUACUGCUUAUGCUCUAUGGUUUCCCAACUCGAGAUCUACGGAUCACAUUACGUCGGAUAUGGAAAAUCUGCAAGUUAAGAAAAAUAACUCUGAAAAUCAAGGUAUAAUUACUGCUAAUGGUAGUCUUAUGCAAGUUUCUACAAUUGGUGAUUCCACUUAUGAUUGCGGGUUUAAUUCUUUAAAGUUGAAUGAUAUUAUUCAUACUCUUACAGUGAGGAAAAAUCUUAUUUCUAUAAAUAAGUUGUAUAGGGAUAACAACUUUUCUGUGAUUUUUGAUGCAAAAUCUAUGACUAUUAAGGACCCGCGUUCGGAUAAGACGAUUGCAAAAGGAAAAGCCGUGGACGGUCUUUAUCAGUUAGAGUUGAAGGAGGCAAGAAGAACGGCUGAAGUGUGCUUUGGAGAAAGAGCAACCGUAUCACUAUGGCAUGCUCGGCUUGGUCACAUACAUGAACAAGCUACAAAAAAUACAAUUACAAAAUUUUCUCUUCCAGUUUGUAAUAAAACAAUGGAUAAUUGUAGUUCAUGCUUAAUGGGGAAAAUGCAUUGCUUACCAUCUUCAUCUCGUGAAUCAAACUCAGCAUCUGAAAUUCUUCAAAUAGUUUAUGUUGAUGUAUGGGGACCGUCUCCGAUUGCAUCUACAAAUGGUCAUCGUUAUUAUAUCAACUUUGUCGAUGGUUUUUCAAAAUACAAUUGGUAAUUCCCAAUUAUUCAAAAAUCAGAUUCAUUGUCCACUUUUAUAAAAUUCAGGUUGCACAUUGAGAAGAUGACCGGAAAAUCAAUCAAAGCACCGUAGUCCGAUAACGGAGGUGAAUUCAAUGCAUUCGAUUCUUAUCUCUUACAGAACGGCAUCACACAUCGGAGGUUAUAUCCCUACGCUCAUAGGCAAAUGGGAAUGGUGGAACGUCGCAUUGUCAUAUUGUAGAUGUUGGCAUAACUCUCCUAUCUCAUGCAAACAUUCCUCACUCAUUCUGGAGUUACGCAUUCUCCACGACAGCAUUUUUAUAUAACAUGACGAUGACAAAUUCAUUAGGUCACCGAAGUCCGCAUGAAGUAUUUUUUGGAGAAGCCCCAAAUUUACAUGAUCUUCGAGUAUUCAGAUGCGCAGUUUAUCCAAAUAUGAGACCAAUAAGGAGGCACAAAUUUUCAUAAAGAACAAAUCAACAUAUUUUUUUAGGGUAUCCAAAAGAUUAUAAGGGUUAUUUAUGUUACAAUCCUAUAACAAAGAAGUUUUUUAUUUCCAGGGACGUGUUCUUUAUGGAAACAAAUUUUUCAGCAAAAAAACUUCUUAAGGAGGACCCCGUAGACAUUUCCCAUAUUAAAUUUGUGUACCCAAAAGUGUUAACAACUCCGAUUGAAAGUCCGUGUUCGCCUCCACCUCCUACAGAACACAGAUCGAACCUGAAUAUGAUCAAUAUAUUGAAGAAACAUAAAUUAAUGAAAUGGAAGAAGCAGCAGAUACAAGAACACAUGGUAUGGUCACCCGGUUACAAAAAGGAAUUUGAAGACCAAAUCCAAAAUAUACACUACAUCUAGCGGCAUCCUCUCCCGUACCAAUAGGAGCUGCGAAGGCGAUGGAAGAUCCAGGAUGGCGUUCCAUGACGGACAAAUUCAAUGCAUUAGUAGCAAAUAAUACAUGGGAACUUGUUCGGCGGUCAUCGGAACAGAAUGUUCUAUCAUGCAAAUGGGUUUUUCGUAACAAAACAAAUCUAGAUGGGUCUUUCGAGAGAAGGAAAGAACGACUCGUUGCUAAUGGGAUGCGACAAAGAGACGGGUUAAAUUAUAACCUCACCUUUGCUCCGGUCAUCAAACCAGUCACGAUUCGUAUCAUCCUAGCUCUAUCAGUCAAGAAUGAUUGGAUAGUGAACCAGUUGGACAUAUCCAACGUUUUUCUUCACGGAUUCCUCGAAGAAGAAGUGUUCAUGAAGCAACCCCUUGGUUUUAUUGAUUCGAAAAAUCCUAAUCAUGCUUGUCGAUUGACUAGAUCCAUUUACGAAUUCAAACAGUCACCUAGAGUGUGGUUUCAUCGUUUGAGAGACUUUGUUGUUACACUUGGUUUCAAAGAAAGUUUGAUGGAUCCAUCUCUGUUUGUCUACCAAAAUAAAAAUAUCAUAGCAUAUUUCUUAGUCUAUGUUGAUGAUAUCAUAUUAACAGGAUCGUCAAAGUCAUUUCUUACUCAAGUUACAACAAAACUGUCAACAGAAUUUGCAGUUAAAGAUCUUGGAGAAAUUCACUAUUUCUUAGGGGUUCAUGUAAAUCGUUCAACAAAUGGGUCUCUAAUUCUCUCUCAAUACCAAUAUGCUCGGAACCUACUGGAAAAAGAAAAUCUUGAAAAUCUAAAACCAGUUCAUUCGCCAAUGGAUAUGAAAACUGAUCUAUAUGAGGAGGCAGAAGGUUUUGAAGAUCCUACAAAAUAUCGACAAGUUAUUGGAGGAUUGUAAUAUUUGACAACAACAAGACCGGAUAUUGCGUUUCCUGUCAACAAAUUUUCGCAAUUUAUGCAAGCACCUUCAGUUAUACAUUGGCAAGCUCUUAAACGGAUUCUUAGGUAUAUAGCCUCAACUCUUUUCACGGGAAUAAAGCUUCAAAAAUCAACAUCAAUGACGCUUAAAGCAUUUUCAGAUGCCGAUUGGGGGGGAGAUAUUAUCGACAGAAAAAGCCAAGGAGCAUAUGUUUGCUAUUGGGGCUCCAACAUCAUAUCAUGGAGUUCUAAAAAGCAACCGAUCGUGUCAAGAUCGACAACGGAGGCUGAAUAUAGAAGUACUGCAGAUACAACAUCAGAACUUAAAUGGAUAAAAAUGUUGUUAAAAGAAAUUGAAAUAACAAUACCAUCACCAAUGAUAAUAUGGUGUGAUAACAAGGGGGCAAUCUCAUUAUCCAGCAACCCGACUCAUCAUAUCACAUCCAAGCACGUUGGUAUGAAUUAUCAUUUCGUGAGGGAGAAAGUGGCAGCAAAAUCUCUAAAUGUUCGAUUUGUAGGCUCAAAAGAUCAAUAGGCUGAUCUGCUCACCAAGGCACUCGCAGGAUCGACAUUUUCAUAUUUACGCUCCAAGCUUACUGGUGAACUGCCGUUAAGCUUGCAAGGAUGUAUAGAAGUAUAAACUAAAUACAUGUAACUGUAAUUAAUUAUAACAAAUUUAGAGAUUGCUAUUACAUCCUCAUAUAUAAAAGGAUGGGAAACCCAUUUCCAAUAUACGAAAUACAGAGAACAGUUUCACAUCGUCAAUAACCCAUUUACUCGGCUAGUGAUCAUGACCCCUAGUCGAGUAAGUGUUUUCUACUCGCCUAGUGAGCUUGAUCACUAGUCGAGUACAUCUUGCCAUACUCGGUUAGUGUGGAUUGGCCACUAGUGGGACUCACUCGUCUAGUAUGGCUUAGAUACUAGUUGAGUGUGACUCAUUCGUCUAGUAUGGCAUAGCUGCUAGACGAGUGAGAUCCACCUCACUUGACUUAAUCAUUGUCGAGCGAAUCGGGUUAAACCUGGAUCUUUUGCCUUCUUAAUGUAUCUGGAUUGGGUGAUCUCCGUACAGGUCAAUCGUGUGCUCAUAUUGUCAUGGAGAGACUUUCUCAGAACUCUCUUCGACGAGCCGGUUAUUUCUAGAUUGGUCGGGUCCUUCCGUGUGAUAUUUUGGGACCCAACUUAUACAUUUAUAACCUUAAUCGUGUUGAGUCUAACUAAAGGAAGAGAGUCUCUAUCAGGAUCCGAUAUCAUCAGUUAUCCCCCCUUGAAUUUAAGGGGCUUGAAGUCAAAAGUAGCGUUUUGGCAUACUCAUCGUAACUCUUUGAUUCUGCAUGCAUGAUCUGUUGGAUUCAGGUAGCGUUGGAACAUAAGCAGCGUUGUAAGCAUGCUUUAAUAUGCUUUUUUGACAGCAUUUUGCAUAUCAGCCUUUGAUUUAAGGAGUUGGCAACGUUUGACAUACCAAUUCUUUGAUCUGAUAAUUUUCCGGCAUUCUGAAUAUAUAUAUUUGAACCCCCUGGCAGCAUUGUCUUGCCUUCUCAGGUUUAUAAUUUUCUCAGGACAACGGCUUUGCAUAUCCAUCGAUAUCUAAUAGCAAUAAUAAUAAGCAGGAAUUUUCAGAGACGGACGUCUGUCUUCAAACUUAGUUGCGAACUACAAUCCCAGCCAUCCGUUUCAUCUACAAUUUCACGCGAUUUAGAUUUUUGUUCUUCUUCCACACAUGGUCCACUACAAGAAAACAGACUUUUAGGGACGGCCAGAAUCCGUCCCUAAUCAUCAAAAGCCAUCCCUGAAAGUCGCCUCGCUGACUUUUUGGGGACGGCCUUGAUAUCCGUUCCUAAUUUCACAUUUAGGAACGGCUUUUUCAAAGGCUUACCAAAGAGAGGUUUUCUUGAAAAUUACUUUAUAUAAACAUGUUAAAAAAACAUUACCUGAACAAAGGUGAACUCCAACUUGAAAGCGAACCAGGGAAAAAAGGAGUGGCAAAAGCAACAGGUAAUCAAUGGCGGUGGAGGAAAAUGAAUUGAAGGUAAAAAAAAAGUCAUCGGACGAAAUUACUCUGGAAUCGAUUCUUCCAAAAUGUGAAAUGAAGUGAAAAACCUUGUUGACCAGAUUGUGUAUAUACUAUAUAGCCAUAUAGGAAAAUCAUAAAAAAUUGAAUUGAUGUCAUUGAUUGGUAGGCUGUAUAUUGGACGGAUUCGGCUCGACUACCUUGUUAUUCGAAUCCAUCGGAAGAUAGAAAAAUUCUAAUAUUAAUUUGAACGAAUUUUCGAAUAUCCGAAAAAACUGAAUUCAAAUAACUUUUUAUCGAAAACCUUAAGAAACUCUAAAAUAAAAUUAUAAAAGUAUAAAAUCAACUUUAAUAAAGUUAAUUAAUAAUCAAUUAAUCACCUUAAAAUCUUAAAUAAUAAUAUAAGUUAAUUAAAUUUAUAAAUAACAAUUAUAAAUAACAAUGAUUAUUUAUUAUUACAUAUUUAUUCGGAUGUUCAUAAUUCAUAUCCAGAAUUAUCAACCAAAUUCGAAUUUUAAUGACGUUUAUUGUCGAAUCUGUUCAGAUAAUUUUCGAAUAUUAUUUUUGGUAUUCGAAAAUCAAUACGAAUAAACAUAUUCUAAUUCGAAAACGAAUACAGAUUUCGAUAUACCAUUUACAUUUUUCAAUCAAUAUAUACUUUUUAUUGCUAAUUGUUGGUACCGGGGCCCGUUGAAUCGGGCCCCGAACCGAACAGGCCUGCUAGGCCCAUUAGGCCAUAGGGCAGGUGUUAUAAAUACCUCCCAUGGUGCAACAGGGAGGGAGAUCGAUUACCUGGAACAGUAAUACUAGAGAGUUGUGUGUGAGAGAAUCCGAGGGCAAACCCACACACCAUCAGUGGUGAACCUGACGUGAAACGAACACGCAACCGGAGAGAGGAUGGUCGGAAGAAGCAAGUUCCGCACAGGGGAAAGCUCAAGGCACCUCGGGCAGAAAGUUGAUCGCGACAGGGAGCUAAGCCCAACCACCACAAGGGUAGAGCGCCAGCGGAAGGAAGGAGAAGACUCAAACAGAUCUGAGUCGUACCUUUCGUACAAAAGGCGUACAAAAGGCAGAACGCAGCCUGGGCACUCGAGACCCAGGAGGCGGCAUGGCGGGCAAAAAGGGAAGAAGCGGACAGGGCGGCCCGACGUAUGGAGAGGGUCGACGCCGAGGAGACGACCCGACGCUUGGAGAGGGCCGACGACGAGGAGGCGGCCCAGCGUAAGGAGGAGAGGAAGCAGAGACGGGAGAGGCGAGGCCGCUCCCAGACCCUCAUGGAAAGAAGGGAGCGUCGCCGGAGGAAGCACUCGGAAAAUGCGAAGCUCUCGGCGAUGGUCUCCGCCCUGUAGAACAACCAACGACAGUUGCAAGAACAACUCCUCCAGCUAACCGCCGACUGGUGAGCGCUGGAGUCGGAUGGAGCAGGGGGAGGCGCAGUAGGGGGGACCCCGCAAGUGGAGCGUUGAUUGCGAUACCCGGAACCGAGAAGCCCUGACACAGCACCUGUUGGAGGGCGAGUAUCCCGUUGGAUGGAGGACCCCGAAGAUCCCCGCGUACAAGGGGGAUACCGACCCGAACGAUCACUUGCACUCCUUCAAAACGAACAUGGAGGACAGAACCGACCGGAACGACAUCUGGUGCCGGAUGUUCCGAAGAGCGCUCGCAGGCGACGCGGUGGCAUGGUACAAGAACGCUCCCCGCGGCCUCGGUCCAUACCUUCGAAGACCUGGAAAGAAUCUUCCUGGCGGCUUUCGCCCACAAACGAAGGAAACCGAAGACCGAGGCCACCCUCAGUGCAAUAGUGCAGGGGGACUUCGAGAGUACGCGAGCGUACAUGGACCGCUUCGCGGGUGAGGUGCAGAAAAUCGAGGGACUAACAGAAAAGGUAAUCCUGUACGCCCUCACCAACAGCCUGAGGCCCACGUUCUUCGCGGAAGACCUCGUCCGGAAGCACCCGAAAACGUUCGCGGAGGCCAUUGAAAGGUCCCACGGAGAGGCCAACGUGGAGGAAUACCUGGGGGCGAGAACACAAGAGUUCAACAGGUGCCAAUAGAAAGCAAGGGGGACGUAGGCAGGGGCUAGCUCCAGCCACUCACCGGCAGUAGCAGCCGAAGGUCCAGCCAGCCCCAGUGGCGGCCGCGUAUAGAACCCCAGCCGCCGCCAGCGGGAACCGUCGAGAGGCGGGACCAACCCCAGCAGCCAUCCAGAGGCAAGUCUUCUUCACCCUGGGAGGAGUUGGAGCCCUUCCGCCAGCGAGGCCCAUGAGGAAGAACUCGGCCGCGUACAGAGACGAGAGCAGGUUCUACGAGCACCACCAGGACAAGGGCCACACAACCGAAGAGUGUCUGAACCUGGCCAAGGUGUUAGGCAAGCUGAGCGCGGCACCCGAAGCACCCCCAGCCCCACCAGUCAGGAGAGCCGCGGUCAUCCCAACUGGACACUGGGUGCCCAAGCAGGAACCAGUCGGGGACAUCCUGACAAUAGCGGAAGAUGGUGUAUCACGCGGCGCGGACCUGUGGGAAGAACGACGAUACGCCGCGGACGUCGACCGAGCGGCCGAAGGGAAGCGCCCGCGCCUGAGGGCAGACAUCAUGUUCACAGAAGCGAAUAUGAAGGGCGUCACCACCCCCCACGACGACCCCCUGGUGGUGACCACCAUUUUCCAAAAAGGGAACAAAGAUAGCGUACGGCUGCACAGAGUACGCUAGGUCUAUUAGAGUAUGACUGGGGCCCGUCGAAUCGGAUCCCGGACCGAACAGGCCUGCUAGGCCUAUUAGGCCCUAGGGCAGGAGUUAUAAAUACCUCCCAUGGUGCAAAAGGGAGGGGGAUCGAUUACCUGGAACAGUAAUACUAGAGAGUUGUGUGUGUGAGAACCUGAGGGCAAACCCACACACCAUCACUAAUAUUCCUUACUAUUAUAUAUUUAGGAUGAGUUUCAAGUGUGCCACGCUCUAUAUGAGCCAUAAUGUGCCAAAAAAAUUCGGUUGUAGGAUCAACAUCCAUAUAUUUUUCGACAGUUCACAUUUCGUUAUUCAUCAUCAACUAUACCAAGUACAACGACUGGGUCGGAUCUUGAGCUUCUACCAAAAAUCGUACAUCAUGUUCAGGAGGCAGUCUUCUACACGUUGUAUAAUUUAGAUGAUGUCUAAUCUAGAUUUAUGUCUGACAACCUACAUUUGUUUUUGUAAAGUUUUUUAUUACAUAAUUAACUAAUUAAUAUUUUUGACAAUGCUAUAUUACACUUUUCCUUUGAUUGAUGGAUGUACAUGUUUUAUUCAAUUUAUUUUCCUACUUAUCAUCAUCAUAUUCCUUUCUUUCUUCCAUAACUAUUAACGAAAUGAGGAAUUUAUUUUAAGUAUGUCGUUCUAAUGUUAGGUCGUAUGUAAUUUUAUAUUUUAAUUGUAUCGAUUUAUGUAAUAUAUUGUAUUUCAUUUCAACUUAUCAACUGUACCUCGUACUACUAAUCAGUAGUAUGUGCACAUUUUACAUUUUCUUAUUAAAUAUGAAUUUCAGUUUUUCAUCAAUGUUGUUACCAUUUCGAUAAUAAAAUGUCCUUAAGUAUGAAAUAGAGAUUUACUUUAAUUCUGUACUUAUGUUAAUGCAUUUCAACUGCUUCGUUGUACAUUACAUUAUCUUCGUUCCGUACCCAAUUCUACCAAUACGUCGUACUUUGUAUUCACCAAUUCCUUUUCAAACACCCUACUGAUGACUAGACAAGACAACUCUUUCUACUAUACCUAUUACAUCCUACGGCUACUUAUUAAAAGUUAUUAUAGGUACUACGAUGAAUCCAUUAAAUAAUAACUUCACUGUCAUCACUUCAUUAAUUUUGUACCACUAAAAUCAUUAUUUAUAUUACGAACGGUUGUCAUUAAAGUAUUUUGAUCCAACGACGUACAACGUUUUGACUCAUUUAAUUAGCACACCAAGAUUUGCGCUAGGGCAAACUUCAUAGGGCAAACUUCCUGUGCAAUAUCUUUAUUUGCGCUAUCUGUGCCGUAUUCAUUCUGACCAUUCGAUCUGUUGAUGUAAUGACAACCGUUUAUUCUUUAAUAGUAGUAGGAUUCUAUGAUUAUGUUUUAUUUGCUGGAUAAUGGAAUGUACUUGGAUGAAAUUAAUGGGUAGUGUCACUACAAAAAAAAGGACCUUGUAUGGCGGCCUUUUGAUGGCGGAAAUCCGCCAUCAAUACUUCAAUAGUUUAGAUGGCGGAUGUCCGCCAUCUAUUCUUUCAGUCCGCCGAGGAAACGUUUUGGCUCGACGGCGGUUCGGAAUUUUUUUCGAUGGCGGUGUUUAGAUGGCGGAAAUCCGCCAUCUAAACUAUCCCGCCCAAAAUUUCGAAUCUCCCCCCAAUUUCCAGCCCGAUUNNNNNNNNNNNNNNNNNNNNNNNNNNNNNNNNNNNNNNNNNNNNNNNNNNNNNNNNNNNNNNNNNNNNNNNNNNNNNNNNNNNNNNNNNNNNNNNNNNNNNNNNNNNNNNNNNNNNNNNNNNNNNNNNNNNNNNNNNNNNNNNNNNNNNNNNNNNNNNNNNNNNNNNNNNNNNNNNNNNNNNNNNNNNNNNNNNNNNNNNNNNNNNNNNNNNNNNNNNNAUCGCCGCCGCUGCCGUCUGCCGUCGUCGUCGAUCACUUGCCGUCGUCCCAUCGUCGUCGUCCCCUCGCCGUCGUCCCCUCGCCGUCGUCAUCCCCUCCCGCCGGUCUUCGUUUCCGUGGUGUGAAGGUAUGAUUUCUUCCAUUUUUUGAUGUUAAAUGAUAUUUGUAGUUUAUGAAUUUGUUUUUGUUAGUGUUUGGAUGUUUAUUAGAUGUUUAGAUGAUAAUGUUUAUGAAGUUUCAAAUAUCUAAUAUCUAUGAUUUGUGCUUUUUAUUCUAUUUGAGUUUCUGAUUUUUGUUUGUUUAUGUUUAUGAUAAUGUUUAUGAUGUUUAUCUAUGAAGGUUAUUGUUUGUUUGAUCAUCAUAUCAUCUCCAUCUGAUAUGAUUGCUUUUUCAAUAUGAUUUACUUUAAGAUUAUUUAUAAUUUGGUGUUAUGAAGUAUUUUCUAAUUUUUGAAUUGAAUUUGUGUUUGGAGUUUUGUUUACUUUCUAAGAUUAGUUAGAUAAAAAUGAUAGAAAUGUUUAGAUGUUUGGAAUGUAAUGAUAGAAAUGAUGUUGAUGAAGUGUUUUAUAAAUGAUAGAAAUGAUAUGAAAAUUGAUGUUGUAAUCUAUAUAUGGAUGUUAGAUAUUUGUAUAUCAUCUAUCUUUUAGUUGAUUGUUUUUAUGAUAUAUUUUAUGAUAUAUUUUAGGUCGUCUCCGCUAGCCACCACCUCCGUCCUGAUUUGAUCCCGUCGCCGUUCUUGGUGAGAAGGGUUUUAUUAAUUAUACUGUUUUAUAUUUAAUUUAAAGUUUAUAAAUAAAAUAAAUAAAUAAAUAAUUAUUUAAAUAUAGAAUUUAAUUUAAUUUAUUGAUUAUUGAUUAAUUUAACUAAAUAAUUACUGUUUGUACAUAAUUUAAAUAUUAUUUGAUUAAUAAUAUAAAUAAUUUUGUAAUUAUCAAUACUUUAAAUAAUUUUAUAUUUUGUAUUUAGGGUUAGGGUUAGGGUUAGGGUUUUUAAAUUUAGGGUUAGGGUUAGGGUUUUUUUAAUGAAUAAAUUAUUAAAAAAUUAUUUUAUUUACUAUUUUAAAAUAAUUUAAAAGAAGUUUGAAUUGAUUAAUUAACAUAUUGUUUAAAAUAAUUAAUUAUAUAAUUAUUUUAUUUACUGUUUAUAAAUAAUGAAUAAAAUUUUUUAAUUACUGUUUAUAACUUAAUUUUGUAAUAGUUAAUUAAUUAAUAUAAUGUUUUGAAAUAAUUAGUUAUUGUAUUUUUUUCAAACAGAAAAUAAUUAAAAUUUUUAUUUAAUCAACUAAUUUUUUAAAUUAUAUAAAUAAUUGUAAUUAAAUAUCAAUUUAAUUAAAAUUUACAUGAAUCUAUAUCUUAAUUAAUUAUUUGCAUGAAAAAAAUAUGUUGUAAUUAUUUUAUGUUUUUAAAUAAUUUAAAUUUUAAAUAAAAUAUUUAAUGUGUUUUUGAUUUUGUAUAGGUUUUUUAAAAUCAAGAUUGAAGUAAGUUUUGGAUUGAAGAAAAUCUAAUUUGCGGUAAAAAUUAAAUAAUUUUAUUUAAUAAAUUUAUUAUCAAUUUAUUUAAUUUGUUGUUAAAAUAAAUUAUUAAAUUAUCAUUUUAAUUAUCAAAUGAAAUAAAAAUAAUUAGUAUUUUAUUAAUUGAUUGACAAUUAUUAAAUAUUAAUAUUUUAGAAAUGAAAUAUUUGCAUGAAAUAAUAUAUGAUCAUUUUAAUUAGAAAUUAUUUAAUUCAUUAUUAAAUUGAAAUAAUAAUGAUUAAUUUGUAUGAAAUUAUUAUUUUUUUAAAUAAUUAGUAAUUAUUAAAUUGAAAUGUUAAUGAUUAAUUAGCCUGAAAUUAAAAAUUUGUUAAUUUAUUAAUAAUUAUUAAAUUGAAUUGUUAAUGAAUAUAAUUUGCAUGAAAUAAUAGAAAUCAUAAUGAUUAGAAAUUAUUUAAUUAAUUAUUAAAUUGAAAUAAUAAUGAUUAAUUUAUAUGAAAUUAUUAUUUUUUUAAAUAAUUAGUAAUUAUUAAAUUGAAAUGUUAAUGAUUAAUUAGCCUGAAAUUAAAAGCAUUGGAGGUAUGGUCGGAAAAAUUCAAAGCAUUGGAGGUAUUUACAAUAUAUUUUAAUAAUUUUGUUGAUUACCGAACUCAUUGUUGUUUUCAUUUUCAGAACAAGUGUAACGAGAGUCAAAAAGACGUAUCGAAAUACAAGAAAAAGUUCAAUGCUAUGAAAUCCUAUAUGAAAAAAUUGAACAAAACUUUGAAGACUUCUGGACUAGACAUGACGCAGAUGGCUUCUACUUCAAAGUCAACAAUACCGUCUGCAUUCGGAUCAGAUAAUUCUGAUUCUGAUUCAGAAGACUCGCUUUCAGACGAGUGUUGAUAAACAAUCUUUUUUUUCUUAUUAAAACUUCGAAUGUUUAACGAUUCUGUAAUUUAAUUUCUUUUUAAUAAAAAACAUCGAUUUCCAUUUCUAUUUCAAAACGUUUCCUCAAAUAUCGCUUUUAUUUCGACAAACAACGAUUCGAACGCACAAUAUAGAAUCCUGAUUUAAAAAAAAAAUUGUAAAAAACAUUGUAUGGCGGAUUUCCGCCAUCUAAACUCUCCUACUAAGUUUUAGAUGGCGGAAAUCCGCCAUCUAAAGCUGGGCACAAUCGCCCUCUCCCACGAAUAGAUGGCGGAUAUCCGCCAUCUAUAAACUAAGGGAACCGCCUGCUGUACUUUAGAUGGCGGAAAUCCGCCAUCUAAAGGUCCAGGGAUAGUCGGCGGACAUCCGCCGUCAAUGAAAUUAACCGUCAUCAAUGAAUUGGCGCCAAACUAUUCCCGCGCCAUAGUUUAGAUGGUGGAUUUUCGCCAUCUAAAACUUUUCAAUUCGCGCCAAAAUUUUCAGUUUAGAUGGCGGAAAUCCGCCAUCUAAACUAUUUUUGGUGGAAAAUGGGGAUGGAUAAUAGAUGGCGGUCUUUAGAUGGCGGUUUAUGGGUUUUAAUGGCGGUGUCCAAGAUGGCGGCCUUUAGAUGGCGGAUUUCCGCCGAGGAUCACUUUAGAUGGCGGAAAUCCGCCAUCUAAAGCCCGCCAUACAAGGUCGGAUUUCUUGUAGUGCAAAUUCCCUAUCGACAAUGAAGGAUAGAGCGGUUGUAUAUUUCAGCACACUCUUCUCAGCGCUUGACAUGCCUCCUCCAAUACCAAACCUAAAUGUAUUCUUUGAGGAAGCGCCGACGGUGGUUGAAAACGCCAAACUCAGGGCGUUCCCAUCGAGUGACGAAAUCUGGAAUGUGAUAAAAGAACUACCAAAUGCCAAAACUCCUAGUAUAGAUGGCCUCACUGCAGAAGUUGUAAAGCACCAUUGGAGUAUGAUGAAAGAUGAUAUUUCAGCAGCAAUACUUUAUUUCUUUACCACUAGAAGAAUGCUGAGUUCGUUGAACCUAGCUACACUAACUCUCAUCCCAAAAAUCAGGCUGCCGGAGAGAUUAGAGGAUUUUCGUCCAAUAUCAUGCUUGGGGGUUAUAUACAAGAUCUUCUCCAAAAUUCUAUCGUCCAGAUUAACAUUAGUAUUUCCGGGGAUCGUGAGUGCCAACCAAACGGCCUUCAUCAGAGGUCGUCGGAUCAGCGAUGCAAUUGGCCUUGCGCAAGAGUUCACUCAGGCUUUCGAUUGCCGGAGCAUAUCGAGGAGAGCAUGUAUCACCAUCGACUUCGCCAAAGCCUUUGAUACACUCUGAUGGGAUGCCAUCGAAACGGUGAUGGAAUCAAUGGGAUUUGAUCCAACUUUUAGGCAGUUAAUUAUGGCCUGUGUCAAUACUGCACCUCUCCCCUCUUAAACGGGGACUCCAGCAGGGAGACCCACUCUCUCCCCUCUUGUUUGUGAUAGUAAUUGAAUACCUCUCCAGGUUGGUAAACAAAUCAGUCAAGGAUAGGAAAAUUGAACUAUACACGAUUGGAGAUGCACUAGUUGAGAGCCACCUCGCAUUUACGGAUGAUAUCACUUUCUUUUGCAAGGCAUCGACUAAAUCCAUCAAAGCACUUAGUGAUGUACUAACUGAAUUUUAGAAUUUCUCCGGCCUUAAAAUCAAUCCUGCCAAAAGCUCAAUCAUCUUCACCAAGCGAGUAAUGGACGGGAACCAGUUGACAGCAAUUCUUGGGUUCCAACUCAAGGAAUUCCCAAUCAAAUACUUGGGUACACCACUAACUGGUAAAAUGAUCAGAUUCAGAGACUGUGAUGGACUUCUAGCCAAGCUAAGGAUCGUCCUUACAAGAUGAACCACCAAAAAACUUUCGUAUAUGGAGAGAAUCCAGCUGGUAGACUGGAUUUUUCAAGGCAAGUUCGGAUACAUAGCACAGAGUAGUGUGGUUCCACAAGCCGUUCUCCAAGCGAUCCAAUCGAUCACCUAUCAGUUCAUUUGGGGAACCCAACGUGAGGUGUCGUGGGAGAAUAUGAUAAAACCGAGAAACCAAGGAGGCAUAGGCAUCUGGGAUUACAAGGCCACCCAACAAGCUGCAAUAAUAGAAAGAGCAUGUAGAAUGUGGGAACGAAGGGAAAUAUGGAGCCAAUGGAUGUGUCAAAGGUACAUCCGAGAGCGGCCCCUAAAUCAAAUCGCAAAAAGGCAAGGUGACUCGGCAAGCUGGAAGGCAACACUGAACCAGCGAGAACAUAUAGCAAAGUGUGCAAACCUUGGCCCCCAAUAUGCAAAGAACUGGAUUGACGUAGGUACGGGCUGCUCGAUCAAAAACGCCAGACACUCAGACCAGCGCUCCCGACUGAUGACUUAGCAAAGGGAAUAUGGGCAAACAAAAUUGGGAAGGAUGCUCUUAAUCUUUGGAGGGUAAAGAGCAGAAAUCUACCAACAAAGGAUAGAUUAAUCGGGAGAGGUAUGAACAUUGUGGGUGAUUGUGAAUUAUGUAACAAAGAACAAGAAUCCAUCGGCCACCUUUUCAUGAACUGUGAGUAUACAAGGUGGAUCCUUAACGAGGUGAUGGAGGCUGCCGGUGCACUGGUCAAGCUCAGCAUAGCAACCAACUUCGAUGAGGCUGCUAUUGAGCUAAAUAGGGUAACUAAAGGGACACCAGCUUGGGGUCUCCAAUGGAACAUCUUCGGAAUCACUCUAUUCCAUAUCUGGAAACAGAGAAACCAGAGGCGAAUGAAGGCGAAAAGCGAUUCAAAACAGGAAGUUCUUCGACAGAUAAUCGGAAUGACCGAAAUUGGUUUUGAUGGAGAUAAAUUCAAGCGACAGAACAUGAAGACUACGGAACGACAAACGUUGCUCCAGUGGGACGCAUUGUUGAUGCUCAUCCAUGAUACGGAUGAAGGAGGUUAGCCUCGGCUAACUUCCGGCGAAGGUAAUUAGAAAAUUAAUUAAUUAGUUUCUUAUUGCAAUUAUGUCGAACACCUUAUAUGCACUGUUUUUAUUAAUAUCAAGAGUAACCUUUACCAAAAAAAAAAAUAAUAAUAAUGUUGCAAAAUAAUUAGUCCUCGUCAAAAUACAGUCACAGUCCUCGUCAAAAAAUAGUUAGUAGCGUUCCAAAAACAGAUCCAUUUUUUUUAAUAUAUUAUGCAUUCCCCACUCCGAGAGUCGAGACACUUUUAUUUCAUCAAAUAAAAAUAGAGAAAACGUUGAUAAAGAUAACAAAAUAUUUAAAACCAUGCAUCAUACAAAGAAACUGAUUACGAACUUCAAAUUGGUGGAAGAUACUGAUGUCAUCCAAUCUAAACCAUUAACGUCAGCUAAAACAUACUCAGACACAUUCAAAUGUUCCUUCACUCUACAUUCACAUAGAAAAAACAAAAUACAAAUAUCUAAAACAAAAACUUAUUUGAUAUGUAAAAUAAAAUAGUAUUCAAAAGUUUGAUCUCAAAUCUCGACAUUAUAAUGCACAAUUAAUGUUUCCUAACUAAAUUUACACAAUUUAGAGUUUUCUGUAGAAAGAUUAGUGCUAGCAGUCGGUACAAGUGCCAACAUCUGGUUUUUAAUAAUACCCAUGCACAGCUCAAUUUCAUGGAAGAUCGGAAUGUUUUGAGAACAACAAGGCUGUAAACUGGCACCUGCAGAUUCGAGAAUCUGAGCAACGUCAGCAGGUGGAUACUGCCUCUCUGUACAUCUCUAACAGUACCAAAAAAAGCAGGAUAAAUCCAAAAUGAUAGAAAAUACGGAUAGCAUGAAAACUAUUUCACUGGCAGCAUAAUUUUUUCAAAUAUUAACGUCAAUUCUAUAAAUUACCUGGAUCAUAAGUAAAGUGGAAACACACGAAGAUAUCAAUUCAGAAGGAAUCUCGAUUUCAUUUCCAUCGGAUCUUUUAUUUGAUAUUAAGACGUCUUCAUUAACCAUUGUUGGAUCCGAAACAGCAGAAGAUGCAGGUUCUUGAUGAGACAAAUUUAAAUGUCCCGAUUCAGUACUCUGGAAAGAUUUCAUUCCUGGCAUUCCUGAAUCCCCUCCAGAAUACAAUUUCCUAGUAGAAUCUAAAACCUCUCCAACCCUUGAAAAAACAUCUUCUCCUUCUUUUAGAGAUGCCAAUGCCUGAAGAGACACAAUUCAUUAAAGCAUUAGGGCCGGAAUAAGGAUAGUAAUAGCCAAGUACUAUAUCUAAACACUUAUCAUGGUUAGGAAUAUUCUUCCAUACUAACAAAGUAAAGAAACCAAUUAAAAUAAACAAAGGUCACAUUACCUGAACAGACAGAUCGACCAUAGUUUUUGCUUUACAUCGUGAUGACUCAACUAUUUCCACUACAUGAGACCCUGAAUACCUGUCUAUAACAACAGAUUCAUUCAAUGAAUUGGUAGGUCCAGUGGUUCCAUUUGAACUAUCCACAGUUCCCAUGUGAGGAGAUGUUGAAUUUCCAACAAAGGUAUUACGUUUCCUUAAAUAAAGAAGUGCCGAAGCAACCUGCAUUUGGCAUAAGUUAGGAUAAACAUCAUAUCUUUCAUAAAUAAUAUAAAGAAAGACACUGUAAGAGCAAUGUACUGAAAGAUUCACAAAACAACUAACCGUAUCAUUGGAAUCACGCAGCUGUAACAAAACCAUUGCAUACUGCUUUCGAAAAUUUUCUAUGUCUCUAAUAGGUUCAUCUUCCUUUUGCUUCAAAGCAACCUCUUCAUUCAUCUGCCUCAGUUCUAUUAGCAAAGCUUCCUGAUAAAAGUUAGAGAAUAUUAAUGAGCUGAUAUCAAGCUCGCUUAAAAUUCAACUAUUGUGUAUAUUUAGUUGUUUACAUUAUCACUUAUUCAUUGAAUUAUUUAUAUUAAAAUUUAAGAUAUUUAUGAAAAUUUCAUAUAACAUAUAAAAUAGUUCUCGGCUUGAUUCAUAAAAUUUAAAUAUUUUCUUAUUUCAUGUCAGAAAUAGAACAUAUCAGCUAUUUGUUACAUAACUACAUAUCAUAUGUCCUCGGUAUACGAUGUGCUAUGCACUAGUAAUUAAUUUAAACCAAACCAAUAAUUAUGAAUAAUGAACAGUUUUAUAUUUUAACAUGCACUUUACAAGAAAUCUAAUGGAAAAUCUAACCACAUGAAUCAUGAUAAUGUCGAAGAUAGAGUCAUCACCAUAAGAAGUCAGCUUAGAAUGAGCUGAUCCUGUUGCUUAAAGGAAGGAAUCAAAGAGAUUGGCAUUCCCCUUUUCUUAUGAAGGUAAAAUUUCAUCAGACAUGAAAAGGGCCUUGCCCAGGAUCACAAAUAUAAACAGAAUAAAAAUAAAAUAAAGACAGCUCCCUUAACAGACAAGCUUGUGAAACAAGUUGUGUCCUCUAGGGUAGCAAUAAAGAAAAACAUAGAAGUGCAUAGACAGAUCUCCAUACCAAAACAGAAGUGAUCCUAGAACAAAACAAUAGUGAUCGCAGAACAGAGGACACAAAUCAUUGCCUCAUUGCAUUCCCUUCAGCCAAACCCAAAUCUGGGGGGUUAGCUUUAACCUCACCUCAUACUUUCUUCAGCCAGAUUGGCAUUCCAAUAUCCCCAGAAAAAUGCAGAGAAUUGAGCUUUCCAACUGAAAUAGUUUCCCUUUUCAAGGGUAAAACAUUUUAGGAUCUUCGACUCUUCGUCGUGAUGACUAAGAUUUUACAUGCAAAUAGACGUUCAUGCGAUGAUCUUCGAUUUCUUCGACCUAAACGUCGCCUAAAACAUAGGGGGCUUACCGGAGUGGGAAUUAGGGCUGUCCGGAGUAGGAGAGGUCGAGGUUUGCCGGAGCAGGCUGGACGAUGUUCGUCGGAGCUGACCAGAAGUCGCUGGAAUCGCCUUGCGACGUUCGCCGAAGGUAGCCGGUCUUCGGUCGCCGGAGGAGGUUGGCUGAAAAAGAGGUGGGAGAAAAAAAAAGAUGGCUGGAAAUUUGGGAGAAAAGAGAGGAAAAUGGGAGAAAAAAAUAUGAAGGAAUAGGGUUUUAAAACCCUAACCCCCUCUUUUUUUAAAAGAUUUAAUAAGUAUUUGGGUUCGACAGAUCCGGCCUAACCUGCCUAACCUAUGAAGGCAAUCGCCUACAUGUGCUAGGUCGCAUGAUCGCCUAGGUGAUCGCGUGUAAAACUACGGUGAUGACUUUUGUUGACGAAUCCAGGGAUUCCCUCUCAGAGACGUGAGAUGCAGAGAGAUUAACAGGAUUGUUGAAAAAAUGCUCUUCUUCAGCAAUGAUGCUAUAUAUAAAUAUCUGAGAAAGAUAGUAUUGGGCGGAAAUGUGGAAUGAAUUCUAAAUAUAAGAAUACAUCUCCACCACCAAAGGUGAUGGAACACUACCGAGUGGCUACUGGUUAGUACCUAAUGAAUACUGAUAUUACAAAAAUAUUAACAAUUAACCAAUCCAGCUAUUAGUAUUAACAUUGAGAUAAUGGAAGAACAAUUUCUUCCAAAUGGAACAGGUAUAACAUAGAACUGCAUUAUUCAAAAACCUAUUGUUCUUCUUGAUCUGCUAAAACAUAAAAUGAUCCGAGUCCACCUUGAGUGCAAUAUAAUCUCUAAAUCAUAGGUCAUCCAAUGGCUACUGGUUAGUACCUAAUUGGUGAUGCAGGAUCUAACACUCAAAUCGCAUCAACAAGACCAGGAAGUAUUCCCCCAGGAAACCCAGUACGUAUCGAAGGGGGGGAGUACUGGUGAUACAAUAUCCAAGACUUGAUCACGACACCAGCAAUCAGAGAUUGAGAUAACCCGGAAUGGAUAGUGAACACCUGUGUAGGCAAUGGGAGGCCCCAGUCGACUUUUAAGGAAGUCGAGGACAAAAGUCGACCCUGAGGAAGUCAACCUCACAAAGUCGAUCUGAGACCAGAUCUGGGCAGUUAGGCGGUUACGACCCUAAUGACCAGAUUACCCCAUAAGAGACCUAUAAAUAGAGGUCACUCCCAUUCAUUAGGGCUAGGUUGAUUCGAGUAAGAGAGAACCCCUGCCAAAGUGAGCCUAAGCGACUGAGGUGUCCAAGCUGUUUCCGGCGAAGUUCCUGGCCCAACGCUUGUUCGAAGCGUCAUCCAAACACUGAUCGGGAUCCACCCUUAUCACUAAUGAGUAAUGAAUACUGAUAUUACAAAAAUAUUAACAAUUAACCAAUCUAGCUAUUAGUAUUAGCAUUGAGAUAAUGGAAAAACAAUUUCUUCCAAAUGGAACAGAUAUAAUAGAGUAGAACUGCAUUAUUCCAAAAUCUAUUGCUCUUCUCUAUUUCUAAUUGAUCUGCUAAAACAUAAAAUGAUCCGAGUCCACCUUGGGUGCAACAUAAUCUCUAAAUCAUAGGUCAUCCCAAGCAAGAUUGUAGUUGUCGAUGGUGCAACGUAUACCAGACGAAGACACCUUCAUGGUUCAGGAUGCAAGCUUUUGCACCUGCGUGCCCCUGAAGGGUAAUACGUCUAGCGCAUCACCCUUAGACUCUGUCUAAAUCGCAAAGAGUCCCCAAAAAAGCCUCCCCACCUCUUGAUUUCCCCCAAUCCGGCCAGCUCCUCACCCAUCCUCCGGCAACCACGAUUUGAACCAGAACAGAAGAUAUAUAUAAAAAUAUGUUUUUUUAAUAUAAUUUCAAGUAUACCACUGGCGCAAAAGCACUUUUGGGUCGUGGGCUGUGCAGAUGCUCCAAGAGUCACAUUUAUAGGACAGCCAGUAGUUCCUUUCCAAAGAGCCAGUGCGAAUUUCACCGAUGCUCAGUUUUUUCUUGGUUGAGACGGUAACCCAACCCAACUUCUUCUUCCAAGUGGGUUUCAUGGAUCCUUUGCCGCCGACAUGAAGUCAGCAAUUGCCAGAACAGUAUUUUUAGUGAAUUGAAAAACCACCAUAAAUUGGAAAAACUAAGUAAAGAUUUAUCAAAAUCGUAAAAAAAAAUAUUUAUUUGGGAGGUAAAUCACCACUGGGAGAUAAUAACAAAAAUCAAUGAGCUAAGCUUAUUAUAGAAACUGGAACCUUUUUAUCAAGUGCUCGAGUCAUUUCAGCAAUAGCACGUAUAUCAUGCUCUUUCGCUUGAAUCUGUGCCAGUGUACAUGGCUGAGUGAACAUUGCACGAUGUGUUGCAAUAGAAACUUCAUUUGCUGCAGUCCUAGCCUGUAUAAUUGCGUCAAUAGAGUCCUCCUAGAGAAAAAAAGAACUCUUUAAACAAAAAUAAAUAGCAAGAAAAAAAUACUUUGAAAGUCAUCUAUUUAAAAUGAAAUAGUAAAAUACAAAUAGCUGACCUUGGCAUGCUUCAUUAAGGUAUUCAUUGGAUAAUCAGAUGUGGAACAAUGACCAUGCCCAUUUGUAGUGUCCAUAUUUUCAUUUGAAGCAACAAGACCACUAUUUUUCCAUUCCUUGAGAUAAUCAUAAGGUUUUCUCUCUUUUAAACCUUCAAAAAAUCUGUCGCUUGCAAGAUUAUGUUUCUUCAAUGCAUCAGGCAUAUUCUCCAAAGGGUUAAGUGGCAUACAAUCAAUAUCCUGAAAAAAUAAAAAAUAAAUCUGAAGAUCAGGAGCCAUAUUUAACAGAAAUGAAAGAAAGGAUUCAAAAUUAUUAGAGAGUUAAGUAGGUAUUAAUAUAAUUAGUAUGUGCUAAUCUAUAGUAUAAUGUAAUUAGACCCUAGUAAUCUAGUAUAACAUCUAGAAUAUUCUAAUGGAUAAACUAACAGAAAGUUAGUUAUUCUGUUUAGAUCUAAUCCUUCCUCCUAAUUGUAAUUGUAUAUAAAUUACAUUAAUGACAUUUUAGGAGGGAUCGAUCAUUUGAUCUCCCCCACCUUUGCUAAACUCUAUCUCCCUACGGAAUUGAUAGAAAUAUAACAAUAUGGCAAGUAUGAAUCUAGCAAUUCUAACUCUACACUUUUAACAAACAUUACUGUUGAAAUUACAUUAGAAUAUAAUUUAAAAAAAACGUAAUUUAAAAAAUAGGGGAUGUUAAUAUUGUUACCAUUAUCAAUUCAACACCCAACUCAGGUUUAGAAAAUUGAACCCUACAGCGGUUACGGUCGACAGUUAAAACACUUCCAUCAUGAAUUUCUCUUGUUUUUGGAUGGCAUGCAAUAACACGUUGCCCAACUGAUAAAGGACGAGCAAGAUCUGUUGGAAGCCCAUCCCUGAUGCCUGCCCUCAAUUCAGUGUAAUGUGUCCUAACAGACUCGCGAUAUUGCUCAAGUUUCUGCCGUUCUACAAAAAGGAAUUGUUUGGACAAGCGCCGAGGUUUGCCAAGAGAACUGCAACAACAUCAUAUGAUUAUGUAAUAAGGUAAGCUUCUUAAUGUUUAAUUUUAAAUAAAAUAUGUCAAGUACCUUCUUAUGACCCCCCAUUCUACACGAGUCAAUCUUGGAACAUGUCCUAGUCCGACAUGAUUUAAGUAAUCAACAAAUUCACUUUUAGCAAACCAUGGGUAAUCAAUUGCACUGUAGAACCAUUCAAAGAUGCACCAUCUACGGAACAGAGGUGAAGACAGACAGUGAGAAAACAUUUCCUGCAUUGAAAAAAAGAUAUGAAUUACAUUGUACAGUAAUGUUUGAAUUAGUAGUAAAUACCAUUGAGCUUUAAAAAUUGAAUCUUAAUUCUUCUAACCUUGAAAUCAAUGGUAGAUUCAUUUGUUGUGAAUUUAUCAAACUGAUUUUCUCCAGCUCCCUCAAAAGACUUUAUUUCCUUUGAAUUUGUUGCUUUAUAUAGAGUUCGCUUACGCCUAUUCUUGCUUUUAGUUAUUGAAUGAGUCUGGAAAGAAACAUGAGGAACUGCUUCAGCCACAUCAACUGUAGCUUUACCUGGGUCAGUGCUUGAAGAUGAAUUCUCAGGUAGCUUUGUAGAUUUCCCCGGUUUGGAAGGAGAGCUAAAUUGGCUGACGCGUUUACUUUUGGUUAUAUAUUUCUUUUCUUCAUCAACUGAAACCUAGAAGAAAAACACAUACCUAUGAAUUAGCAAAAACAAUUUAGCGCAACCCACAAGCAUAGAAUCACUGAUUAGUUUAUUCAAUAAGAAUCGUGACAAAUGACAAUAAUGAAUCAAGUAAUUAAAAAAAGAACUCAAUAAAUCUAACAGAAUACAGAAAAUUCACUGCACACUCCAGCACCAGAAAGACAAAUACAUAAAGUCAAACAGGCACACAUUAAUCCAACCAAUGCUUAUAGCAUUUGAUUCAGCCAAACCCAGAUCAGGAGGUUUAGCCUUGACUUCAAAACAGGUCCCGCAGUCCCUUAUGAUCUCAGUCACCACCACUUCCUCAGUUCUAAAAGACUAAAACAACCAGUUUUCCACCUUUUAUUCCUCUCCUGCCACAAAUAUCAGGUUAUACCUCUAAGUAGUGUCCAAAGCACCCUCCAGCAGUUGGAACCUAUCCUUAGGGAUUGGAUGCGAUCUAUCACAUCCACCAAUCUGAUGUCUCCUCUCUGAGGUACUUGUAAAUUCCCAUACUUCCAUACAAUAUGAUUGAUAAAUUCAGAGCAAGCUAGUGGUAUGUGCCUAGAAUAUGGGCAAUUGAAAUAGAUGUGGCUAGGGAUGCAAGUUUGAGCUUGAGCUCGUGAGAAGCUCGAACCCGAGCUCGACUCGAUAGGUGAACAGGUUGCCUAGGGGCAGCUAAUGCUUCACAUAACUUUAGUAGGGAGUCUCCUACCUUAAGACCAGUCAAGUUUAGAUUAAAAUUAUCUCCUAUCAGGCUUGCUUUUCAGAACAUUUUUCCACAUAAUGAAAUCCCUGGUGCCAGAGGCCUGAAUUACCUCCAGGCUCCUACCUUUUAUAUAUUCAUCCCUAACCCAGAGGGAAAUAAUUGACUCAUUAUUAGACCAAAAAUAAUGAGCUCUUUUUAUAUGGGAGGCAUGUGCAGAGGUUUCAAAAUUUCUGACCCUAACCUCUAGACCUGAGAAUCUAGAAAAUACAUUAAGGACUUCCUUGAUAGAGCUCAGAGACUUUGGGUUGGCCUUAGAAAAUAUAAGGAUGCCAUCUGCAUAUAUUAGAUGAGAGAUUGAUUUGGCACCAUUGACCUGGUAGGUAUCAAUUCUACCCUCUUCUACUCCUUUCAGGGUGACCCUGCUAAGGUAACCUAACCAAAUUAAAGAGGAUUGGAGAAAUGGGAUCCCCUUGCCUCAAUCCUCUUUGGGUUUUUAAAAUACCAAUGGGAGUACCCUCCACCAAAAUAGAAAGGAUGCAGAUUGGAUACAAUUUGAUAUAAGGGUGAAUAGGUGAUAAUAUGUUGUGAGAAACCCAUCACACUUAAGGUUUCCAGAAUGACAUCCCAUCUAAUUGUAUCAAAAGCCUUCCUAAGGUCAACACUCAGCAUACAAUUUUUGGGGGUCAUCACCCUCCCAAAGCCAUGUAGCAUCUCCUCAGAAAGUACGGUAUUAUCUGAAAUGACCCUACCUUUCAUAAAAGUAGUUUGCUUGAGAGAGACCAGCAGAUUUGCCACCUCAUUUAUUCUACUAGCCAAAAUCUUGGAGAGGAGCUUAUAUAUGAGGUUCACACAUGAAAUUGACCUAAAGUCCGCCAACUCAGAGGCGGUUGGUUUCUUAGGCACCAAGGCGAUCCAUGUGUGAAGUGUGAUUAGCUGCUUGUAAAUAACACUACAUAUGCAAAUAACAUUUAGUUAAAAUUUAAAAAGACUAUCUUCUAUACUGGAAUCAAGAAGCUACGCUGGAAAAAUACAUACAAAUUUGCAAUAAAUACCAAAUUAUUAUUAACUAAAAAAACAGAUAUUCUCUUCAAGUUGAAGCAUAUCUAUUCAACCUUGUUACAUGAAGAGACAUUCAAUAGCUCAACAACAUUGCACAGAUGUGAUUCAAGCAACCACAAGGACGAUAUACCAAUGAGAAAGUAUUGACAACCAGAUAAAUAAUAUCAAAGAUAUGAAAUGACAAAAGAAGCAGCAUUAAGACACUUGAAGUAUCCUCAGAAUACAUCAAUAUCAAAUUAUCAAACAAAACUGAAAAAAGUACCUCGAUUUCUUGAGAUUUCUCCAAGCAAUUAGCAGUAUGGAUAUCAAUUUCAGAAACCUAUGAACAAUAGAUGUAUAUUAAUGAAUUUAAACCUCAGAAAAAGAAGAAACUAAGAAAUGAUAAUUAGCAGAUUAAUAUCCAAGAACCAUAGCCUUAAUAAUACUUUUGGUAAUGGAGUCUUCCUUUUCCUUUUCAGAACCCUGUAGAUAACCUGAUCAGUUUCCUGCUUUGUUUCAGAAGAAAUAUUUGUAUCAGGCGGAGAGGUCUUAGACUUGGAAUUUUUCCUUCUAACGACAUCAACCCCAACUGAAGGUUGCAUUUUCUCAUUGUGACUAAACAAUUUAUUUUUAUCUCUUCGAUCAUUUUUUGAUGUUUUUUCAUGUGUUGCAGACUUGUAGGCAUCUAAGUUUCUUUCUACCUCUUUGAUAUGUGCCAAAGAAUCUAUACACACAGGAAAAAUGGAUUCAAUCAGCUGACAGAAUUGAAAGAUUGUGGGUGAGGGUGAUCGAAAAUGUUAUCCCUAUUCACUACCAUUUACAAUAGGCCAUAAAAGAAAAUAAAAUUAAACAUGAUUAUUACUUAUACAAUCAUCAAUAUUAACCAAAUAAAAGAAUAUUGCGUAGCAUGUUGACUUUUCUUCUAAGUAAAAAAAUUGAAAAGUUACUAAUGAUGUCUGACCAGGGAUGGAAGAAAAUGACGCACAACGGUCAAUCAGAUGAUUGGUCAAAUCCCUGGGUUGGGUCUGGCUGAGAACUUUGAGGGAAACCAUCCACCUGACAGUCCCUCUCCCUCUAAAUCCGAAUAUGAGAAGAUUUCAUCUUGGUCCCGACCGACUGGUCCAUUACCCAUUUCUUCUCAACCGACUACCCAACUCACUAUGAUGCAUUGAUCCCUCCCAUGUAGGACAUCGAUACAUCAUCGAUUUUAAUGAAUAAUUUUCUACAAUUAACCAAUAGUUAUCGCUAAUAGCUUAUCAAAAAUGCAAACUUAAGUGACUUUUGACACUAUUAAAAAUAUUUUCAUCUUUGAUCAUCUGUAAAUAUGAAAAACAUGAUAAUCAGAAUAGAAGAAUAUCAAUCCUACUUUCUAAUGUGAUGGGAUUUAUGGUUAACUACCUGUCUUACAACAUGCCCAACGACCUCCAUUGAGAUAGGCACCUUCAACCAGCCUUUUUCAGCAUUGGAGAGUCUUUAUGUAAUGUUAGCACAUUAAGCACAUCUAUACUCAUUUCCCCAAGUACCAAAAGACGUGGGAUGCUAGUGUACCGUUAGGCCUGUCAAAUAAAUGAAUUCGGUCUGGAUACCCCUAUAUCUGAAUUCAUCUAAAAUGAUCCGAAUUCGAUUAAAAUUGUCAUAUCCGAAUCCGAAUUAUAUUUGUAAAAAAAAUAUUUUUACUAUUAUAAAAUUAUUAAUAUAUAAUAAUCUUUUUUUUGAAAAUAUAAUACUUAAUCGGAUAUUUUACCGGAUAUCCGUAUUCGAAUUUGGAUAUUACUCGAAUUCGGAUAAUUAUCGUUUAUCGGCAGAUAUUAACAGUAUCCGAAUUUGAAUUCGUUUAGCUUCAGAUAGUAAUUUAGAUAUCCGAAUUUGAAUAAGCUCAAAAGAAAUCGAAAUUGAAUUUCGGAUAUCCAUUGAAGCCCUAUGUAACGUGUCUCAGUGUAUCUUAAACAUUGCUUCAAACCGUUUAUUGAUAUCCAAGCAAAGGAUACAGACCAAAGAAGGAAAAUUUACAUGAUUCCAACAACAAUAGAUAAAUAAAUACUUAUCUUUCAGUUUAGAGAGUUAGCAACAAUAUCAAGACGAUUCCUAAAAGUGGAAAGUGCAUUUAAUGUAUUCUAAAAUCUAAACUGUAUAUUUAUGUUCUAUUUUUUCAUUUUAAAAGAAAAUUAUAUGGUUACAAAAAGUUAGAACUUGAAAGCAAAAAAAAAAGUUAAACAAAGCAACUAAAUGAAAAACAAACCUGAUUCGACUCCAGAAGAUUGGCAGACCAUUUUUAUUGAUAUAUUAGCCAAAGUUUGUAAUGCAGAAAUUGCAGUGCUUUCAUCUGUGUAAAAAAACAAAUUAAUACAAAUUUCAAAAUUAAUAAUGCUCAUAAAUGAACAAAACAAUAACAUUUAAAAUUUAAAUUACAGAAAUUUGCUUUGCAUUGGGGAUUUAUUAACUGGUGUCUGAUCAGUGGAUAGAUUCUAAUUGGUUGCACCAGUUAGCCUUAAUGGAAUAUUUGGACCAGAUCAGUCAACUAUUUUAUCAACUUGAAAAACUCAAGAAAUUGUAUAAUAUUAUUCUUGAGAAUGCAAUUUAUCUCUUUUGUUCAAAAUUUAAAAUAACUAAAUGGCUAAUAUCUAUUUUCUACAACCCGUCAUAGUGCAGAACAGCACAAAGAUACACUAUCAAAUAUAAACUACAGAUUGAAAAAUAUUUAAUAUUUGCAAAAAAAAAUAUAAACUACGGAGAAGUAUACAAUGAUUUGGAACUAUAGGCAAACAAAUCAAGACAUUCUAACAAACAUAUUUAACCUUGAAUAUGUCACAUUUAGUUCAGAUUGUUCCUUCUUAGUGAAUCAUUUACCUAAUAGUCUGUUUGAUGUUUAUGAUUAUCCAUUAGUCAUUACAAAAAAUCAAAAAUAGAGAAUUACAGUACACUUCUUCAAAAUAAGUUGAUGGAAAAACAAAGCAAAUGGUAAGUUUCCAUAUUUUCGUUGUAGUUUACCAUGCAAGUAUGCAACAUAUAGAAGAAGAAGAAAUCCGAAGUUGUUUCAAAAGCUAGCUAUGUACAUGUAAAGAUGUAAAAUACUAAAAGAUGGAAUUUUAGAAGCAUGAUUUUAAGUUAUUCAACUUGUAAAGUAAGAUUGUAAGGAUUUGAAUGGAUUAAGUAUAAAAAUGGUGUAUAAUAUAAUUAACAUAUUAUCUCCAAUUGUUGAAAAUAUCAUAAUCAUUUUAAUUUAAUCACAAAGAUUGAUCGUACGAUUGUAAGGCCAAUAGUACGAUUGUGUGGAGAUCUGAAUAUCUGAUACUCUUAUAAGCAAGUUGGGGGGAAUGGUGGAAAAUAUUAGAGAUAGAAGUCAUAAAGACAAAAUUGGUCGAGGCAAGUACGAUUGCGCUAGCCAAGGGAAUUUGGUUGAAUAUGCCGACAAAAUUCUCUAUUCUCUUGUGGAGGGUGAAAUGGGAUCAUCGAUCAUUUAAACACGUUCAGGAAGCUGGAGAGUGCAAGUACCUCCUGCUUUCUUAUGCAAUCUGGAAGAUGAAUUUAGAAGUUAUCUCUUUUUCAACUGCUCUUAUUCAAGGUCUCUCCUAAUUCCGUUGGCUGAGCAUCUGAAUUUCAUCUUCUGAAGAAUAAUGAAUAUUUCAGUUCUCACCCAAUCUAGUCCAGAUAUUAGAUUGGGGGAUCUUAUGGAGACUAUGCAAAAAGUCACACAUUAAUCUCCCCCUUGAGGGCUACUAUGGAAUGCUAUUGGGUGUCUGUCGUGGCAUAUAUGGACAAAAAAAAAGAUAUGGACAAUACGUUAGUAGGCCUUCUAAGGUAGUCCUUAAGGAGGUCAUUAAAGACAUCAGUCUUUCCUUUGAUCCGGAGUAUUACAAGAAGAACUGUUGUCAUCUUUUGAAGACAUCUACGAUGGAAGUAUGGGAAAUCAACCUUCUGAAACAGCGUAUCUAGUUAUAAAAUUUAAUGAGUUUUUUGCUCAUUUCUUUUUUACUUCUAUUUUAUAUUUUUAUACUUCAUGUAAUUUGGGCAUUGCCCUUAUUUUUAAUGAAAUUUAAUUAUUUUCAACAAAAAAAGCGUACCUCCAGAGAAGAACUGGUGACUUUUCCUCCUUGAGCGAUUAGAAGAAGGUGUCCCUCUUUGUUCAAACUCUAUUUCAUUUCUUAUAUUUCUGGCAUUAAUCCCUUCUUCGGUCCCACUACAGGCUUCCCUUGAAUCAUCAAAAUGGUUCUCAGUUCCACCCUUUGGUUUCUUUCCUUUUGAUUUUUUCAUUUUUGAUUUCAAAGCAUUUGUUCCAGCACUUUCCAUAUCAAAUGCGUGGAUAAUAUUUUUAUUAAAAUCAUCAUUUUCAGCUUCACGACUUCCUAAACUGCCUUCUAGACCCUCAUCCACGUGAAUACUAAAUUUUGAGUUAGCCACUUCUGAUUCAGCAUACUAUUAUCAAAAAGAAGAUUAAAUCAUUUUUCUUUUAUUCAGAAAAAAGGUAACAAAGUAAUAAAAAAGAACAUGUUUAGAUUAAUAUUUUACUUUUCUUUCACCACUAUGAAUGUCUGUUUUACUUCCUGGAGUCCUUGAAACCUGCGGUGAGCCUCCUCUCUGGCAUGCCUCAGUUAGUGCCAGUGCUGCCACGUGAACAACUUCAUCAUCACUCUCAGCAUCUCUCCCACACUUGAAGCUUUGUAAUUUAGGUGAAACAGUCUUAAUUUUAUCAGAUAUAUAUGAAACAGGGAAUCGAGGUGUCCGUUUUCCAACAGCACGAGGCAGGGUACCUGUAAAAAAUCCCACAAAAAAUAAUUAAUGGUUGAAAAUUUAAAAUAAUAUUUGGCUAGACAUUAAUAUUUGGCUUCAGAACUACAUUCUUUCACAAUCUCAAAUUUCAUUGUACAUAGUACAUACGAUAUGUGUAUUUGAGAAUUGAGGUAAUAUAGAAAGAGAACUUAUAUCAUAAGUUAUAACCAAUAACCAUAAAAACAAUCUAUUAAAUUCUGCACUUUAAUCCAAGAAAAAUAUUCUACACCUAAAGGUCAAUAAAAAAUACUCUAUUAAAAUAUAUUAUAAGUAUGCCAUUAUGUACAAAAUUAUUCAGUCUAAUACCUCCAGUUGAAGAAGAUGUUAACUGAAGUAGAUCAGGACAGCGUCCAGUCGAUCCUUUGGAAUAGUUACCUCGAAGCUUUCCCCGGCCACGUUUUUGUGACUUGUUAGAAAUCUUUAACUCGUCAAUGCUCUCUCUUUCACUCUCACUUCCCUCCUGUCACAUGUAAAACCACUUACUUUGAUAUUGUGAUAGCAAAGAAAAUCAUAAAUCAAUAUGUAUCACCAUUUUAAAAGGUUGAAAUUUCAAUUUUUUAAGAUGCAAGAAACUUUAAUAUAAAAACAAAAACAAAAUGAAACUAAUUAAGAUUAAGAUUACAAAAUAUAAAUCGUAUAAUUUAAAAAAUGCUAUUUUUUCUCUAAUUUGUCAUCUCUAUCAGUUGAGUGAAUUUAUCAUGGUAUUCAAUUAAAAAUACAACUUUUAAUAUGCUAAUGAAUCAGGUAAAUAAUAGAUGAACCUAAGUUUUAAAAAGUGAUGAAUCAAUAAGCAAUUAAGCAUCAAAGUCUGAUUCCAAUUAGCACAAUGACAGACUUCGACACCCCUAAGCUUUCCCUAGGCACUAACUAGGCCCACCCUCUUAUCGUCUUGGUGCAUGGAGCCAUGGACUUCUCAAAAUAUACGGUAAGAUUGAAAUACUUGGUAAUUUUUUUAAUAAUUUAGUUCAAUGUUUCCAAGCUAACCAGAAUAUUGUAGUGAUCAGUCAUCAUUGCUACCAGGCCACUAGCAGAUGCCAUUCCAUCAGGCAAAGAUAAAUAUGCCUGAAAAUAAAGAAACGUCCAAUAUAUUAUCUGGGGAAAUAGAAAUGACAAAAAAGUAACUGUAAAAAAUAAAAUAAAAUACUAGAAUUCAAUGGUGUUAAUGAGAGGAAUAAUGAAAAUAUAUAAAAAACGACAUGCAAUGAAGAUAUUUUAUUUUCAUUUUGCACAUACGAUAACAAAUAAACACCACACCACAAUGAGAUCUUAAAUCCAAACACACAAGAAAAAUCUGGCAGGACUUGAGCAGAGAGAAAUCAGAAAGCACUGUACACCAUCUUCAAAGUCAAACCAAUUGGGAAGAAAAGGUGUGAUCGAAUCCGCAAGGAAGAGAAUAAUAAUUGGGAUGUAGUUUGGAAAAGAGUACAAUCUGACUGCAGAUCGGUUUUAUAAAAACAUAAAAUCAAUGGACUUCAUGGAGAGAUUCUCCUUAACUCCCUGGCAAAAAAAUACCUGGCAACUAGGUGGGAUAGACUGAUCAAACAAGGGUACACAUAGCAUAGCUGCAUAGUUCUGUUUAGUCAGGGUGCAUGGUCAGUUAGUUGUAUGCAAAUGAAUUCAUAAAUUUGUGUAUAAUUGAUGUAGGAGAAGACAGGGAUUUAGGAAAAACAGGUCGAAGAAGGGAGAAUGAUCUUCUUCGUAGGGUGUAGAAACUUGGAAUCCACCAAGAAUUCUAGGUUUAGAUCUAGAAUUAGAGAAAAAGGAAACUGUAGAAAAUAGAAAUAACUGGAAGAAGAAAAUAAGGAAUACCUUGAUUUGAUAAAAUAAUUCAAUGCCCCUUUCCCUCCAUGGCCUAUUAUAUUUAUACUCACAUCAAUGGUAAUAGGCAACCCAUUUGAUGUGAGUUUAAGGCUCCUUAAGAAAAACGUGGGUUGGCUUGACCAAGGUCAAACCAACUAGGGCCCACUUGACUAUCAAUAACUUCUCCUGCAUCAUGCACCCCUUCAAUAGGUGCAAUUGUCCUCAAUUGCUCAUCAGAUUCUGCUGCAGGGAAGUAUUUCCUUAUGUCACUGACAUUAAAAGAUCUUGACAUGUUGUACUCAUCAGGUAGUUUUAUGACAUAAGCAUUGUCAUUUAUCUUUUUCAGCACUUUGAAAGGUCCAUGGUUUCUUGGUUUCAGCUUUGAAUAGGUUCCAGUAGGUGUUCUGUCCUUGCUAAUGUGAACCAUAACUAACUCACCUACUAAGAAUUCUUGUUUUCUUCUUUUUUUAUCAACUGAGGCUUUAUACUUGCUGUUUGACUCAAUUAAGGCCUCUUCCACCAUUUUAUAAAUUUCUUGUGCUUUGUUUACCAUGCCUUCUACUACUGGUUGGUUUGAUGGAAUAUCAGAUAUGUCUACUGCCUGCUUAGGUUGGUGUCCAUAGGCUGCUACAAAUGGGCUGAAACCAGUUGAUCUGUUCACCAUAUAAUUAAAUGCAAAUUCAGUCUGUGGUAAACACACAUCCCAUUGUUUCUUAUUUUCUCCCACCAGUGUUCUUAAUAAAUUUCCAACAGAUCUGUUUAUAACCUCAGUCUGUCCAUCAGAUUGUGGAUGGCAAGUUGUGCUGAAAUUUAACUUAGUGUUGAAUCUCUCCCAUAAUGUUUUCCAGAAAUGCGAUCGGAACUUUGUGUCUCUGUCUAACACUAUCGUUUGAGGUACUCAAUGUAGUCUAACCACUUCUUUGAAGAAUAAUUGUGCUAUAUAAACUGCAUCACUACUUUUCUUGCAUGGUAGAAAGUGUGUCAUUUUAGAAAAUCUAUCUACCACUACAAAUAUUGAAUCAAAUCCUGUUUUUGUUUUUGGCAAGCCCAAAAUGAAGUCCAUUGACAAGUCAAUCCAUGGUUGAUUAGGGACUGGAAGUGGAAUAUAAAGUCCAGUAUUUUGCUUUGUUCUCUUGGACUCUUGACAGAUUUUGCAACUCUGAAUGAAUAGUUCUGUUUCAGUGCUCAUCUUUGGCCAAUAAAAUCUGUUUUUCAGUUCAAUUAGUACCUUGUCCCUGCUCAAAUGUCCUGCCAAACCUCCAGCAUGUAAAUUUGCUAUUAACUGUUUUCUUAGGGGACUAAUUGGGAUGCAAAGUCUGUCCUUGAAGAAGAGAAAACCUUCCUGAACUCUGAAAUUAUUUUCUGCCCUUCCUUCUAUACAAGCUUUCCAGUGCUGUCCAAAAUCAGCAUCAGCAUCAUAAUUAUUUUUUAUUUUUUUCAAACUCUUGUACUUUGGCUCUUAGAAUUGUUAGCAAGUUGUCUUUUCUGCUAAGAACAUCUGCAACUCUGUUGCUGGUUCCAGUCCUAUGCUUUAGGGUGAAAUGAAAUCUUUGUAGAAAGGAGAUCCAUCUGGCGUGCAUCCUAUUGGAACUUUUUGAAUUAUUCACUUGCUUUAGUGCCAUGUGGUCUGUUUUUAUUACGAACUCAUUCUGUAAAAGGUAAGGCUCCCAUGCUUUACAAGCUCUUACAACUGCAUAUAAUUCUUGUUCAUAUGUAGUCCAGUUUCUCCUUCCUUCUGAUAACUUCUCACUGUGGAAUGCUAUUGGGUGGCCUUCUUGAGUGAGAACAGCCCAUAUUCUUGUUAUACUUGCAUCACAUUCAACUUCAAAAACUUUUGAAAAAUCAGGAAGUUUAAGAACAGGUGUUUGCUGUAAUUUCUUUUUUAGAAUUAUAAAGGCCUCCUCUGCUUGGACAGUCCAUUGAAAAAUACCUUUCUUGAGGCAGUUUGAGAUUGGAGCAGCCACUGUACUAAAAUCUUUUAUAAAUCUUCUAUAGAAUGAUGCUAACCCUAAAAAACUUCUUACUUCAGUCACACUAGAUGGGGAUGACCAGCUGUCCAAUGCUUCUGUUUUCUUUGGGUUCACCUUUAAACCUUGAGAUCCCACUAUGUAGCCAAGAAACUGUACUUCAUGCACUAAGAACUCACAUUUUUGUAGAUUUAAUUUGAGGUGAUUAUCAGCCAGUAGCUUUAAAACUUUCUUUAGUUCUUCCAUAUGUGACUCUUUAGCCUUGCUAAAUAUGAGAAUGUCAUCGAAAUACGCAACAACUGACUUGUUUAUUAGAGGCUCCAGUACUUCUGUCAUUAACCUCAUAAAGGUUGAAGGCGCAUUAGACAUACCAAAUGGCAUAACUAGCCAUUCAUAUAACCCUUUGCUUGUCUUAAAAGCUGUCUUCCAUUCAUCUCCUUCCUUGAUCCUGAUUUGAUGGUAUCCACUCUUAAGAUCUAAUUUCGUAAAAUACUUAGAUCCCACUAGAACAUCCAGUAAUUCUUCUAGUCUUGGAAUUGGGAACCUGUAUUUUACUGUUAUUCUGUUGAUAGCUCUACUAUCAACACAAAUCCUCCACUCCCCAUUCUUCUCAGGUACUAAUAGUGCGGGAACUGCACAAGGACUAAUUGAGUUUCUGAUGAGUCCUUCUUGUAGUAAUUCUUCAACUUGCUUUUGUAAAAUUUCUGAUUCAGCCGGACUCAUUCUGUAAUGAGGAAGAUUUGGAAGUGAUGCUCCAGGUGUAAGAUCAAUCCUAUGAUCUAUUAAUCUGUGUGGUGGUAAUUCUGAUUUAUUUUUCUCUGAAACUGUGGGAAAUAGCCUCAAUAAUUCUGCCACUGAUGCUGAGAUGCAUGCUUUAGUUGGUGCAGCUACCUCUUUCAGAAUUACUGCUAAUCCUUCCUGUUCAACACUUAAUAAUCUUUUAAAUUCUUUCUGGACAGAAAACAGUAAAUUAGACUUUUCAGAUGUGUUUCCUUCAGAUGGAAGUGGAAGCAAUGCUACUUUCAGAUCAUCUACUUUAACUACAUACUGAUUGGUUCUGCCAUUGUAGUGUGCACUUACAUCAUAUUGUCAUGGUCUUCCUAGCAGUACAUGGGCUGCAUCCAUGUUAACCACAUCAUAAAUAAUUUCAUCCUUGUACCUUCUACCGGUGGACAAAGGUACUUUGCAACUCUUAUCCACAGUUACUGAAUUCCCACUGUGAAUCCAUGGUACACUGUACGGAUUUUUAUGUUCCUUCACCUCCAAACCUAAUUUCUUCACUGCCUUCCACGAAAUCAGAUUAUCAGUCGAUCCAUUAUCUAUUAUAAUAUCGCAGACCCUUCCUUUAAUUGUGCCUCUAGUCCUGAAUAAAUUAUUCCUUUGACUUUGCGGCUCUUGUUGAGGUGUGUGGCAAACUCUGUGGAUGAUGCAUGACAUUCUCUGUCCUUCAUCUGGAGGUGCUUCAUCAUCAUAUUCACUAUCUGAACUAUCUUCCUCCAUUGGUGCUUUUCCUUUGUCAUCGACUACAUGUGCACUUCCUCUUUUUGGACAAGUGUUAGAUUUAUGACCCCAUUCACCACACAUGUAACACUUAAUAUUAGUGUUUCUUUGAUCGUAGUUUCUGUUAAUUCUAACAUCUUGCUGACUUUCAGGAUUAAUUUUUCUCUCUUCAGGUGUUGGUAGUAUACCCUUCUUAUUGGGUGGGUUGAAUCUAAUGUUGGAUGGGCAUCCAACAUUUUUUAUAAAUUUUUCAGCUCUUCUGUCCAACUGAUCAGCCACUCUGAUGGUGUCCAUGAGGGUGUAUUGAGGCUGCAUAAUUAAUUUUUUCUGAAAUUUUCCUUUUAACCCUUGCACAAAUCUUGCUAUCAGUUGUUCCUCUAUUUCAUUCAAAUUAUUUCUCGAAGAUAGACGAUGAAAUUCUUUAGCAUAUUCACUUACAUUUCUAUUACCUUGGCAGCAUUGGUGGUAUUGCGUAAAUAGGAUGCCCUCGUAGUCACUAAGAAGAAAUCUUUGCUUUAACAAUUUUUUUAAUUUUUCCCAAGUCCGGACAGGUCUUUGAUUGGAUCUCCUCCUGUUAGUUACUGUCUGAUCCCACCAGGCAGAUGCAAUGCCUUUAAACCUCAGCACUACCAACUUCAUUUGUUGGUCUUCAUCGAUUUCCAUGUAGUCGAAAAAUCUUUCCACUUCAAUUAUCCACUCUAGAAAUUCUUCAAUGUGUGUAGAGCCAUUGAAUGUGGGUAAGUCCAUUUUCAAUUUACAAUUAUUUUGAUUUCUGUUGAAAUCUCUUGGGGCAGCCUCAUAAUAUUCAUUUUCGUCCAUUUGUUCUCUCCUUGUUCUUUGAUAGCGUGGUCUCCUUUGGUAUGCUUGUUGAUGAGGAAUUUUUAGUCCUUCAUAUUCAUCCACAUAUGCCUCAGAAAAUUGAUCCAUGUAUGUAUUAUUUCUCCUCUGAAAAUUUGUUUGUUGCAGGUCCGCCGGCCGGUGCUCCGGUGAUCGUCGAUUAAGAGGGUAACCGUCCGUUUGUUGGCGGUUUCUUCUCUGAUAUGUUCUUAGAUGAUCUUCUGGUGGGCGACGAUGAUAUGUCCCCCCUAUUUCAAGUAUUUCUGGCUGAUUGGCGUUCCUUCCAUCCGGCGGUUGUCGGAUUUCCGGUUGCUCCAAGGGAAGCAACGACCUACGUAGGUCUUGGAGCGCAUUGCUGCUGUCAAGUCUGCAAUGGCCUUGUUAGUCGCCUCCCACUCUUGUCUUGAAACUCUGUCGUCGGCCGUCUUCUCCAAAAAAAAAAAUCGUGAACCUUGAAUCUGAUACCAGCUGAUGUAGGAGAAGACAGGGAUUUAGGAAAAACAGGUCGAAGAAGGGAGAAUGAUCUUCUUCGUAGGGUGUAAAAACUUGGAAUCCACCAAGAAUUCUAGGUUUAGAUCUAGAAUUAGAGAAAAAGGAAACUGUAGAAAAGAAAUAACUGGAAGAAGGAAAUAAGGAAUACCUUGAUUUGAUAAAAUAAUUCAAUGCCCCUUUCCCUCCAUGGCCUAUUAUAUUUAUACUCACAUCAAUGGUAAUAAGCAACCCAUUUGAUGUGAGUUUAAGGCUCCUUAAGAGAAACGUGGGUUGGCUUGACCAAGGUCAAGCCAACUUGGGCCCACUUGACUAUCAAUAACUUCUACUGCAUCAAUAAUUGUCAUUUAUUUGAAUUUGCUUUUCAAUCACGUAUCAUGUGUGUAAUGUUAGUUUUACUGUUGGUUUCGUAUAAAUGGAAGAAUAAAAAUCCCUUUAGAAAAAGAAAAAAAGAUGUAACAAAUAACAUUAUAACAAGUUAACAAUCUCACCUGAUUCAUUUUAUAAAGAGCAUCCACCAUGUCUACGGAACGGUUACGAAUAAGUGAUGCAACCUAAAAACAUUAAUUUUCAAAUUAAUGAGAAAAAAAAGGCAAAAUCCAAGGUCGGAUACCAUAAGAAAGAAAGAAAAUAAAUAAAUAAAUGAAAUGGUGGGGCGGAGAAUUUCCAAUCCCCUCCAUGAAUUCCAUUAUAUAAAGUUUGUGUUGUACCGAAAAUUAGUUACAACGCCCACUGCGGCUUACCAAUUCAAACCACAAAUAAGAACUAUGACUUAACUAAUUACAAUAAUCUGUUUCGAUCACUAAUAAUAAACAUAUAGAAAAAUUAACCUUCUUCCAAUCUUUCCCAUGUUUCCGAUAUGAUUCAUAAAAUUGCAUGAGUUCUUCUGGACUCCAUUGAUAACCAAGCAUAUCAGACCAUUUCCUCUUCUGCACAGGGAAAAUAUACAACAGUAAUCCGAAUGUUAUGCCACAACAAAAAUCAUACGCUUUGCAUCAAUGAUUUCAAAUCAUAUCGAUCGAAUAAUAGCCCACUCAAUCUCCUCGAUAUUUGCUUUUAAACCCAUCGUUAAGAAGUAAGAAAACAUAUUAGGUAGGAAAGCUAAAGCUUGCAAGGUGCAAUUUGGAAGAAGAAAAAAGAUGGAAAACAAUAUUCAGAAGCCAAAUGAUGUAAGAUAACACAAACUAAAAAUGUUAAAAAUUUAAAAUUGAACAGCAAUUUCACUCUAAACAAAACUCACUCGUCCUUUUCCUUUGCUUGCAUUACCCCCAGCCCUUUCUGGAGAUUCCUCAUUUGAUUUAGCAAAUUUCUUGUUCGGGUUUCUCACUUUUCGUGUAGAAGUCAUCGAUGAAAAUCAGUUUCGUCUGAUCAAAAACCAAAUCAAUAGAGUCAAAAAUUAAUAAUCAAUCUUAGAUUCUUAGAAUGAAUAACUGAACGAAAAAACAUAUACUUCUCAAAAUACCCUAAGACCCCAACACAGAAUCAAAAACAGAAGAACGUAAUAAAUUUAAAAUCCACAAACCAAAACCAAACACAAUUAAAACCACCGAAAAACACACACACAAAACAAGCAUUGAAAUAGCAUGAGAGGGAGAGAGAUCCUCCUAUUUCAAAGUUCAAAUUGAUUCGAUGCAAGAUAUGGAGAAAUUACAAUCGGAUUACCCGGAUGCCAAGAUGUAGCUCGAGAGAUUGUCUGGUUGUGCAAAGAAAGUAGAUCUAAUAUUCCAAGUAUCCAACAGCUGAAAAUCGGGAGGGACAAGGGUACCUGAGAAACCCUAUCAUUUGGAGGACGUGUAAAUAUUUGGGGGGGAGAAUGAAAUCGGUUUGGCGGGGAAGAAUGAAGAUAUGAGGUGAGAGAAUACGAAUCUAAAAAAUAAAUAUAACAAAUUACAGACGGAGGAGAUCAAUCUGAAGGGAAAAUUCAGAGGACGUUUAAUUUUUGAAAAUGUGAUUUGAAUGAAUGGAGAUAUUCAAUUUUCGUAAAUCGUUGCUACAUACAUAGAAACAACCUAACAAAGCACGAAUUUAGGAAAUUUAAAUUUUAAAAAACAUAUUUUUAGUGGAGGUAUAACACAUAGUCAUAUAGAUUGGGUUUGACCUCGCACCCUCGCUUCACCUAUUUGGAAUCAUGUGAUCAGUUUGAUAAGAAAAGAAAAAUGAAACUCAUUCAAACACACAUCCAGUCAUCCAUUUGUAAAAGAAAUAUUUUUUAUGGGUUUUUUACGAUUUUCAUUUUUAAGGCAUCUUAUUAUAAUAAAAUAUUUUUCAAGUUUGUUUAUGUAAAUUUUGAGGAGAGUUUUUAAUUUCUAUGUUUUAAAUAAAAAUAUAUUUAGUAUCAGUGAUUUUCAGAAAGCUGGUAAGUCCAAAAGAGUUUGUCAAAUCAUAAUCGUUCAUCUCUAUUUAAUUAAAAAAUAUAUAUCUUUCAUCUACACCAAUCCCUAAACGUACUAUUCUUUUUUUUACACCUACCUUACACUAUCGUCUAUUACUUUACAAUUGUAUUAUCUGUUACACUCUUUCUUUUUCUUCUUCUCUCUUCCUCUCUUCUCGUCUUCCUCAUUUUCUAGGUUUUUUCGCUCGAUUUUUUUAUAGAGAAACUUACAUAUUCGUGCAUUUAUCACCGUUCUCAUUUUACGUUUGCAUUUAUCAUUUUCAUGUCAUGUGUUUUCAUCGUUUCCUUCUUUUUUUUAAAUUACGAAAUUUUAAAAAAAUUAUAAGUGUACCACACUUGGUCCUAUGUUCCGCAACUUCUUCUCUUAUUUAAUAUUUACAAAAUAAAUGUGCAAAAUUUCAUUCAGUACAAAUAUGACAUUCAUGAUCACAUGCUUCAAUCUUCACAAACAACAACAGAGUGAAUAAAGAAUAAAAGACAGUUAAAUUGAAUAAAAAAGAAAGCGAACCUAAACAUCAGAAACAAGAACUCCGGCGAGCACUUCCAACAGAGUUUCGACGCCAAAGAAUGUAACUACAACGAGAGUGAUAGAUUGCUACUGAACAAAAAGGCGAUUCUGAAGGACAUCCACCAUCAACUGGAGCAGAGCAGGACAGAGAACGCGAAUGCGGUUGCUUAUGAUGACAAGAACCAGAUUGGUCAGCCAGUGCUGAAGAAUAUUCAGUCAAUGCGAUUGAGGGGAUUUUAAUUAAAUUAGUUUUCAGUUAUGGUUCAUUACGGUCUACUUUGAUUUGUGCUCAGGAGAGAAUAUUUAUAUUCGGCAAGCAUCAGGUGCACCGAGGCCUAUAUGCACCAUCGUGCGCCGAGGCAUUAGGCUUCUAGCAUUUCCAAUCCAAUGGUCUACCUUCUGUCCUAUUGUCUUCCUCAUCUUUGAACAAACGGCGAUGAAGAUCUUCACGGUGGGCUAAUAUUUAGCCAAAUGUUAAAUCGACCGACUGAUAGUAAAUGCGCAUUUAGCUAAAUAUUUAUAUUACUCUGCAGACUGACCCCCAUAGCUUAUGGUCCGUUUCAGCCCAUGGGCCUUGGUAUCGUGCAGUCCAUGACCCGGUACCAACAUGAAUCAAGAGCAUCGGUUCUCUCACGUAUUUUGUGACUCAUUCCAAGUUCCAUCCAUCUCGGCUAGUCCAAAGGCGUUGUCACUGAUGGGUUUGUAUGCAUCGAUGGCUAGACCAGUGGCAAUGGUACUCAUCAAUAGAAUACGAGUUGUUAAUAGAGGAGCUGUCGGAGAUUUGCUGGAAUGCUGCCGACGUGUGGAGGAACAUGGCUCAGAUGACCUAAUUUCCAAAUUAAGGGAAGGCGAGGGUUCGAGGUCGUUGGGAGCUGAAGAACUAGGGUUGAACAACCCUAAACCGGUGCGCAUGCAGGCUGCUCCUGUAUGAGCCAAGGAUUAUGUACUGAGCUCAGUUCAAGAUGGCUAAAUCAGAGUUUAAUCCAUUUAAGGAAUCUUUUACAUUUAGAACCUUAAGUUAUUUUAUUUUAAUUUCAUCCUGAGUAUAAAGGAUUGUAAUCAACUAUUAACUCUUUAAAAAAUUAUUAAUUAAAAAUCCGUUUUGCUGUCAAAUCACCAACAAUGGCCAUCCGACCUAGGUCGAGUUCAUCAUCCAUACCUUCAUUUCGCCGUCACCAAUCUAUCCGAUCAGUAUUACUAAUCUCGUCGCAUCAAUUCAAGCAUCCUGCCGGACAGCUUAACAGCUAAUCUCCAGAAGGACUAAGCCUUGGUUUCAGAAGGAUAUCCCUGAUCUUCGAUCUAUCGUCGCAUGGUUUAGUUCCUUGAUAUCGGGUAUUUCAAUUUUGUUUUAUUUGGAAAAAUGAUAUAUUUAUUGGAUCACUUAUAUUAUUUAGAUCCUUACAUAUUUUAUAACGACAUUUAGACCUCUGAAAUUUGGGAAAUUUUAGAGAAGUAAUUUGGUUCUUCAUGUCGCCACUGACCAUGAUCCUUGGAAAUAUAAAUUAUCAAUCUCGAUGUCACACACAUUAAUAUUCUGACUAACCUGAAGAUCCUCGAAGGAUGAUAGAUAAAUAGAGUUUAGAUUGAUUUCCAUGUGGAGACCAUGGACAGUCGGAUGGACAGACUUUAGAGAAAUUGAGGAAGGUUUUCAGUUUUCAGCCAUCCUUAAAUGCAUGCACGCAUAACAGUACUCCAUGCAUGGACAAAUUAAUGGAUCGAAGAUAACGCCUUUGAUUUAAAAUUUUACUCAAACUCUAACGUUAAUCAAUCAAUAUAGGAUUUCCCGAUCAUACUAGGAAAACAGACAAAUGUCUGAAUCCGGUCUUUCUUUAAUAGGUGUUGCCACUGAUUUCAAACCGCAUGCCAACCCAGUAUUUUCUAAAUCCAUUGGCUUGCUCGUAGAAAUUUUGAUACAAGACGUCACUGCGCUUUUUAUUUUUAUUUUAUUUCAUUUCCCAAUCAAUCAAUCAAAUCAUUCAAUUGUUUAUGGUUAAAACCAUGGUCGUCUCACAAAUGGUUUUCCAUUGAUUUAUAAUGAACAAUCUUCUGCACUGCUUAUUACUGCUUAAGUUUUUAUUUAUGAAAGUUGAAACAUGAUCAUAGAUUCUGAAUUACCUACCUGACCAACUAAAGCAAUUAUGAAUUAUCGGUCGGAAAAAUCGAAUUUUAAAUUGUUUUCUUUUCAAAAGUUGAAAUAUUUUUAUACCUAAUUAUUCUGAUACCACAUUGUCAUUUCUCAGUAUGACAGUAUCCUUAUGACUUUUAUUUCUGGGUAUUAAAUUACAUCGAAUUAUGUAGCUGAUAGUUUUGGGAAUUUAAUUAUAAUUUUUUUCUUUUCCGAUUGAAAUAUUGAUUAUUUUGAAUUGAGGAUGAAGACAGAUAGUCAGACACGGCGGAAUAAGAAAAUUACAAAACACUGGAACUAAAUCUGCGUUGAUGACACGCGCAGCGGCUCAAGGCAUGCUUAUCCAAAAUGACUUCCACGAUACGGUUGUUCUUCAUUUCCAACUACUGCUGUCAUUCUGUCAAAACACUUUAAGAAAAUCACACCCUCAGCUUCAACUUAUUUACAUUCAAACCAUACCUUCUUGCCACGUACUAUUUAAUGCCCGCUCUCACAAACAUCCACCAUAGGCAAUCACGGCCAAACUGUAAACCACUCUCUGAUAUCCUCCCACUUCUCUGCGGAAUCUGUGUACAUGGCCGGAGGGUUGAUGUCCGAUGUGGUUGUGCAGCUAGUCAUACCUAUUGCUGCCGUCAUCGGAAUCAUAUUCUCGCUCUUCCAGUGGUAUUUGGUGUCGAGAGUGAAGCUGUUCGGUGAGCGAGAGCAUGGAGUUGGGGCUGAAAGUAAGAACGGAUUGAAUGAUUACCUGGUUGAAGAGGAGGAUGGGCUUAAUGAUCAAAACGUUGUAAACAAGUGCGCCGAAAUCCAAACAGCCAUCUCUGAAGGUCUGGUGAUUGGUUUGAUCUACUCUGUGUUUUUUUCUUCUUUAAAAAAACUUGCAUGUCUGUACCGAUUUCCGUUCUCGUUUUUAAAUCCAUGAUUCUAAAACCAGUUGUUGCAUGCAUGCAUUCAUAAUGCAUGUGUUGCCAUCUUUCUUUUCAUACUUUCUAUUUCCAUUUUGAUUUCGUCCAUGAUGGUUGAAACUUGAAAACAGGGGCAACCUCUUUCCUUUACACGGAAUACAAGUACGUUUCGAUGUUUAUGGGUAUAUUUGCAGUGUUGAUCUUCCUGUUCUUGGGUUCGGUAGAAAGUUUCAGUACCAAGAGCAAGGAAUGUACCUACACCAAAGGCAGGAUGUGCAAGCCUGCUCUGGCCAAUGCCUUGUUCAGCACCAUAUCGUUUAUACUUGGUGCCGUUACCUCUCUGGUUUCUGGUUUUUUCGGAAUGAAGAUCGCAACCUAUGCAAAUGCCAGGACAACUUUGGAGGCAAGGAAGGGUGUUGGUAAAGCUUUCAUCAUCGCGUUCAGGUCCGGUGCAGUUAUGGGUUUUUUACUAGCCGCAAAUGGGCUCCUGGUUCUCUACAUAGCUAUCAAUCUGUUCAAGAUUUACUAUGGAGAUGAUUGGGAAGGUCUUUUUGAAUCCAUCACUGGGUAUGGUUUAGGUGGCUCCUCCAUGGCUCUUUUCGGAAGAGUUGGUGGGGGGAUUUACACUAAAGCAGCCGAUGUCGGUGCCGAUCUCGUGGGUAAGGUUGAGCUGAACAUACCAGAGGAUGAUCCACGAAAUCCUGCUGUAAGAAAUUUUUAAUUUUUUUUUUUAAACUUAGAAGUCGGAAUCUUAAUCUUAAUUUUUCAGGUGAUUGCCGAUAACGUUGGGGACAACGUUGGAGAUAUUGCGGGGAUGGGUUCCGAUCUCUUCGGAUCAUACGCAGAAUCAUCAUGCGCCGCACUCGUCGUUGCUUCGAUUUCUUCUUUCGGAAUGAAUCACAACCUGUCUGCAAUGUUAUAUCCAUUGCUUAUCAGCUCGAUGGGCAUCAUUGUCUGCUUGCUCACUACACUGUUCGCAACUGACUUGUUCGAAAUCAAGGACGUAAAGGACAUCGAACCGGCAUUGAAGAAGCAACUCAUCAUCUCUACGAUUUUUAUGACCAUCGGAAUCAUAAUUGUCAGUUUGGUUGCUCUUCCUUCUUCUUUCACCAUAUUCAAUUUUGGAGAUCAAAAGGUCGUCAAAAAUUGGGAAUUGUUCUUCUGCGUCGCUGUCGGGCUGUGGGCCGGUCUGAUCAUCGGGUUCGUUACAGAGUAUUUCACCAGCAAUGCGUAUAGGUAAGAGAUAUAUUAUGCAUCCAUCCACGAUCCAUCAUACAUUGUAGAAUAGAUGACAAUCUUCAUCGGUCAUUUGGUUUGGUCGCAGCCCUGUGCGGGAUGUUGCAGAUUCAUGCAGGACAGGAGCAGCGACGAAUAUCAUCUUCGGACUUGCAUUGGGUUACAAGUCGGUCAUCAUUCCAAUUUUCGCCAUUGCCAUGAGUAUCUUCAUCAGCUUUAGCAUCGCCGCCAUGUACGGUAUAGCCGUUGCGGCGUUGGGAAUGCUGAGCACCAUUGCCACUGGUCUAGCCAUCGAUGCAUACGGACCCAUAAGUGACAACGCCGGUGGAAUAGCCGAGAUGGCUGGAAUGAGUCACAGAAUCCGUGAGAGAACCGACGCUCUUGAUUCCGCCGGAAACACUACUGCUGCAAUUGGAAAGGGGUUUGCCAUUGGUUCAGCCGCUUUAGUCUCGUUGGCACUUUUUGGAGCUUUUGUGAGUCGAGCUGGGAUUGUCGUAGUCGACGUUCUCACCCCAAAAGUCUUCAUUGGGUUGAUUGUGGGGGCGAUGCUUCCGUACUGGUUCUCCAGUAUGACUAUGAAGAGCGUGGGCAAAGCAGCUCUGAAGAUGGUGGAGGAAGUUCGCAGACAAUUUAACACCAUCCCCGGUCUUAUGGAAGGAACGGGAAAACCAGAUUACGCCAGUUGUGUUAAGAUAUCAACAGAUGCUUCCAUCAAAGAAAUGAUCCCUCCUGGUUGCCUGGUCAUGCUCACUCCUCUCAUUGUAGGUACAUUCUUCGGAGUCGAAACUCUGUCCGGUGUUCUCGCCGGAGCUCUUGUUUCUGGUGUUCAGGUUCGUCUUCUUCUUUAUUCAAUUUAACCAUCUUUUGUUCUUUAUUCACUCUGUUGUUGUUUGUGAAGAUUGCAAUCUCCGCUUCGAACACCGGUGGUGCUUGGGACAAUGCGAAGAAAUACAUCGAAGCCGGUGCCAGUGAACAUGCAAGGACGCUUGGGCCAAAGGGUUCCGACCCGCACAAGGCUGCUGUUAUCGGUGACACUGUUGGAGAUCCACUCAAGGACACAUCUGGUCCUUCGUUGAAUAUUCUCAUCAAGCUCAUGGCCGUUGAAUCUCUAGUCUUCGCGCCUUUCUUUGCCAAACACGGCGGUCUUCUGUUCACUUGGUUUCAAUAAAUUGUGUAAUAAAUCUCGAGAGAACCAGAGAGGAAGGAGUUUCCUUUCAGAAUUUCCACGUCGUUUUGUAAUUUAUUUAGUUUUUCCCGACCAACAGAUCCGUCAUCCGUGGCCUGUUUUUUGCUGUAUCGACGUUUUCCAUCUUUUAUGAAACAAAUGAUUGCUCAAAUAAAAAAUAAAAAUUUUCACUGACCUAUUUUAUUAUUUAUAGUUGUAGGAUUAAAAUAAAAAUUUCUAUAGUGAAAAACCUCACUAAGGAUUUAACAUUCAGUCACUGACCGAUCGACCCAUCUUUUACACCUUCCAAUUAAGAGCUCAUCGGAAUCCAAUGAUCGUCUGUAGUUAAAGAUCCGGACAUCGGCAGUCUUUAUACACCGGUGAAGCACCGACCAUCCUUUCAUUUUAGUGCGGCAACACUUUCUCCAUAUCUUCCCCAUCUCAAACCCUAAUUUGGCGAAACACUAAAUCCCCAACACUGAAUUCUAUCCACUUCUAGGCUCUCCUACGUUAUAGUCUCUCUUCUUUCUUUUUCUUUGGAACAAAAAACCCAGGUUGGGUGAGAGUAAUACGCAGAUUUCUGGAUUUCUGAUGGGUGUAGCGGCAACGGCAAAUGCAACGGCAACGGCCACAACAUUAUUAAAGCAAUUCUCCACCACGAAGACAAGUAUAUUUCUUCCCGUCAUCUUCAAACGAUUCCCAUCCCAUUCUUUAUUUUCCAGGAGAAAACAGCUCCAAUUCAAACGACCCGCAUUCUCUUCCUUUUCUUCCAGAACCAUCUCUUCUGCAUCGACCAAUGAAGGAAUUACGCAAGGAGAAUUAUCCCCCAAGCCGUCUAUUCCAGAUUUGUGUUUGUAUAACACCAUGACCAGGCAGAAAGAGGUGUUCCGCCCUAGGGUUCCGGGGAAGGUGGGCAUGUACGUUUGUGGAGUCACCACUUAUGAUCUCAGUCACAUUGGUCAUGCCAGAGUGUACGUCACAUUUGAUUGUCUCUACAGGUAAACUAAUUGAUGCUUGUAUUUGUUUAAUAAAAAUAAAAUAAAAAGUUUAUUUUUUUUUAUGGCUGAAUUGAACUGAAAAGAGGAGGAAAUUGGGAUAAGUGUUUUAUUCGUUUGAAAAAAUCUUGUAUUUCUUUUUGUUCGUCUUUCAUGUUGGUUUCAUACUUCUAUUCUGUCGGAUCGCUAAAACUUGAUUAUCUUUUGAGUUUUGAUAGUGUUACUAUUUAACACUUUGGCAGAUAUCUGAAGCAUUUGGAAUUCCAUGUGUGUUACGUGCGGAACUUUACUGAUGUCGAUGACAAGGUAUGCUUGCUGUAUUCAAUGCAUUUUUCUUCUUCUAUCUACAGAAAAUAAUCGGCAACAGGACUGAGCUUUGCUAUUGAUUUUUCUUCUUCUUUUAGAUAAUCGACAGAGCAAAUAUUCUUGGAGAAGAUCCGUUGAGCUUGAGCAGUCGUUUUUGCAACGAGUUUGAUAAAGAUAUGGUGCAUCUGCAUUGCUUGCCUCCAUCUUUCGAUCCACGUGUGUCAAAUCACAUGACCGAAAUCAUAGAUAUGAUUAAGCAGGUCAUACAGAAACAACUUAUGAUCAACCUUAGUUUUUUUUUCUUUUUUAAUUUUUCUUCUUCUAUUGGUAGAUUAUCGAUAAUGAUGCUGCUUAUGAAAUUGGUGGAGAUGUGUAUUUUUCCAUUGAUAAAUUUCCAGCAUAUGGUCGAUUAUCUGGACGUAAACUGGAAGAUAAUCGAGCAGGGGAGCGAGUUGCAGUAGAUUUGAGAAAGAAAAAUCCUGCCGAUUUUGCUUUAUGGAAGGUGAUUUGAGUUCUUCUGUUUGUCUUAGAUUACUAAACCAAUCUAUUUUAAUUAGUUCUCUUGUUUGCAUUAGACUGCCAAGCCUGGGGAGCCAUGCUGGAAUAGCCCAUGGGGGCAGGGAAGGCCAGGAUGGCAUAUCGAGUGCAGUGCCAUGAGUAAUGCCUAUCUUGGAACUUCAUUUGACAUACAUGGGGGAGGAAUGGACCUUGUCUUUCCUCACCAUGAGAAUGAAAUUGCACAGAGUUGUGCUGCCUGUUGCAAUAGCACUGUAAACUAUUGGGUUCAUAAUGGGUUUGUAACAGUUAACUCCGAGAAAAUGUCGAAAUCACUUGGGAAUUUCUUUACAAUUCGCCAGGUAAGCGUGGAAGAUCUUAUCCUUCCUUUUCAUCUUGUUUGUUCUUUGAUUUUAUUUAUAAUAUUGAUAUGGAGGGUCAUAUUGUUUAGGUCAUAGAACUAUAUCAUCCACUUGCUUUGAGGUUUUUUUUGAUCAACACACAUUACCGUUCUCCAAUAAAUUACUCAAAUAUACAGCUUGAGACAGCAUCCGACCGUUUGUUUUACAUCUACCAGGUACUUUAUAGAUAAUUAAACUUGGUUGAUCCACAAAAUCCUCAACAUAUAAAGCUUGAAUUCUUAGUCUUUUUUUUGGUGUGGCUGUAGACACUGUAUGAUGCCGAAGAAUUUCUGGUCGAGCACAAGGGAGGCAGUCUGGCUGAUUCCAUUCCUCCAGUUGUCCAGGACUGCAUUAUCAAGUUUAAAUCUGAUUUCAUUAACUCCAUGUCUGAUGAUCUGAACACUCCAGUUGGUGUGGCUGCUCUCUCCGAACCACUUAAAACAAUCAACGAUCUCUUGCAUACUCGUAAGGUUGUACUUUAUUUUAUUUGCAAUUAUAUUUUAUCAUAUUGCUGCCCGAAGCAUAUAAAAUAUACAUCCUGGUAAGCAGGGAAAGAAGCAAGCUCUAAGAGUUGAGUCUCUUCUGGCAGUGGAGAAGGAAGUCAGAAAUGUUCUUGAGAUCCUUGGAUUGAUGCCUUCAGGUUAUUUAGAGGUAACUUUCUUGUUCUAACUUUAAAAAAAAUGCAUACAUAAUAACAGACCCAUUUCUUGUUGUUGUAGAGAUUUUUUUUAUUGAGGUUAAUUCUACCUUUUUACAAUUACAAUGGACUUUUACAUGGUUGUAGAUUCUAAACCAAUUACGAAAGAAGGCACUGAAAAGGGCUGGGAUAACAGAAGAACAUAUAUUGCAGAAAAUCAAAGAGAGGACAUCAGCAAGGCAAAAUAAAAUGUAUGAGAGAUCUGAUGAGAUCAGGAAGGAAUUAGCCUCUCUCGGUAUUACUUUGAUGGAUGGUCCUGUAGAAACAACAUGGAGACCAACUUUGCCUCUUGAACUACAAGAAAAGUAGUUAAAUGAUUCUUUGGCCCAAGUUAUCUAUACUGGGUCGGUAAUUAUAUCAUUCUUGUCUUGUUCAUCAAACCCUUCCAUCUUUUUCCUCCUAAAAUAAGCAUGGUUAUUUUUACGGUAAAUACAAUCAGACAAGCAAAUUGUCUCUCGUCUUCUAAUUUUAUUUAUACUCAAGCACCGAUUACAUUACAAUAUUACAUCACUGAUGGCUUCGCCAGAUGAGUAAAAAAAGAGUUGUGAUGAAUUCAGAUGCAAGCAGGGACAAAUGAGUAGGGGAAAUGAGCAAAAACAAUGGAACAUGGAGCAACAAUUAUAGGUUGUGAAGAAGAAGGAAUAACGACAGGGUUCAGUGCUGGGAUUUUCCCAUUGUCUUUUGUUAUCAAUGCUUUACCAUUCAACAUCAUUACUUGACUGUGUAAGUCCCCAUCUUUGGCUGUAAGAUGGUAUUCUUCUCUUGGGAAUUCUACUAGUCGUUCUAUCCUAUUGUAACCUAAUGAAGGUGAUACAUAUACAGUGGUAUCCAUGUCAAGGUUCAACAGCAACAGUGUCACCCCUUUCUGAAAAUUGAUGUUUUGAAGCAAUUGUAAGUGUAACAAUCUUCUAAUAAGAUGAAGAUGGUAAAAUUUUGUUUUGCAGACUUACAGAUUGUUUGGAGCAAUGGGCAUACACUCUUAUCUUAUCCGUUCCAUUAAACGUAGCUGAUAAAACCCUUCUUCCCAUUAAUCUGUGCCAUAGAAGAGCACUGCAACCAAAACCAAGAUUGAAUGAAUGAGCCUUUGAUAAUUAAAAUGAACAGCAUUGAUUGAUUGAUUACCUGAAGUAAUCGGGAUUUGGUUUGUAGGUUGUAGUGUUAAGUAUGCCAUAGUUCCCACCUAUCAAGCUUUGUCUGCAGUAUGUCUUGGUAUCGAAAGUUGCUGACAUACCAAGCUGAUCCAAGUACCAGAAACUGAAUACAAAUGCAUUGGUCACCAGAUGAUGGCCACUGUUGUAUGCACCGCCUGCUUCUCCAACCCACGCAGUGGUUGACGUUUCGGCGUUUAUGAUAAUUUGUUGGAGUUUUCUGAAUGUAUUGGCCUCGCCGUUGAGAUAUGAGGGAUCAAGGAUCUUGCUAACGAGAUGAGUAUCGACACCUGGUAUCAGAAUGAUGGUAUCAGAACGUGGGUUUCAGAAUCUGAAUCAAGAAAAACAGCAAAGAUGCGUCACGCAUCUAUAUUAAGAGUGACAAGUGUAGUGAUGUACCAGGUCCAAGGUUAUAAAUGUGGUGGGUUACAACAUCCAUGUAGUUUGGCUUUGUCUUUUCAAUAAGAUAUUUAAACCAAGUAGCAUCGAAGAAGCCUCCGGGAGAUAAGACCAAAGGUUUGGACAAAGAAUCAGCAUAACUGUUAUCCACCAUUGAUUUAAGCUUGAUAACGUCGGCGGUAUACUGAUCUGGUUGAACUCUGGUCCCGACCCCAUGUCCACUCAAUUCGUUUCCUAGCUCCCAACCAUGGAUGGUGUAGCCAUUGUUUACAGUGUAAUUAAUAAAAGCGGCAGCAUUCGUGGAAUUCCAGGGGCCUUUACAUGAACCGUCUUUGAGAUGGAUUCUCCCGUUGAGAGCAUUCAACCCAAAGAUGACGACAGCUCUGGUUUUUUUGAAGAAUCUAUUAAGCUCGUCCCAUCGAGACAUGGAUAGACAUCCCUCUGUGAAACCAAACAUCUGGGAUGUGUUCUUUUUGAAGGGAAGACAUUUUAUUUCUGGAUCGUCCACGGCGUAUAUAACUUUAUCUUGCAAAGAACCACCUAUCCGGAGUUUUAUCGGAGAAAAUUCUGUGGAAGACGAACAUAAGAAUUUAAUAUCGAAAACUUUAACAAUUAAUACAACUCAUUAAACACGUACCUUUGACAGCAUUUAUUAGAAUGGGGUUGGAAAGAUCCUGCAUUUACAGGUUUGCAUACUUAGAUCUAAUUACUAACCACCAAAUAAAAAUGUGUUGAGAGUUGGGAUUUCUUUUUCUUCUUCUUACCAAAUUGAGAAUAGAAGCAUGUCCCCAGCUGCAUGUUCCAUAAUCACACUUCUCCGGAGGCCACCAAUCCAUUGUAGCACAGAUAAAAUCCUCAUCGGUAUACCCAAUGGCAAACUUUCCAUCAACAAAUGCCACACCAUCAGUAGACUCAAUACUUUCUAACGCUUCCCGGCAGACCACUGCAGCAAAGCCACCGGAAAACCAAUACACCCAAACGCAAGAUCCAAGAACAGCUGCGAGAAAACCAAUACCCAUCUUUGAGAUUUGGAUGGAUGGGUUGGGUUUUUUUUUUUUUUUUUACUUAAAACAUUCUUCCUGUGGUGGAUUUUCUUAAACAACAAUUUUAAAGAGAGAAAGAAAGGAGAUAAGAGGAUGAAGAGUGUGAAAGGGGAAAUGAAUGCAAGAAGAAAAGAAUGAAUGAGUCUUAGAAGCAAGAGUUGGUGGGGUUUUGUUGGUAUGUCAGCGAAAUGCUUCGUGAUUCAUGAUUCGUUAAGCAUAGCAGCAUUUUCAGAAGAUGGAUGUGUAAUUAUGAAAUCAGAUUAUAUUAACACAUGGACUUAAAUAUAAGAUCUAAAUUGAUGUUCAUAGUAAUGUAAACAAGUAAUGGACAGAGAAACCUUCCAAACUACUCCAAACUACUGAACUAUUUUCAUUAAUACAAAGUAAUGAAGUUGAUGAGUGGGUGGUGGGAGUCUAACUUGUCCACCCGCACAAAUGUCUUCUCUAUUCAUCCCAAUAUCCCAUUCACAUUUAUUUCUUUAGUUGUUAUGACUUUGGAGGGGGAGUUGUUGGAAUUAUUGACAUUCUCUUUUCGAGCUUUUUACAGUAAAUCUAAGUAAAUAAAAUAAUUACACAUGACUGAGUUGUGACGGACUUGGGGUCUGGCAAAUGUAUAUGUUCAAUUCUUCAGAAUUCACAAGAAAAUAAUAAUAAUAAUAUAUUUUGAUGACAAUCACACACAAAAAAAUUCAAAUGUUUUUUAUAGUAGAUUUUCCGAUAUUACUGUAAAGUAAAUUAAGCUUUUGGUGCCAAAAAAAAAAACUGGAAAAAGUAUAUGCAAAGAAAUUUCUGCUCCAAAAUUAAACUUUCUCCCAGAAUUAUCUUAUCACGUGAUACCCACCUCUUUCCAUAUUCAUGUAAGUGAUAAAGUGAACUUCUACUUUCUUGAGUUCAUCUUCCAUCAUCUCAUCUGACUUCGGACAAUAUGGUAGGUGGGUGAAGAUUGAAGAAUAAUCUAUUUCCUAAAUACCAUGGGCUAGGCCCAAUAACAUAAUAAAUCCAUCCAUUAAUCCAAUAAAUAAUAAUCCAUUGUUUUUAGAUAAUAUUGUAAAUAAGUAAUUAUAUUUAUUCGGUCAUAACCUAAGCUGAUUUAAAAACCUAAUUGAAAAUGAUGUUAAAAAUAAAUAAAUAAAUCGAUAUUUAGAUUGAUGGAUUGUAAAGAACGAGAAGCACAUCAGAAGAUUUUUAGUUUAUGGACGGAUGACGGUUAGCGAUUUAUGGUUGUAGAAGCUGUUAUGGAUUGAAAUAAUUGAAUGGUAGUUGUAUCAUUCAUGUGGUCCCAUUAACUUGACCAUAAUCAUAUUAAAACAAGAACAUAGAUAGAAAAAUAAAUCUUAUCUUAUCAGAUAGUAUGUUAUCCAUAUUCUUGUAGUGUCUUCCACGUAAACGCUACGUACUUCAACUGAUCCACUUCCACAGUUCCACAGUUGCACCAGCACUACACAAAUCCAAACGAGUUCCCUUUCCCGGUUCCUAUUGACAUCGCCUUCAUUUCAUUUUUCAUACUUUUGCUCCACACAGUGAAACAGAUUAGAUCACGUUAACCAAAGAGGCGUAGAGGAACAUCACUCGCUAAAAUCUUAGUAAUAGCCAAUAGCCAUGUCGCGUACUCACGUGUCUGAUUUUAAAAUAUUUCGCGAACGAUUUAAUUAAUCUCGGUGAUGGUGCGUUGACGAAGUAGAUAAACUCGAACCCUUCGUUCGAGGCCGGAAGUGAUGAUCUAUACCAUGUUCAUAUUAUUAUCGAAGAAAAUGUGGCGAUAAUCGGUUGCUUCGGCUCGUGACUCGGAUUUUCACAUCUGGUUCGGCACCUCUUUUUAUUCUUUCCGAAACCACCCACUCUAUUUUUAACUUUCUACUUUAAUUUCUUUUGUUCGUCAGCACAAUUUUUUCCACUUCCUGAUUUCAUCGGAGGUGAGACUGAUCCUUCACCGUCCGUGUUGUUGUUGAUUAUGAUGACGAUGAUACCGUUUUUAAAGGUUUUUCGUUAUUUUUCUUCUUCUUCUUUUCGAGUUUUGAUUAUGUUCUUCUGUUCGGGUUCGUUUGAUUUGAUGAUCAGUGGAACGCUUUUUCCUCUUCUAGAUUUUAUUAUUAUUUCGUAGCAGUAUGUAUUGAUUGGUUUUUGGGGUGACCGAUUUAUUAAGAUACAGUGAGUGAAUCCGUAAAUGAUCGAUUUCUAUCUUUUCUGCUGAGGAGAAACCGUAGACUCCUUGAUUGUCUUACCUCAAAAAAAUAUAGAUUCCUUAUUGAAAAGAAGAAUCUUACGUUUUUUUCUUCCAUCUUUAUGUUUUAUCUUCGAUUUUUUAAGUCAUUUUUUAUACUGAGCGAUUGCUUAAAUUGGAUGUAUCAUACUAACUGAUUAUUUUUUCCCUUGACUUCCUCAUGAUAAUCUAGAAAAGAAGUUUUCUAUUAAUCUAGCACGACCUGGGAAAAUUCAACUUCCAUGGGGGGUGCUUGCUCAAGGAAUAAGGUUCACUUGAUUAAUGAAGAUGCAGCAGCUAAAGGUAGAACUGGGAAAUAUUACAAGAAUGGAAGUUCUAAGUGGUUAUUGCGGUCUCUCAGUAGUUCUUCUAGCAUUCGACAAAAGGAACUAGGCAAAUAUCCAUCUCUUAUGGAACUAUGCAUUCGCAAAGUUUGCGAGGUUUCAAUGUUCAUCCAACUGACAACUUUUUUUGCCUUUAAUUAAAGUUAAUUUAGUUGUUUGAUUUUGCUAGCUAUGUUGUAUUUGCAGGAUAUUAGGAAUUAUUGUUGUUUUUCAAUGCUCCCGAGGGAUAUAAGCCAGCAAAUAUUCAAUAGAUUGAUCGAAUCUUAUCGCCUUACUGAUGACAUUCUUGAAGCAUUUGCAGAUUGUGCUAUUCAGGUAAUAUCAUAAUGAUAAUUUGAUGGGGAACAACUCAAUAAUCAACAUUACCAGAAAAUGUGUCAUUUAGUUGUAGUAGAUGAAGGUUAAAAUUAAGAUAUAAAAUGAUGAUAUCACCAGAUUUAUUUAGAAGGAAAGAUAAUAAGAUAAGAGACAAAAUGAGAUACUCGUGAAGCACCAAGAGGCCUGGAAGAGUUGAUGAAAAAUACCACUACGGGGAGGUCCUGUGGGGAUAAACAAUCACGACAAAAUGAAAUACUCGUAAAGCACCAGGAGGCCUGGAAAAGUUGAUGAAAAAUAUUACCACGGGAAAGUCCCGUGGGGAUGAAAAAUCAACAUUUGAAACUUGAAAGUUGGAAUCCAUCAAGAAAAAUAUGGACAGCCAAAAGAGUAAUUAUCUUGAAAAUUAUCAAAAUGUGAGAUGCUUUCUCCAUAUUAUGUACCACCUAUUUAUAGUAGGAGGCAAGACUCCUUGCUAUUAAUUAUGGGAUUUUGGGUUUUUGAUCUUCCCUGCCUCCACUGUUCAAGUUCAAUGUAACAAGUCUUGGACUUUCCAAAUGUCUACAUCAUAAUUGCACAUAUCAAUUAGAGUUUUGCCUUAAAUUGAUUACUAGGAAGUUUGUCUAUCUAUGUUUUUCAUCCUUUUAAAUUUUGUGUAAAUUUUCAUUAGUAAAUUUACAUGGCUAUGCAGUGCAGCGCAGUUAAGUGCAACAUAUUGAUUAAUGAUUAGUGUUUCACUGGUUGAUUUAUCAAUAAAUCAAUACUUUGCUUAAUGGGUCAUGAUAUCUUGCCACUGAGAAAGUGAAAAAACAUAAUGGAAUAUUCGAUUUAUCUGGAAUUUACAAUGAUUUAUAUUAUUUCAUUUGGGGUUUCUGGCAGGACAUGGAUGUGGGAGAAUAUCCUGGGGUUAAAGACAAUUGGAUGCCCAUAAUUUCUUCACAAGGGACAUGCUUGCUAUCUCUUGAUAUAUCAGGUUCUGAAGUGACAGAUUCAGGGUUCUCCUUUCUUAGAGAUUGCCCAAAUCUCCAGUCUUUAUUCUUCAAUUAUUGCGACAAUCUCUCAGAUAAUGGGAUCCAUUAUUUAUCUGGUACUAUUUUGCACACUUGUAAACAUGUUUUUCUACAUUUUUCUUUGAUUAUUUUUGUAUAGAGACUUUUAUUAUUGCUCUUUUACCAUUUUUUUUUGCAAAUAUUAAAAGUUUUCAUUAAAAAUAAUGAAGGGCAAUGCCCUGAAAUACAAUUGAAUAGGAAAAUAAAAAUGCGGUGAGGUUGAUAUUGUGAUUUCCACUAUAUCGACCUUCUCCUAUGUAGAAAACUUUGUACAAUUAUUACUCUUUUACCAUUUUGCUCACAUAAAUAACUAAAUAUGAUGCUUCAAAAAAACAACUAAAUAAGCGAUUUUUCUUUGACUGUGUUUCUGUAAAAAUUUGUUUUUGAUCUCUUUCUGAUAUUUCCUUUCUCUUCCUUUUUUUGCCAUACUUGAUACCUGAGAAAAAUCAGUUUUUCAUAAUACUUAUUUCCUUCACUUUUCGAAACCAUAAGCAUUUUCCCAUGUUUACUCAUAACUUUAAAUUUAAUCAUAAAAAUACAUUUUCCUAUGUUAUUUAAAGCGCAAGGUGAUAAUUGUAUAUUAUUAUUGUAUGUAUAAUUAUAUAUUAUUAUCCAUUUAAUUUCAUGUCACUAAUUUAAUCUGAUUUCCAUCUUCUCAGGUCUUUCAAAUUUGAAAUCUUUGAGUUUUAAGAAAAGCAGUUCGGUUACUACAGAAGGUAUGAAAGCCUUCGCAAGCUUAGUGAACUUGCUAAAGUUGGAUCUUGAGAGAUGCUCUCGUAUUCACGGUGGACUUUUUUACAUUAAAGGUUUGAAUUUAUCAUGAGCCUUGGUGACUAAAUAUUUCUAUGUUUAUGCACGAUGAAAAUAUAAGGGACGCAUAAACUUCCCAGCUAUAUUUUGCAAAUUGCUCAUUAAGCACUUUACGAUCUCCUAUAUUAGAGUUUUUGUUGAAUAAAAAAAAUCGAAAAUGUUAAUUGUCUAAUUUUUGAAUAUAAGUUUCAUGAAAAAUCAUGAAAUUUUCAAGAUAAUACAUUUCAUAUUUGCACAUUUCAUUUUGACUAUUUAUCUUGUACUUUCAUGCAGUUUUUCAAAAUACACCCUAUUAAGUAUUAAUCACUAUUGCUAUUACAGCCACACUACCACAUCCUUUCAUCCAGACAACCUAUACUCAACAUUUACAGACCCCAAUCACCUUGACCUCGACAUCACACCAAAAUAUAUCCGUUGCACACAACGGAUAUGUAUAAUGAGGGACUCACACCCAGAACCAGUUAACAAAUAGACCGUAAACAUUUUUACACAAUCAAGGUGCUUCCCAUCACGAAGAACCAGAUCACAGCUGCAGGACGAUCGUCAUUCAGCAACCAUUCACGGCAAUCAUCAAUGAAGGGAAGAUGGAUAAACUCAGCUUCACCUUCAACAGCACACUCACUGGACUCAACGGUGAUAUGCAUCCACACAUCGGUGGGUGCAUAUCACCGCACUCGUACUCACUCAUUUAACUUAGAUCAUCUAUUUGCUUUCAGUAUUAUAGUUUACUUAACGCAUGUAGCAUAUAAUAGCUUCCUUUUCAAUAAGAUUAGCAAUGUAAUAGACAUGAUUCAUUUGCUAAUUAAGUGUCCAAGCACCUACUUUUCCACACAGUUGAUUUGACAAUUUUGCAUUGGAAAGAUUUCCUUUUUUAUUUUCAAGGGGGAAUCCCAAUCUUGCUGUUUUUGAUGUUUUGUGAAUCGGUGUCGAGAAAUGAAAUUCAAGUUUUAUUUUUACAGAUCUAAAAACACUCCAAUCUCUCAACAUCAGAUGCUGCAAUUGUGUUACCGAUACUGACAUGGAACCCCUUUCAGGUUGGUUUAUUUCAUACCAUUAAAACCUUAAAUAUUUGGUGUGGCACACAUAUUCAGUAGUAAAAUGAUUCAUGACAUUUUGGAUUCAGUUUUUUUUGGUAUUGAUUAUAACAUUUUACCUUGUCUCCACUCUUCAGGUCUUAUAAACUUAAAGGAGUUGCAAAUAUCUUAUAAUAGAGUGACUGAUAAUGGUAUUGCUCAACUUAAAGGUAUGUAUCAUUAAGUUUUUAAAAAAAGAGAGGAAACUUUUCCUAGAGGGGUAAAACCUGAGUGACAUCUAAGGUCCACCUAAUAUAACAGUCGGUGACUUCAAAGUGGGUAGGUACUAGGUACUCAUUGGGGUUAAAACUCAUAACCUAAUGCAAACUUUUAUUGUCAUAAAAUCACUUGAGAUUUCCCUUUUUAGUUUGUAUUAUCAAGUUUCUUUUAUUUGUUAAUUCCUUUAAAUAUGGCGUUUCUAUAUUGUAUCAUUGUUCCUCAGGUUUGUAUAAAUUGGAGUUGCUUAAUCUGGAAGGUUGCCCUGUUACUGCUGCUUGUUUGGGAUCAAUUUCAGGUUUUAAAUAAGCAUUGCUUGGAAUACAUAUUACCUUGAUUGUUUUAUAUAAGCAUUUCAGGUUUUCACAAAUAUUUUUUUUACAUUUUUAGAAUUUCCACUUUUAACAUAUCGUAUAGUACGAGUUAGGUUGUCGGAACUCAGAAUCAGGAACAAUGACUAGAGUUUGUGAUGAGGAGGGUGAAAAUUGGCAAUUGUCUUAAGGUUGCACCUGAGAGAUGAUAGGAAUAUAGGAUCAUAUUAAGUAACUACAACACUCAAGAAAGGGCCAUAAGAACCAGAUUGGUCUUCUAUAUCCAAUUGCAAUGCUUCGGCGAUAUGAUCCAUGAAGUCACAUGCAGCAAAAACGUCAAGGAUCUAUUUCCUUCAACAGAUGUACUUCUGCCGACCAAUGUGCUCAUGGAACCUGGAAGUAAUAUCGAAUGACAUCAGAUUGGAUACGAGGUGGUUCGUCUGUGCAGAAGUGUUUUCUUCAUCUUUGAUCAAUGAUGCAUCUGAUUGAGAACUGGAAGGGAUGAUUGAUAUCCCUUAUGACUUCUUUCAGUACUGUUUUUGGGGGGUCUGAGUGGGUAUUGCUUUAACUACAUAUUUCUCUUGAUCCAGAUGUGCCAAGGUCCUUAUUAUGGUUAUUAUCUUCUAAUCAUAAAUUAACUUAAACUAUCUUAAUGAUGGAUUUUCGACCGUGUUUUAUUCCUGUCCUCUCCUUGUGGGGGGGGGUUGCAUAUUAAAACAUACUCUGUAUAGGGAUCUUGGGAAUUAGCUGCUAAUGGGCCUUGCAAACUAGUUUGCUAUGGGUAUAUUGAGCAUGUUCGGUCUGAGUGUUACGGAAUUAGGGUUCGACCAAUGUUACUGGUUGACUCCUUUUAAAGUUACUAGUUUUACCUCAGAAAAUACAAUGUUGAGUUUUUCCUUUUAAAGUUAUGCAUGCAUGUAGACCUCUCAAAGUUCUAACCUUAAAUUUGUCAUCUUCCAAUAUAACUGCAUGAAUCCACUAUCUGCAAUCCAAGAUUGUCAUUUUCUGUGGGGAAAAAGAACAAAACUGUGUCAUUUUUAUUAGAUGUGUUUUUUUGUUACUGUAUUAAAUUUGGUGCCUGUAAAUGUAAUUGCCUCAGAUUUUAAUUGUCUAAGUCAAGAUAUGUUCAUCAGCUUCAUUAUACCUGACAAUUCACAUUACUAUCAUUAUGUAAUUCAAAUUAUAUAUGAAUUAUUAUUAAUAUACAUUUGACUACAUUAUGGGGCCUCAACAUAAUAUUUUUAUUCAAUUAUAGUGGCUUAUAGAAAAUUUAUUACAUGCUUAUAUCUGUUUUUAUCAUUAUUAUAUAUUAAAAAAUUAACCUCUAAUUUUAUAUAAUUAGAAAAUCAUUUGGGAGAUAUCAUCUAAGAUAUUGAUCUUUACACUCUUUAAUGAAAGUGAUGUAGGCCACUACAGUGAACUAGUAGGUCUUUGGCUCGAAUCAAUUUGAACCAUGGGUCUGGCCAUCUAAUUUUUCUGGACUAUACUCUCAUUGUGGACUGUCCACUUCCCCACAAUGAGAGUAUGAAGCAAAAGUGGACACAUGGGAAAAACACCUUUUGGAUUUUUAUUAACUACAUUGAAGUAAUUCCUUAUGGAGUUGAUACUCUUUAAUGGAAGAAAAAAAACUAGGGUCCAACAUCUACACUAGCAAGUUUAAAUUUAUUUAUGAUGAAUUUAUUUUUUAGAUGACAAUAUGAUACAAAUCUAUUUCCAUUUUAGUAAUUUCUUAUUUGUGAUUUAGAUUUGGAAGUUGCCUCUUUCUUGCAGGACUUCGUGCUCUUAUGUAUUUGAAUCUUAAUCACUGUAUGAUUGCAGAUGAAGGAUGUCAAAAUUUAACAAGUGAGUGAUGUUAAAUAUGAAGUUGGUAUUAGUAAUUCCUCAUCUAUGUAUUAUUUUUUUUAUAACGUGUGGCCAUACAAGGUUUUCUUCUGUCUUCUAUGAAAGUUUUAUAUACUUAAUCUUCCUUGUAUAACUUGUCACAAAUAAAUAGAUGGUAAGUUUAAAAAAGAUUUUUUUUUGCAAGAAAUAAAGGUAAAGGAAAAUGCCCUGUACAACAGGUGAAAAUAGAAAAAAAAAUAGGAAAUGUGCUGAAACCCAUUGACACUUUCCUAUCCAACUGUAGCUUUGCCUCAGGUGGUCGGUCUCCCAAACCUACAUAGUAGUCUUCUCUGAUUGUGAGCCACAACUCUUCUUAAAGAUCUCCUGUCUAAAAGAAAGGGUAGUCUCUUAUAUUUUCAUGGAAUAAUAAUUCUGUAGGCCUUAGAGUAUGCUGCUUUUGUUUUAAAGUAAACAUCUUGAUUCCAACAAAAAUGUGCAUAUUAACUGCCCUACAGGUUAAACACACUGUUGUAAUAGAAAUCACUUGGAAUGAAUUAUUCACAUAAAAACGUCACCCUUUAGAAUGAUUGACUUUAAAUCAAAUAAUUUAAAUCUAUCUUGUUUUCUUUGUAGGUUUUCUAAAUUUGAGGGUGUUGAAUUUGGGCUUUAAUGACAUCACAGAUGCAAGUUUGGUAUAUAUUAAAGGCAAUCAUCCCUCACCUUUGCAUUUCUGCUUUCUUUCCUACAUUGAGGAAUUCUUAUCAAGUCAUUUAAGUUGAUCUGAAUAAUUUUUUAAUGGUUUUAUAGGUUUGACCAAUUUGGAGAGUUUGAAUUUAGAUUCUUGUGUAAUAUCUGAUGAAGGUCUCAAAAAUCUGAAUGGUAAUUUUUUUUUUACAAAAAGCAAUUUUUUUAUUUAUAUAAAUUCAGUAAAACUGACAACAUUAGAUACGUAAUUGAAAAGAAAAUUCAAAGAAAUGCUAAUUAUAUACAAAUACAAAUCCAUAGAAAUACAAAAUCCUAGUCAAGUCUACUAAAAAAUACUGCCUUAGCUCACCGGAGCUGGAGCUGGAUCUGGAGCUUGCCGAAGGCUACCUGAGGUGGCCAGACAGAGUAGAAAGAAAAUUGUGAUUUCAGAAAGUGGGUGGUUCUGAAAUCACGAUUUUAGGGCACCUCCUAUUUUUUUUAACAUUCAUCCGGGUUCGGAACCGUCUAAGCGUGUGUAUUAGGAACCAUGGAUGCAAUCGAAAAUAACUCUGCAAUCUGAUUGUAAUCUCUCCCAAAUUACCUACUAAUUCUUCUCAGUCCUUGUGGAUUCAUUUACACUUUCCCUUCCCAAUCCAGCCAAAAGUCCACUAAAAUAUGUUUUGUUUAUUGAUUCGUCGGAUAAUGACGGACCUAGGUAUCUACAAAGUAGUUCACCUUGUUGGAAACCAUACAUUCAGGAAACUAAUUAGGUUUUUGCAGCUACCUUAAAGGUAGAUGAUUCACUUGAGAGGACGUUCAGACCAGUGAAUUUUCUUAGGUUUUCUAGGGUCACUUGAAUAGUUAGUUAUUUGCAAGAUUUUAAAUGUGUGUUGUACAUCAGAAACCAGCGCACUAAUAUUUAGUCACGCUUCAGGUGUCAGUGGUAUUUUAGUAAUUAUGUAAUAAUAUUGUAUAUUACUUUAUUUUUGAAUUCUAAUGUGCAUAAUUUCUUUUUUAUUCUUUUGUUUUUGUGUAAUCUCAAUUCAGAUCUUCUGUGUUUGAAAACCUUGGAGUUGUCGGAUACUGAAAUAGUAGGGAGUGGUCUUCCUCAUCUCUCUGGUUUGUUAUUGUCAACCGAUAUAAUGUCUCUCAUUUUUUUAAUUUGGUAUUCUAAUAUCUGUAUUGGAUCAGUCAUGCUACAAUCAUCUUUUUUAUUUUCUUAUUCAUAUACGUUGUUAACUUUCAAUUUUAAUCAGUAAUAUCUCAUAUUUAUAUUUUUCCUUUUAGCAUAUUUUCAAGUUAUUUUUUCAAUAUUUUGAUUACCUUAAGUUUUUAAAUAGUCUAAUGUACUCACUGUCUCACCCAUGACUAUUAUCGUGAGUGUAAGAGGUUAGUAAGUUUAAUCUCAUUGAUAGUUUGCACUCCGUUGAUUGUCCAUUCAUAUAUUAGGUGGAGCUCAUCCCUAUGGUAAGUCACAGAAGUGUCAAUAAUUUCUAUAUUAUGUGACUGGAUAUUUUUUGUAUUUUAUAAGUCAUUUGGUAUUUUUUCUUUUAGAUCCAUUCGUUCAAUUACAAAUGAAAGUUUUUUGAGACAAAUCUUUUAUUCCUUUUUUUGCUGAAUCUGGAUUUAUCGUAUUUUGUUGCUUUAAAUUAAUUUGCAGGUUUAACAAGGCUAGAGAGUAUAAACCUCUCGUUUACUCAGAUCAGUGACCAUAGUCUAAGGCAUCUAUCUGGAUUAACAUCUCUACGAUCUUUAAAUCUGGAUUCACGUAAAAUUACAGAUGCGGGACUUUCAACACUUACUUGUAAGUAUUAAGUUUUUAUUUGUUUAUUAUUUCUAUGAUCGUCGAGUGAAAUUAAAAAUACAAGUUGAGUGAUACUAGAGUGUAGAAUGACCUGAGUAAUGAAACAAUGCAUGUUUUAAUAUGGAGCAAUAUUUCAUACAUUAAGCUUGGUUGAGUUUCUUAGGUCAGUUGUGUUAGGAUAAUCUUGAUUUAGGGUUUAUUUUUGAUAAUGGAGAGUACCUGUCCACAAGUAAAAAUGCCUACUACGACUGAUAUACCCGAGUCACAUAAUAUAUCACUGUUUACAUCGCUCUACCUUCGGGUGAUAUACCAGAGCCACAUAAUAUAUCACUGGUUGCAUCGUAGUGAAAAUUUAAUGAAAAUUACGUAUACAACGAGAUUCGAACCUUAGACCCUUAUAAACCUUAAUAGUUACCGUAACCAAUUGAGUUGAUCUCUUUGUGUCUUGAUUUAGGGUUUAGUAUAAUUUUCGCUUGAAUAUUGAAAAAUCACAUUGUGUAUUUAAUUAUUUAUAUUGAAUGAUUGAUGCAGGUCUUACCAGAUUAACUCAUCUAGAUCUUUUUGGAGCCCGUAUCACAGACACUGGGACUAGCUGUUUCCGACGUCAGUUAUCUGUUUUAAUAUUAUUUAUUUUUGCUCAGACUAUUAUAGCUCAUCUAUUAUUUCAUUUACUUUUUAAACAUUGGCAGACCUAAAGAAGCUCCGAUCGCUUGAAGUGUGUGGAGGAUCGCUUACUGAUGUUGGUGUGAUGAACAUUAAGGAUCUCGCAUCCUUGAUUUUUUUGAAUCUUUCACAGAAUUGCCAUCUCACAGACAAGACAUUGGAAUUAAUUUCCGGUAAUCCGUAAUCUCUCGUCUCUGUGAAGGCGGCAUAGUGGACAGAAGUUAUCUUAAUCAAUUUUGAUGUUUGAAUCUUCCCAUUGCAGGAUUGACUGAUCUGGUUUCUCUGAAUGUAUCAAACUCACGUAUAACCAAUGAUGGGCUGCAGCACCUUAGAAAUUUAAAGAAGUUGAGAUCGCUCUCUCUUGAAUCUUGCAAAGUCACUGCAACAGAGUUAAAGAAGCUUCAGUUGUCUGCCCUUCCUAAUAUUGUAAACGUGCGACCAGAGUAGGGUGGGUAUUUUAAUGAUGAAGGUUGGUCAAAUCUCAUUUUAUGUAUAUAAAUGUAAAUUAUGUGGUGUGGUGGUUUUUAAGAAAAAUAAAAGUUUAAAGAGUGCUACAAAUUAAUAUUAAUAGCUCAAGAUAUUUAAAUAAUGAUUCAUGUAAUAUUUUUAAAUAAUGUGUAUAUAUGGAAAAUACGAAACAGUUUUGAGUACUUUAAAAGGUAGGGUGUUAAACGGAGAAAGAAGUAGUUUGUGAAGAGGAAAGAUGGGGUGUAUGAGAAGAAGAAGAGAUUCAUGAUGAAAACAAGGAAGAAGAGGUUCCUGAGAAGAAAGAAGCUGAAGAUAAAUGGAAAAUGAAGAAGAAGCUGAAGUUAAUGAUGCAGAUAUUGGAAGCAUCGAUUGGUAGAGGGGAAAGAAAAUAAAGAUAAAUGGAAAAUGGGUUUUGAUAUUGGAUACAAGGAAGAAAUAAACGAUAACAGAGUAAGUGUUCAGAGAGGAGAUAAAAAGGAAAAAAAUGGAUAUGAUGACGUGAUGUUGAUAUUGACUAAAAAAAAUGUAAGAUUUAAAUGAAACGCUCGAUUAUAAAUUGUGAGAUAAAAACCGUAUAUUAGUCUUAAAAAGGUAUUAAUCUUUUCUGAUAAUUAUUGUAUACAUUUUCUCUGUCUUGUACUCUUCAUUCUUGUCAUUCAUUAUCAUUAAUGAAAACUUUUACUGUUUCAAAAAAUAAUUAAGUUAAGAACAUCGUCAUUGUAGUAUAAAACAAAAAAAAAACAGCCAGAUAAAACACAUCAAUUUUUUCUUUUUACAAAAUUAAGUUAUUUGGAUGUAAAGUUACCAACUAUCGACAGAACAUACAUACUCUAACAAAUAGUCUUAAUUUUAACACAAUAAAUACUAGGGUAUGUAUUUAAUAUUAGGCCUACAUGGAAGAAACUUUGAAACCUAACGGCAUUUCAUAACAAGGAAUGACAAUUAGACUUUAAUGCUAUAAUGAAUUCCUUACAGCAAAAAUAACUGCUGGUUUUUCUGCAAAUGGGGGAGCAGCCAUCCGAGCAUAACCAUAAUCAGUCAAAGUAAAAUGAGGAAAAAAUAUUAAGAUGGAGAAAAAAAGAUGAACUUUGCACUUUGAAUCAUCUUCCAUUCUACUAUCUCUGUGGUUGAUCUGAACCUGAAUUUCCAGCGGGGGUUGCAGUGGACAUACUACUUGCUGAUCCAUUCUCAGAAGGUUGAGGAACACCCCAUUUUCCCUCUGAUUCAAGUGGCUCCAUAACAUGAACUGCUCCAUCUGUAAGCCCUAUUGCAAACUGACUGGGCUCUGUUGGAUGCGCUGCAAUAACCAGAGGAUAUACUGACGUGCUACAAGAACCAACAAAGAUGUUAGCAAAAAAUAACCUUUUCCGAAUUUAAGUUGGAUGGUAAACAAGAAUACCUAAAAUUAGCAGGUGAAUAAGCAGCAGGAUUUAUCCGGCAUCGCAAUCUGAGGUUUGAGGCAUUGAAUAUGCAAAUUGAAGCAUCCGUGAAGCUAGCAUAUACAAGCUGACUGUCGCAAGAAAAUGUAGCAUGGGAUAUAGAAGGAGAGGAUUCCCGACAUACCCACUAAAACAUUUUAAAAAAUGAGUCAGAAGAAAAUAAACUUAAAAGCCAGCAUACGAUGUUCUCACAAUCCAAGCAUGGGAGGAAUACCUGUUUCACACAUUCCAAUUUCAUGGUUUCAUAUAUUGCAAGCUGGGUUUCAUGCACGGCUAGGAAAUGCAUCUGGUCCUGAUGAAAUUGCACACGUGUCUCUGAAACUGUUGCAGGUGUGCGCCCAGCAGGAAUCUGCAAAAAUCUGUUCUUUUGUUUUUCCCAUCCAUCUGUACCCCAGACAAAAAGCUGCAGUGUGUACGGACAAUCAUGAGUCAGAUAAUAGUACUGUUUAAAAGAUCAUACAAAAACGUUAAGAACACUUCUUUUUUGGUAAUAGGCCAGAAAUUAGUUAAGAAAAUAUACCAGAAAGCAUAAAUAAGAAAUUACUUAAGUAAAAUGAUUCAAAGUUUGGUUAUGUGCUGAUUUCGUCAUCAAGUGGUGACGAUUUCCUCCUUUGCGAGCCUGGUUUGAUUGAUGAUCGGGGUCGUUGCACUCCAACUCGACAUUGCCUCCAAUGACCUUCUAUGAACUGCCUUGAAUUUCUCGGGCUUGAAGAGUGUUUCUACAUCUUGAAGCAUCCUUGCUUGUAUAGUUGUAUCACAUUUGGGGGUCUUGAUUUGCCUUCCUUCCAUCUUGCAUUUCUUCUCCGACCAUAGGUACCAUGGAAUUCACUAAGGUAUAUACCGUAUCCCCCCCCCGAAACAAGAAGAAUUCCCAUGAAUUCGGGUUGAGAAAGUCAUUCAAAAUAAUUUAGAAUUGAGGACAGUCUUCCGAUUUCCACAACCCAAGAUACAACACGGGGAGAAUUCGCAUGUAAACCUAAGGAAGACAGACAGCUAUUUUCAGAUGUCAAGUCAAUCAGAACCCAGAACCAAAGGUGGUUAUGGAAUCACUGUUGAUUAGAGGCAGGUCUGCAGGACAUUUGCUAAUUCCAGAACAUUUUUGUACUUUUUCCUAGUAACAAAAACAUAUAAUUCAACCAUUGUAGUGGCCAGAGAAGAGGGUGCAAAAUGUCUCUGGCUAUUUUUCUUCUAGUGCAGAGGAAAAAUGAGUCUUCUGUAAUCUUCUAUUUAUUAGAUGUAAUUUGUGCAUAAAAAGGUAAGUAAAACAUUGCAUAAAAUAACACAAACCUGAGAAUCAGCCCCUGAUGAGACUAGCACGUUCAAUACAUUUGAGAAAGCAAGACCAGUGAUUUUUUUCGAGUGACCUCUGAGUUUGCUCUUAACCUGAAUAGAUAAGAAGAAAUUAUUUUGAUGGGUGUUCAUCAGAAAGAUGUGAUAAAUAUUUGUUUAGUUUUAGAAAAUAGUAAAUAUUCCACAUGCCUCAUCAACUCGAACAUUAUAUAUUUGGAUUGUUGAAUCAUCCAUGCCUAUAGCAAUUAUAUUAUUAUCUUGUGGAUGGAAAGCAAGAAAUGUUGCCGCUGGUGGUGAAGGCAUAAAAGUUGUCAUGGUCUGCAGUUAGCAAAAUAUAAAGGAAAAAUUAUGAAUCUUGAAACAAUAUAUGAAAUAAGUCAAUGACGUAAUCAAAUAUUAUCAAAUGGCAAACACUAAAUAAUACCUUAAAUGUCAUCAUGUUGAACAAAGAAAUUUUUCCUCCUGAUGCGGACAUAACAUAAGAAUCAUUCUUUGAUAGGGCAAAGCAUGACACUGCUUCUUCAGAAUUUAUGUCUACAAUGUCAUUUGUCAUCAUUAUGCCGCUAGGCGGUUGCCACAUUUGAGGGGAGACGUUUGUUGUUGCCUGAAAUAUUUAUUAGUGUUAUAAUAAUAAGUUUAUAGCAAAGUGAUAGAGUAACAAGGUAUUUCAGCGAACUGUGCUAUAGACAUAUAUAAUGAAAGGAAGCAAUACAUGGUCAGAUAUUGAUGUUUAACAAUAAUACCAUUUACCUUUCCAAUUGAAUUUCGAUCACUACGUGGCCAUUUCCAGAGCAUAUGAAUUGCAUUUGAUGCCAAAGCCAGCAAUGCAAUACCAGAAUUGGUAUAAAUUAAUCUUGAAAUCUGUAAAAUUGACAAUAAACUCAGUUCAGACAUCAGAUAAUGUAUUGGAAAUUUUUGAAUCAAGGAUGGAGAUAAUUGCAAAUAUUGGAAUUAUUUUAUUUGAAAAUACAAAUUAUUAUCAUACCUUGCUUGAUCUCAAGUUAUCACCAAGUCUCAGUGAUCGACAUUGAGCUGGUUCAUUUAUUUCAGUAAGUUUCCAGAUCUUUGAUUUAUCCAUCGACUCGUCAAUUAUUCUUGGUUUAACGUCUACUAAACUUCUUGUUUCCCCAUUCUAGAGUUAAAUGAUUUCAGAUAACAGAAUUCAUUAUUAUACUGCUAUUAUUCAAUAACCAUCAUGCCAUCAAUUACAGGGAAGAAAAACAGGAAAAUGAUGUAAAUAAUAUAAAUACGAACCAUGGCAGAAAUAGGCAUUGAAGGGACCAUUCCAGUACUGGUUGUAGCAGCAACAGAUGGCAUUGGGCUUAUUAUUGGCUGCACAUACAAACAAGGUCAAUGAUACAUCUUAUAAUACUUGUCUUUUAGGAAAAAGAAAAUCGAUAAAGACCUUUGUAAGUGACUCAGAAACAUUCUUUGAGGAAUCAUAUGAACGAUUUUCCAGUGCACGAAGCAACCGAAGUCCAUCAGAAUUGCAUAAUAUCUUUAUUCCACCUUCAUUAGUGGAGACAGCCAAAAGUGUACCUUCCUUGUUGAAACGGAUCCGUGGGCUUGCCUAAUCAGAUUAAAAAGAAAUUCAAACAGUUCAAGAUAAAUGCUUUUCUUUUAGUUUUAAAUCAACUAACUUAUCAAUGAAAUUUUACCUGUAAGCCACCUUCAGCAUCAAUUGUAGUUAAAAGAUUGACAUUAUCCAUAUCCCAAAAUUUUAUUACAAAUUCAUCACCGGCUGCCAGGAAUCGAUUCUUGGUAGUAUCAAACUGAACAACACCCAUUGAACGUUUUCGGAAGCCCUGGUAGGUUCUUUUCACAGCUCCUUCACUUUCAUUCCAUUCUACAAUGUAUGAAUCGCCUUCUUUGCUGGUCCCACAAGAAAAUAAUCUGCACAAAUAAAGAAAUACAGUGAGAAUUUAUAUGGUUAAAAAAUGUAUGGUUUCUACUACAAAGGUAAAAUCACACCCAAACAUUGACCUGGUACCAUCAGCGCUGUAAGCCAUUGUCGUGCACCAAUGACCUGGGGCGUCAUAGUCAACUCUAGAUCCUUGAUUAUCGUAUAGCCAUGCUUUUAUUUUACCAUCUAAUGCUGUAGAGAAUAUAAACUGCACAGGGAGAUAGGAAAUUGAGGAAAAUAUCAUCUUUCAUUGUCAAGGAAGAGUAGAUAUAAUAUAAAAAUAUAGAUGCAUGACUGCAUGUAUUAGUGACAUUAUUACCUGAAUAUUUUCCUUGUAAUGAGGGCACACAGAAUAAACAGCUGCUUCAUGCCCUUCAAAAGUAAAUUGCAGUGUGCCAUGUAUUGCAUCCCACACCUGAUUUAUAUAAAAAUAUAGCGAUGAUUAUUUGUGUAUGACAACUACUGAUGGAGAUCUAAGAAUUCAGACAGACCUUAAUGGUUUUGUCAUCUCCACAUGUUAUCACGGAAAGUUGCUUAUUAGGGAGAGAGAAUGCAAGGUCAUUGACGCCACCAACAUGGGCAUCAAUCUGAGAUAUAUUCCAAAUUCCAAAAAUAACAGAAUUCAAAAUGCAUAAGACAGAAUUGAUAAAAGGUUAAAAAGUAGGGAUGUAGUAUUGAUGUUCUCCUCACCUCCAAGUGGUGCUUCAGGUCAUCACCACCAUUAAAGGAAUAUAUCUGGAUAAUAUGCCGUGAAUAUGCCACUCCUGUAGCAAUGAAAAAUGAGUGUUAAGACUCAUUUAUUUUAAUCCAUGACUUUGUUGCUACAGAACUAUAGAAAAUUACCAAACAAAGAGCCAUCUGGACACCAUAUAAUACGGUUGACUGAUACCCCUGGCUCUUUAACUAGUGAUGUCUGCAGUGUAUAAAAGAUAAUUUUAGAUUAUUAAGUUUCUAUAAGAGAAUAUAUCCAAUCUACCAUUUUGCUUAUUUAUAAGAAGUAACCUGAAGAGAUGCAGAACAUUGACUAAUUUCCCAGACCUUGAAAUUCUUCAAAACCAACCUCUCUCGGCUACCAACAUCCCAGAGUGCAAUAUCUCCAAUGUCCGUACCAACUAAACAAUCAUGGCAUUGCAUAAACAUGUUAGUUAUCGAGAAGUGUAUUAAAAAUAUGACAAAACAAGGAUGAAAACAUAAUAAAAAAGAGGCUGACCAAGUAAUACAGUUUGCUGAAUGGGAUGAAAAUCCAUGCUCAUUAUAUUUGACCCCUGAAUCAAUGUCCUUGCUACAGUUUUGGGCAAGUCAUCUGAGUUGUACAUUAAUUGAUUAUGAUUCUGGCCUGGAUACGUAGCUGCCAUUAUAUUAACGGGUAAAUUUACCUGAAAAUAAAAAUGAUAUAUCAUGUAGAGCCACUGAGUCAGUAAAAAAUUUGUCGAAAAUACCACAUGUGACAGUACCAUAACAAAUAUUACAUAAGCCUGCAUUUAAUUCAAUUCAUUCUAAUCCAACCUACCUCAUUAGAAAUCCCAUGGGGUCUUGUCCUUUUCGAUAUAUGAUCAGAAUCAGCUGAUUGAUAGUCUACAGAAGGAUUGCCUGUUGAUGCCCUGGGAUGCUUCAAAAGUGGAGCUGCAUUAAAGCGGAUAACAAUAAAUACCCAGAAAAAAAUAUUGAAUUUAUCAUAGUCGAUGUUUUUCUAGAUGCAGCAGAGUAUAUAAAUUACACUGAGAUGUAGCAGCAUUGAGUCCAAUAGUUGCACCAGAAACAGCAGGAUGUGUGAUUGUUGAUGGAUUCGACAUCCAACCAGCUAAGGGUGCAGGGACUCCGGUGGGUUGAAAAGGCUGUAUUUAAGAAUUGAUAAUUUUAUCUUGUCAUAUUAAAUGAUUUGUGGAGAAAAACAACUUGAAGAAAAAGUUUUUGUAUGAUUUACCCCAUGUGCACCUAGUGGAGGGAAACCACCAGGCUUUGGCAUAGUUCCUAGCAAUGGAUUAUUAAUUGGUGGUGGGACAUGGGCACCAUUUUGUUGUCCACAAGAAUGAUCAACAAACAGAGUUUUAAUAUCUGGAUUAGGUCUUGGAUUUUUGCAAAGUUGAUGCUGCCAAUUUAAGCUGUUAAAUGACAAAGUAGACAAAUUAAUAUAUUAGUUAAAAACGUAUACUCAACAGUCAACACAUAAAAUUUAAAUCCAAUCAUGAAAAUGUUAAGUUAAGAACUCCCAACAAGUAUCAAACAACCUUUUAUUGAACUUGAAUGUAAAACUUAUUUAUAGAGGGUAGCUCGAGUGGUGUUUCACCUACAUACGCUAAAGUUUAUAUGGGAACAAGAGUUCACCGCCCACUAGGAACAUACCACGUCGAAUUUAUUUUACCUUAUGAUUUAUUUGAUGGGCUCUGAUAUGCCCAUCAAGAGAUUUUAACCUUUUAUCACUACCUUGGAAAGGGAGAAUUUUCCUCUGCAACAAAAAAAUGGAAACCCCAAACCCUAGAUUUCUGAUAAAACGUCAAAAUUCUUAAAAAUUGACAUUUUAAAAUGGCAAACAUUUCCAUAGUUAACAUUCCAAAAUUAUGAUCAAAAUAUCUAGCAUCGCUUGUAGUGUGAUUAAACUAUAUAAACUUUAGAUUCUACUGCUAUUAAAAUUCAAGCAUAAAUAUUUUGACCAUGUUGUUGAAACAUAGGGUUAUUACGGACUAGUAGAAUCUAAAAUGUUACAUAGUGGUAUGAGAUAUCAGAACUCAUAUUAGCCAAAAUUUGUGAAAGCUAAGUGCUACACUUAAAUAGGAACGUGAAUUACCUCUGGAAUUCCACAAUGCCUUCGGAACUUCAAGUUUAAGUAUUUUGAGUUUUUGACUCAAUUGUUGAGUCUUAGGGCUAGUGGAAACUAUGAUAUUACAUCCACUAUAGGAAUGUGCAUUCAAUAAGUCAAUCUGAAUUCUGAAUAAAAAAUAUCCUUGCAAUAAAUAGGAAUAGCGAUGAUCCAGAGAUAAAAAGGAAUUACCCUUGGCUGAAUUUAUACACCAAACCCUAGAUAUCUAUAAAAAUAAUAUGGUUUUUAAGUGUGAAAACAUAUUUCUGCUUUUAUUAUCAUCUAUUGAUUUUUUUUAUAUCGAAAAUAAAUUUUAAAUUGUAGAUAGAUAUUCUUUUUAAUUAACAAUAACUUUCAUUCUUGUUUUAGAUUACCUUUGAUUGAUGAGUGUACGCAACCUGGAACUCUUGAGGUUAGGAAACUGCAACUUUUCGCGAAAAAGUGGAUUUGCUUCAAUCAACUUCUUGAGUUCGAGCAACAUGAUUGCUCUUGCCGAUUUGGUAUCCCCAUACUUGGAGAGUUGCUCAUUUUCCCUGUUUACAACAAGAGAAGCAGAGACAAUAUCAGGGAAGUAAAUUAAACUUACAGAAACACAGUAAGGAGCAAAAGAUUCGAAAAGAUACCUGAAAUUCUCAAGUGUCAAAAGAUGAGUUAUUUCUUUGAACAACUCUUCAUUAAAAGAAGCAAACACCUUUAAAUCCUUAACGAGUAUGUCAACAGCUUUGGACCGGUCAUGCCUAGAUCAAAAUGACAAGUUUAAAUCAAAAUCAAAUCAAUGCUGCUAUAGUUUAGUUAGGGUGAAAUAUUAUCAUAGUUGAGCAAAAGAUUCUUACUUAUCCAAUGAUUCGAGAUACUUCUGCUUCCUGAUUUCAAAGAAGAUCUUCAUGGAGUAGCGAUUAUCAUCCACUUUAGUAAACCCAGAAAGAUACCUCUCAACCUCAUCCCAGUUUCCAUUGUGUACUUCCUCCUCGAAAUACUUCAGGUUGAAGUAAAACCCUGAUUCCUGCUCGAGUCUGCAAUAAAUAAAACUCUUCAUAAAAAAAAGUUUCCUUGACCAACCCACACCCCUCACUGACUCGAUAAAAAUGAAUGCAGAAGAAGAAGAACCCAUUAAAACGACAACUUUACUACUUACUUAUGAACAGCUUCCUUGAACUUCUCCUCAUCAAGAAAUUGUAAAAUAAGAAACACCAGUUCCCUACUAAGUGAAGACAUCGCCAACUCCAGCUGCCUUUUAUUUUUGUAAACAGUACCCCUGUAAUAAAAAAACAUCAAAAUAAGUUAAAAGAAACUCAGAUCUCCUGGAAGAAAGAUUUUAAAAAGAGCCGCCUUUCCUUACGCCCCUGAGCAGAAGAAAAUAACCAACGAAUGAAUUAAAACAGCAAAAAUGUAUUCGAAAUCCAUCUCUUUGAAAGCAAAACAACAAUCGACAAACCAUUCUCUAAACCGCCUACCUGUUCAAACACGAGAAUCCUUGAAAAUCGCAUUUCAAGGCGAGAGAUCGAAAGAAACCUAGUUUGUGAGGAGAUCGAGAUCAAAGAGUAUAACUUUGACCAACAAAACGGACUAUCAGAUAGACAGAAACAAUAAAAAAAAUGAUAAUAGGAAGAGGAAGAAGAAAAAGGAGAAGAUAAAAAGGAAAAAAAAAAUAGUGGAAACAACCACAUCUUUUUAUCCCCCGACCGCAUCACAAAGAAACAUUCACAUCGACAAUAAAAAAAGCCCAAAUCACCAUUGCGAACUACUCUUCCCAAAUCUCACCUUGGAGACGACGAAUCCAACGACGACUAGAGAUCGGAAUAAACCAGGGGGGGAAACGAUAUUUCAGGAAAAAGAUUGUGUGUGUGUGAGAGAGAAGAGAGAGAAAGAGGAAAGGGGUAGGGUGAGGCAGUGAGAGAGAGAAAGAGACGAUACUUAUAAAUAAAAAAUGAUAAGUAAUUCUACUUAUCAAAAUAGAAAAUGGAUACGAUGAGUGAUCAAUUCGUGUAGUGUGGGGACCACAUUCGACGUGAUUAUCGUUUCGUUCCUCUCUUUAUGUCGGAGAGAUCCGAUGGAGAACAGCUAUCCUUCUAUUGCUGUGGACUGUGGUUACCUUCCUUCUUUUACCCUCUUGCCCACUUGUUUGAAAAUUAGUUAAUUUUCCAAAUUACAAUGAUAGAUUUAAAACGUCAUAUCAACGGUGAAAAUUAAAAUUUGUUAUUAGGUUUUUCGUUACUCGUUUUCACAGUUAACUAAUUAAUUGGAGAUUUUAAAAAGUGUGUAUGUAUAAGAAGAAAAAUAGAGCAAAGUGUCAAAAAAAAAAAAAAAAAUCACCGGUGAGAUUAAAGUCGGUGAACAUACUCGAACUCUUGAAGUCAUAGCCUGACAAUGCAGGUGCAGCAGUGAAAACGACAAGGAAACAAAACCAAUUAAUUUUGUAUUUAAAUAAAAAGAAAAUAAAGACGGAUGUAAAAUUACAAAAACUGCCACCACUUCACACUGCUCUUUCCCUCUCUCUUUCUAAAUUCUAAAUUCUAAUGGAGUUUUAGGAGUUGAAAAGGACGAAUAUUAUCACAUGAAUGAAUGAAUACACGAUGCGUAUCAUUCACGAAACGAGGACAACAACCGACCGUCGUGUCGCGAUAAUUAGACGAUAUUUAUAAAGUAAGAUAAUUUGUCCUUUAGCGAAGUCGGGGAUGGAUGGAUGAAGAUUAUGCACUUCCUUCGACUCUCCUAUUAAAUUCGAUUCAGAACUCAAUAAAACGAAGAGACGGCGAUAGAUUCAAGGAUUCUCGAUUUUGAAAAUUGGACUGCCAAAUCAUUUUUCAUUUAAACACACAACUAAUUAAAUAAUUAAAAUGAUAAGUACAUGGAGAUUAGAAUAUUAUUAUAUUACCCCUCCCCAUUUUCUGUUUUGGACGAUAACGUUGCAAACCAAGUCUAUCGAGUAUUCGAUCCGUUUAAAUAAACGAAUUUAUUCUUAAGUUUGAGUUCACAAACUGAAUCUGAACCGAAUAAUUCGGCGAAUACCGAAUUUUUUUACAUUAUCUUAAAAAUAAAUAUUAAAAAAAAUAAACAUUUCCAACUAUCUUUAAAAAAUAAACAAUAAAAAAAAUAUUAUUUAUAGUCUAUUUUCUUUUGUUGAGUCAAUCCUUAAUCACAACACAACCGUCUCAAUCCUAAAGUCACGGCAAGACUAAAACCCUAAAACCUAAAAAAUUAAUAUAUAUACUGAUCGCGUCCCUUUGGAAAGGUGGUUGAUCUCUAUUCCCGUAUAAUCACAAGUAUCUUACAAGUAUAUUCUAAGUGUAUUACAAGUGAUCCCCCCUUUACACUUCACCCUUAGGGGUAUUUAUACAAUUUCCUAUCGGACUCUGGGUCCUAUGCUUUCGGAUUAGGGUCCGGUAUAACGGAUCCGACAUACUUGGGACGCCAUCUUUGGGAAGUUAACCGCUCGGGCUGACGGGUCCUUCCAGUCGACCUGGUCGGGCGAGUGUUCGUGGGGCUGACGGGUCCGCCCGACCGAUUUGAACGGGUGAGUGUCCUUGGGACGACUUGGGCUUUCUUCUUUCAUUCAUCUCGCUGGGUCUUGCUUCUGGACUCCUUCGUGGGUCUGGGCUGGUAACUUGGGGGUACCAUCAGUACUCCCCCCUCUUCCUAUCCUAUAAAUAGGUUGCUUUCUUUUAUUUGAUUCACUUUCUCCUCAUUUACCAUGUCUUCUCUUGAUGAUUUGUUGCAGGAGCUGGGAUUCGAGUUGGCACGUCAGCGAGGUGUUUGGCCAGAUGAUCUUCUUCAGCACCUCUGUGACAUCGAAGAUUUUGCUGUAGGUAAUCCUCGUUUGUCUCAACUGGUCUCGGAAGUCUCGCACCGCAUUCGCGCUCUUCAGCAAGUCACCAAUGGUACCGGUGUUGUUGUUCCAGCAAUGGCAACUGUUCCCCGCAACCGUCGGCCUGCUGCUCCGUUCGGUCCUCCUGUCCCUGCUGCUGUCUUUAACGUGGCUUCUGCUCCUCCCCCCUCCCCUGGGGUUCCUGUGCCUGCUUCCACUGAGUUUUCUUCAACUGAACGCUCCAUCGCACCUGCUCCUCGUCGUCGCCGGGGACGUGGGCCGCGCGCCGGACGCUCGGGACCUCCUCCAGGCGAUCUUCGUUACUUCUUAUCUCGUGGCCCGCCUUGACGGGCUUCUUUAAUGUGUGUUUUUUUUGGGAGGCUUUGUGUCCUCCUUCCUAUUAUGUAUUUGAAUGUUUCUUUUGUUCCCUGCAGUUCCUAUGACUUCUACAAACUCAUUUGUGUCUCUCUUACGCACUGAUGUAACUUUUACCUUUAACAAUUUUCUUUUUGUACGAGUGGUUUUUUUUGAUGUGUUUAUCAAAUGUAACUACUUGUUGGUUAAGGAUCUGGCAACUUCCAAUUUUCAACUAUGAUCUUAUUUUCUCCCGGCAUUUCGACUACCAGGUUCUCUACGUCUGAUUUCCCCAUGAGCCAUUUGAGCAGGUAUUCCAGCUACUUUUUUUUAGGGUCGUGUGUCGCUUACUCUGGCGGGACUUUUUUUAUAUAUACGAUUGCUUUUCUUCAGGUAUCUUCCCUACGGCCAUUUUGCCCCACUCCCCUCGAACAUUCGAUCUGGCCCACUGUACCGUACGACCCAUCCGGUCCUUGGGUAUGAACUUCUACCUUCUAGGAAUACUUUUGAUUUCCCACCAAAAAAAUUCUUCAACGGUUGCUUCUCUCCAGGCUACUUCCCUACGGCCAUUUUGACCCCUCUCCUUCGAAUGUCCGAGCUGACUAUACUUGGAGAAAAAUGCACUUAAUCUUCCGUACGGUCCAUCCGUCCUUCGGGUAUGGAAUUUUAUUUUUUGGAAAUAUUUUUGAUUUCCCGCCAAAAGAUCUUCUAUAUAUAGUCUCUUCCCACUUCACUUAUCUUCACUUCUCUUUUUUUUUUCAGUAGGGUUUCUCUUCCGCUACUCGCCGCAUCUUCUCCCAUGGCCGAUCUCACUUCCUUCUUAGACGAUAUUUCCGAUUUCAACGGUAACUCUCUAAACUCCUCUGAAGAUCCUCCCUCCAUACUUAGUAGGCGGCGAGCCCGUCGUCAUUUCCAGGUGAUCGCUCCCUCUGUAGCGAUAGCUCAUCUUGAGAUCCCAACGAUGCUCCUGCCUCUUCGCCUCCAGACGGCUAUACUACCCUUUAUUCGGGUUUUGAGGACUUAGGGCUUCGGCUUCCCGCCUCCCCCUUCCUCUUGUCUUUUCUUUCGUAUACUGGUGUUGCUAUUUCCCAGCUUUCCCCCUCUAGUUUCGAUCGUGUUGUUUCGUUCGAGCGUUUGUGCCAUGAACUGCACUUGAAGCCCUUCGAACGUGUUUUCCGUCUGUUUUUCUUUAUCUCCCGACCCAAUUCCGCACGGCUUUUGUUUUCUUCUAGAAUAAGACAUAAACUCCUUGAUUCUUAUCCCGAUCGUUCGCAUCGGUGGAAAAGCCGUUAUUUCUUUGUAAAGAGCCACUCCGUAGGAUUGUCAGGGAUCCCUUCCAAGUGGGUAAACACUUCCUCCUUCAAUGCUGGGAACCUUUCCGUAGGGGAGCUUUCUCCGGAGGAACAUGAUGUGUACUCCCGCCUUUUAUCUGUUCGUUCAAAUCCUAUCGAUUAUUCUAGUUUGAUGACCGGGACUUGGAAAUCUGUUCACCCGCAUCUCGUCCCCUCUGGUAAUUUAUAUUUGACUUUGUUAAUUUUUCCUUUCUUUUUCAGGCGAACCUGACGGAGAAGGUUUGUCGGGCUUUUUUGCAGGAUCCGGAAAUGGUUGAUAAUGCUGGUGAUUCUUCCAACGUUCUUUCUGACGACGUCACUAAGUACAUUAACUUUUCUGAUGAUGCAAGUAACCAAAGCUUUGGGGAUCGUCUGUUUGUGACUGAACAUAUGCAAGCCCCUCGGAUUGCUGGGAUCUACGAACAAGCGCUCGGCCGAUUGGAUUCCACGGUUGAAAAGGAGGUCGACUGGGCGACCUUGGAAAAAACUGUCCUUGACGAUAUUGAUGAAGCGUGCUACAUCCGGGCUCUUCAAACCGUGGCUAUGGAGCGUCAUCGACAGAAAAGGGGGAUACAACGGACGCGUGAACUUAAUGAUGCCUUGGCUGAAAUUACUCGUUUGACCCAGGUACUUGCUUUGAAGGAUGCUGAGAUCGAGUCUUCUAGGGUGAAGAACGAGUCCCUCCGGGCAGAGAGGGACGAGAAGGCCGUCCGAGUUGCGUCCAUGGAAGCGGACAUCGCGCGUGCCAAUGUGAAGUUCACUGAGCAAGCCAAGAAUUUGGCCGAACGGAACAAGCGUGCUUGCUUCAAAAAUUUUGUUGAAGGCAUGGUUCACGGGCGGGAUAUGGUGAAUCUUCGGAGUCCUGAGUAUGAAUCCACCGUUGUUCCUAUUAAUCCACCAAUGUGGGAGCAGUGGAAAGCGACUGGGAUCCCUACGGAGCAUCCUGCCUGGCCCAAGACUCUCUCCGAUUUGACAGGUCAAGAAAACCAGUAGCUUGGAAGAAUUUUCAAAAAAAAGAACAAUUAAAACAUACCUUUUGUUUCUGUAAUUUGAAUUUUUAUUUCGUACUUUUGCUUAUUAUUUUCCUUUCUUCGUCCUUGUUUCCCUGCAAAUAUCUUCUUGUUAUAAUUGUUCAAGGGCGCCAUUAACCCUAUCUUUCGUUGAUAUUCCUUACGGUCUUAUUGCCCUGAGGUUUUGUUGGCUUUUUUUUUUUUUUUUUUUUUAGUAAAAUAACUUGUUUAAAAUAAAACUUUGUUCCUCUAUACAAUUACUUUUAUUGAAAAUACUUUGAUAAAUUGUCCGACUGCCAAGUUCUUUCUAUUUUCUGGCCGUCCUCGAAUACUAAUUUGUAGAUUCCCGGACGGACUUCCUCCACGACUACGUACGGUCCUUCCCAUUUUGGAGACAAUUUUCCUUUAGUUUGGUCCAGCCCAGUGAUUCUUCCAUUCCUUAGUACCAAGUCUCCUAAGUUUAUUUUCUUUUCAUUUACUUUUUUAUUAUGGUAUCUUGCCGCCCUCCUUUUGUAGGUCAAAUCUCUUAUUGCUGCGAUUUCUCUCAAUUCUUCACACCUUUCUCUGGCUAGUAAGAUGGCCAAAUUAUUAUCUUUUGGAUUAAAAUUUGUUAUCCUUGCUGUUGGCCAUACCACUUCUGCCGGGGCUACUGCAUCCAUUCCAAAUGCUAAGGUAAAUGGUGGAUGUCUUGUCGGCGUACGUACGGUUAUUCUGUACGCCCACAUUGUUUCUGGUAUUAAGUCUGUCCAUGUUCCUGGAUUGUCUCCUACUUUUCUUUUGAGUAUAGAUGUUAUUGUCCUGUUUGUGACUUCGACUUGCCCGUUUGCUUGUGGAUGAUAUACUGGGGCAAAGCUCAUCUUUAUACCACUAUCUUCACAAAAUUUCUUCACUUUUUUCCCCGUAAAUUGUGUUUCAUUGUCUGUUAUUAUUUGUAAUGGAACCCCGAACCUGCAGAUGAUAUUCCUAAAAAUGAACUGGAUGACGUUAUGUUCUGAUAUUGUGCUUGUUGGUUCGGCCUCGGCCCACUUGGUGAAGUAGUCGACUGCAACAAAUAAAAAUUUUCGACCCCUUGAUGCUACUGGAAAAGGCUCUACGAUGUCUAAACCCCAUCGGGCAAAUGGUACCGAUGUGGUAACUGGAUUCAUUAUACUGGACGGCCUUCUCUGGAUAUUUGCGUGUCUUUGGCACUCAUUGCAACUUCUUACUAGUUCUUCAGAAUCUUUACUUAUUUGUGGCCAAUAGUAGCCCUGCCUUAUUACCUGCUUUUCCAACAUUCUUGCUCCCUGAUGUGGGCCGCAUGCUCCCUUGUGUGCACUUGUUAGUAUUUCUUUCCCUUCUUCGCGUGUAACGCAAAUCCGUAAGGGAAUGUUGUCCUCUACUGCCCUACGGAAAAGAUUGUCCCCUACUAUUGUGAACCAGGCCGCCUUGUUCUUCAGUUUUCUUUCUUCCAUCGCGUCCGUCGGGACUAUUCCCUUUGUAAUGUAACUUUUUAUCGGUGUUCUCCAAUCUUCUUCUACUGCCAGUGUUAGAAUUUUGUUUCUUUCAAUUUUUGCUAUUGAUGGUACUUCUUGCUGUUCCACUCGGAUCCAUCGUCCCUUCGGCACAUUUGGAAACGCGUCCAACCUUGCUAAAAUGUCUGCUUCUUUAUUGUCCGUACGGCUUAUGUGAUGUAGUUCCCAUUCUGUGAAAAAUUGCAUCAUGUUGCGUGCUGCCUCUGUGUACCGACACAUCCCUUCUUCAUUCGAUAUGAAUUCCUCGUUGACUUGGUUUGCCAUUAAUCGUGAAUCCGUAUGGAAUUUUUCCCUUCUGGCACCUAAUGCUUUUCCCAGUCGUGCCCCUACUAAUAGUGCCUCGUACUCUGCUUCAUUAUUUGUUGUUUUGAAGCCGAAAUUAAUUGCAUGCUCUACCUUUUCUUUUGUUGGGGUUUGGAUUGUUAUGCCUGCUCCACAUCCAGAAUUGCUCGCCGACCCAUCAAUAUGAAUGAUCCACCAACCUUCAGACUCUUCCACGCUUGGUGUAAACUCUGCCAAGAAAUCAGCAACUGCUUGCCCUUUGAUCGCUUUUGCUGGUACUAUACUUACGUAAAAUUCACUUAAUUCUACAGCCCAUUUCGUUAAUCUGCCCGACACAUCUGGUUUAUGUAAUAAUUGUAAUAGUGGAAAUUCUGUCGGGAUGGUUAUUGGGUGUGCUUAAAAGUAAGGUUUUAGUCUUCUUGCCCUUGUUACUAUUGCUAAUCCCAACUUCUCAAUUUGUGGAUACUUCUUCUCUGCUCCCUGUAACGUGAGGGAGUAAUAGUAAAUUGGCCGUUGUGUGCCAUCUCUUUCAGUCAUUAGAACUGCACUAGUAGCAUUGUCGGAUGCGGCUAUGUACAAUUUUAAUGGUUCCCCCGGGAAUGGUGGCUGUAAGGUUGGUAGAUUCUUUAAUUACUCUUUAAGUUUUUGAAACGCUUCCUCGCACUCUUCUGUCCAUGUUACUUCCGGGCUUGAUGAUUUUAUUAAUUUGAAUAGAGGUUGUAACGUGUCUGCCCCCCUUGCUAAGAAUCUGCUUAAUGCGUUUAUCUUUCCAUUAAGUUUCUGGACUUCUUUUAUUGUCUUUGGCGGGGUCAUUGCCAUUAUUGCCUCUACUUUUUCCGUACGGGCUUUUAUCCCGUGGGGAGUUAUUUUGAAACCCAAAAAAUGCCCUUCGGUGACUCCGAAGGAACAUUUUUUUGCCUUUAAUCGUAAACCUGCUUUUCUGAUGUUAUCAAAAGUCUCCUUUAGAUCUGUCAAGUGCUCUGCGACUGUUUUGGAACAAACUAGAAUAUCAUCCACAUACACUUCAAGGUUCCUCCCGAUUUGGUCCAUAGCCCUCUGGAAUGUUGCUCCUGCAUUACGUAAUCCGAAAGGCAUUACUUUGAAACAAAAGGUACCUGUUUCUGAUAUAAAAGAUGUCUUUUCUUCAUCUUCCCUAGCCAUAGGUAUCUGAUUAUAGCCAGAGUAUGCAUCCAUGAAACUGAGUAGUUUACAUCCUGAUGCUUGGUCAACUAAAUGGUCUACCGAUGGGAGUGGGUAUGAAUCCUUAGGGCAAACUUUAUUUACAUUUGUGAAAUCUACACACAUUCUCCAUCCUCCAUCUGCUUUCUUUACCAUUACUACAUUUGAUAACCAUUCCGGGUAUUUCACUGGCCGAAUGAAAUUUGCUUCCCUAAGUUUUCGUACUUCUUCAGCCGCCGCCUCUUUCUUAUCUCCUCUUAACGGCCUCAUCUUCUGCCUCACUGGUCGCACGUGCUUCCCUACCGCUAAUCUGUGUUCCGUAAGGCUCCGGUCGAUCCCUUUGAGUUCUGUUACAUCUCUGACGAACAGGUCUUCGUUCUCUUUGAGUAGUUUUACGAUACCAUUUUUAAUUUCUUGCGGAAGGUCGGCACCUAUUUGUAUAUUGCCACCACUUAGUUCCACUGCUACUGUGUCUGAAGCAGACUCGAGUUUUGAGCGUUCCUCCUUGACAGUAUGCGGGAGUUUAUUUUUUUCUUCUGCUGCAGUCAUUACUUGCCCCGUCGAGUUUAUAUAGCAUUCUCUCGCUUUCUUCUGUGAUCCCUUAACUGUGCAUAUCCCUGCUUCCGAUGGAAAUUUUAAACACUGGUGCAGAGAUGAUGUUACCGCCCCAAAUGCAUGUAAUGCUAUCCUUCCUAAUAUUGCUUUGUAUCCGGACGAAAAUGGCACUACCGAGAAUUUCACUAUCAUUGUUGUUUCUUGCGCAAAUUUUCCCAAUGUUACUGGGAUGUCUAUUGUUCCUAGUAUUUGGACUUCUCCCUGGCCAAAUCCAGUGAUCGGUGUGCCGCAUGGACCCAAAUCUGCCCUGCAAAAACCCAGUUGAUCAAAUGCACUCCAGUAUAGCACAUCUACUGAAGCCCAGUAUCCACUAGCACUCUGUUUAGUCUAAUUCUUUGUUUAUCCUCCCUCUGUACAAUAGGUGUUAUGACCAACGGGUCAUGAUGUGGAACCGUGAUUCCUGUCAGAUCUUCAUUUGAAAAACAGAUAUCCUCCCGAGCCUUGAUUUUUUUAAUUAUUCCAUCCGUCCGACUAAGAUCCUGUGCAUAUCUUUUUCCUUCGAAUCUUGUUCCUCCUCUGGCUGCUUCUCCUCCUGAUAUUUCUAAUAUUUCUCCGAUAUUCCUUCCUUCCUGAUCGUCCCUACGGUUCUAAUAUCCUGACAUUCUGACGUCCCUGUAGUCUUGAUGUCCUGUAGGCACCGGUGCUGUCCGUCGCGGUGGGGGAGAAGGUAUCCUUUGCCGUACGGGUAGCGAACCUUGCCUCUCUUGUAUUCUUUCUAAUUCCUUUGCCAGAAUCCAACACUCGGCCGUAGUAUGUCCUAUGUUUUCAUGAUAUUCACAAUACAAGUGCGGAUUUCGAUUAAUUGCUAUCUCCGUACGCAUUGGUCGCGGCUCUGGAAGCAUCCUAUCUUCUUUUAGCGCUAAAAAUAUCUGUCGUUGAUUAGGAAACGGAGUGACCCUUGGCGGGCCGUAAUUGAUGAAGCUUCCCCUUGGGAAAGUGGUCCUUCUUGCAUUAUCCUCUGGUAACUCCCUGUUUUGCGGUCGGGUUUCCAGUCUUGGCUGCUUUUGCUGUAUAUUCUGGUCGUACUGGCCUUUCGGUCUUUGACGUAUUUGUUUAUAUUUUGCUUCGUGGUAAUCUUCUACGUUUGAUUCUUUGUACGAUCUUUCCAUAGCUUCUGCAAACGUUGAUGGGAGAUCCCAUACCAAAUCCCCUGAAAACCUAGUUGGUCUUAAUCCGUUAACCAGUGCCAUCAGGACUCCUUCUUCUGAACAAAUAACUUUUUGAACUGCUAUCGCGAACCGAUCCAUAUAUUCUCGUGUUGAUUCUCGAUCUCCCUGUACAACUGUUAACAAAGUUGUAUUUAAACCUUUGCGCCUUAUUUUAUGCCCGAAGGCAACUUUGAACGAUUUUUCCAAGUCUUUGAAUGAAUUAAUGCUUCCCACAGGAAGGUUCCUGUACCAUCCCACUGCUUCUCCCUUCAAAGUUCUCCUAAACAUACGACACCAAAUGUCUUUUCGCCCUGUGGUGUCCUCCAUUUCCAUACGGAAUGAAUGAACAUGAUCUUCCGGAUCCGUCGUACCAUCAUAUGAUGUAAUUUUUGGGGCUCUCCACCCCGUCGGGUAUCCUUCCACUAAAAGAUGUCGUGCUAGAGCUUCUUCAUUAUCUGUUGGUGUUAGUUGGUCCAGAUAACCAAUUGACGGCCGUACGGGCAUGUUUUCAUGUAUAUUUCUUUUUGCCAUUGACACAAUUUGCUCUUGAAGUUGUCUUUGAUUAUUUUGCAAAUCCGCGAUGACUGUUAGGAGUUGACUCUCCCUUGAUUCCCGUAAUAUGGGAAAUGUUCUUCCAUAUUCCCUCCUGUGUUGUUCUGGUGAUCUUGAUCGACUUUGCUCCGACCAACUUGCAGAAACCCAUCUUCUGACAUUGACUCUACAAAUAACCGAGAGUCUUCACACGCAUGUUGCUGAGGGUGAUAGGGUGCUUCUUCGAUAUUUUCUUCUAAGUGCACCGGUUCGCCUACACCUUGAUUUUCAAGAGGAACCGUUGACAGCCGAUUCCUAUGCGUCUCUACCGCCGAGUUUUCUAAGUUUUCUUCCAUCUGAAUUAUCCGCUCCGGCUGCCCUGACUCCAUUUUGCGUGUUCGAUUCACGUCAGGUUCACCACUGAUCGCGUCCCUUUGGAAAUGUGGCAGAUCUACUCUAUUCCCGUAUAAUCACAAGUAUCUUACAAGUAUAUUCUAAGUGUAUUACAAGUGAUCCUCUCCCUUUUACACUUCACCCCUAGGGGUAUUUAUACAAUUUCCUAUCGGACUCUGAGCCCUAUGCUUUCGGAUUAGGAUCCGGUAUAACGGAUCCGACAUACUUGGGACGCCAUCUUUGGGAAGUUAAUCGCUCGGGCUGACGGGUCCUUCCAGCCGACCCGGUCGGGCGAGUGUUCGUGGGGCUGACGGGUCCGCCCGGCCGAUUUGAACGGGCGAGUGUCCUUGGGACGACUUGGGCUUUCUUCUUUCAUUCAUCUCGCUGGGUCUUGCUUCUGGACUCCUUUGUGGGCCUGGGCUGGUAACUUGGGGGUACCAUCACCCCUAAUAGUGAAGGUGCGAGGAUACUGGUGGAAAUGAAAGCUCAUGGAGAUUUCCCACAAGAGAUCCCCAUUUUCGUGAAGGAAGGUGAUGGACUAGUAGUGGUGGAAAUCAUACAGUGUUAUUACCAUAAACCUCCCCCAAAGUGUUGUAAGUGCAAAAUCUUCGGACACUGGAUGAACCAAUGUUCAAGUCUGUCAAACCUCGCCAACAGCGAGGCACCGACGGCAAGCCUGGCCGGCGGUGAUGCACCGACAGUAAACUCCGGCAAGGGUAGGCUGGAGCUUGAACAUGCAUGGCCCAACUCCCAACGUUGGUGGAUCCCAGAAUACACAAACCAAUGCAAAACUUGGUCACAAAGUUACUUAACAAGGAAGUAAAAUCUAUCCACACUACAAAAAAAGGACAAACACAACCUAGAGGAGCUAGGCUUCUUAGGGGAUGGCAAAAGGAUAUGGGUAACACAAAGGAGAGGCAACCUAACCAACCUAAAACCCUAAGGUUACCAACUUACCAUUAAGGAAUGGAUAGACAUUAACAAAAUUAGAAAGGGCCCAAAUAGAAGACCUCAUGAAGAACCCAAUCCAACCCAAUACGGAUCCAAAACCCGCUCCAUAACAGACAGAUCUAGUAAAGAUCCGGAAAAAGGAGGAUCCGACAAGAAAAACAUUAAUGGAUCUGAGCCAAAAAAGAUUGGAUCUAGUAAGGAUCCGCCUAAGGAUCAAGGUAAAGAUCCGCCCAAAAAUCCGAAUAGAAUCAAAACCAGAACCGAGACCCGAAAGGAGGGUCAAAACAAGGUAAAGAUCCAAUUAAACACUAAAGAGCCGAAUAGGACCCAACAAAAGCCUGUCGGAUCUUGGAAUGAGCUAAAUACAGGUAAUCAGGUGUUAACCCAAAUGGAUUUAGACGAUAAGGAUCCGUCCGAGGAUCCGAAUACCUCCAAGAUCCAUGGAGAAAAUACCAAGAACCAUACAGAUCUAACUAGAAACAAUGGAGAGUCACUUGGGGACCAGGGAGAAUCACCCGAGGGCCAGGAAAAACAAUCCGGGAGCUAGGGAGAGUCACCCAGGGGCCAAGGAGAACUAACCGAGAGCCAGGGAGAGCUAACCGAGAGCCAGGGAGAGCUACCCGGAACUCAAAGAGAGCCAUCUGAGAACAAUAGCGAGCCAUUUGGGAGCAAGAAAGAACCACCCAAGAAUGGAACCAUCAAGAGCCUCUCAGCAUGGAUCUCGAUGAAGUCCUGAAGGCACUAAACUGCCCUUCGAGAGACCGAAGCGAAAACCUAAACAAGAAUCCGAGCAAGGGUUUUAGCUCCGACCUGAACAAGGGCACGGAUAAAACCCUAAAUAAGGACACGAUUAUGGAUCCGAUUAAAACGGCAUACACAGACCUGAACAAGGACUUGACCAUAGACCCGAAUACAAUUGAAACAACACUUAUGGAAACCUCGGUGCCUCUCGAGCCCGCGAACCACACCCAAAGUUCGAUCCUAGCGAAAAUCUCGAACCUCCGCGAGGAAGCAACCAAAGGACCCGCUCAAUACAAGAUAAAGAGGAUAAUUGGGGAUAUCUGGAUCUACAUCUGGUCAAGCUCCCAAAAGGAACUCAAAGAAAACCCAGCAAGCUUAACAAAAUAUGCUCUAAGGUCCAGAGAACUAACAAUAGAAAUUAGAACAAAGCAUACAUGGGAUCUAAUUAAAAAACCCUAUGGGACCCAUCAGACAACUCCCCCGUAAACAAGAUCGCAAAUGGGGAAGGGCACUCGCACCCAGAGUUACACAAUAACAUUUAAAGGAAAAGUAAAAAGAAUAAGAAAAAUAAACAAGUCAAUUUGGAAGAUGAGCAUAUCGAUAUCUCCCUCAACUUUAACGAAAUAAACCACAAUGCCAAGAGGAUUCCUGAUGGUCAAUCCAGAAGUAGGUCCAAAGGGCGAAAAGCCUUAAGUGCAGAAAGUUCAGAAGCUCUAGUAUCACUAGAGCCUUCUGAUAGCAGUUAGAUAGUAACUAGAAAAUAGUAAUAAUAAUAGUAGGAAUAGUAGUAGGAUUAAAAUAAAAGUUAUCUAUUUGUCUAUAGUAUCAUGGAAUAUAAGAGGGAUCAAUGGUAAGACUUUUGAGGUUAAGAAAUUCGUUAAGAAAUAUAGGCUACUGUUUGGGUUAAUUGAAACCAACGUCAGAUAGUUUGAGUUUAGCCAUAAGAGUAGAAUAUUUGGGCCGAAUGUUAAGGUGAUAUCUAACAACCCAGAGACGACUAAAUACACAAGGGACUCGAUCUGGCUGUGUUACGAUGUCAAUCUCUAGGAGAUAUCAGACACUAUUAAAAAACAACAAUACAUUCAUGCCAAAAUGAAAAACAAAGGUAACUUAAACUUAAAUAUCACCAUAAUUUAUGGAGAUACGAACUACAAAGGCGGUCUGAAGGUCCGGGCAGGCAAGGUUGCACAUGACGCGACAAUGCUCGUAACCUUUCCAGAACCCCGUACGUUUCUCAACCAGCAUCCGGCGCCGAGCCUCGUCCUGGGACUCAACAAACUUGGCCUGGAACUUGUCGGACAAGAAGGAAAUGGCCUCGGUGCGGUCAUCUUGGGCCAACUUGUCCGUGCGCUCGAUUACCCGGGCGAGGGUCUCGUUAACCUCGGCAGCACGGGUCUCCGCCCACUCCAAUCGGGACGAAAAGCCCUGGAUCUGCCGCUCGGCGUCGACGAGACUUUGACCCAGCGUGGCCCUCUCACUGGACACCUGCUCCAACCAAACCUGAUGGGCAUCUGCGUCUUUCGAUGCCUCCGACACCGCCUGGUUACGCGCAGCCACAACGGCAGAAACCUCCCUGGACAGACGAGCGACCUGCGCAUUAAGCCGGCUACGCUCCUCCUUCAAAUCAUCAAGACCCCGUUGAAGGCGCACGUAGGCAAGGGCUGCACCACGGAGGCUGUCAAUGUAAAGGUCCUAUCGAGCGCUGAAGUGUCACGCGCGAAGAGGUCCAGGUACUCAGGCUCGUCUUGGAGAAACGGCUGGAGAUGGUUGAAGCCCUUCAGGAGUAUCCCCGCCAUCUGAGGAAGCAAAGGGGUCAACGUGCGCGGGGUCGGCGUGAUACUUGCCCGCAAGAAGAGAGGAGUUCAAGUCGGCACUGAACGCCUGGCGGGCCAACAUUCUCGCCUCCAAGUCGUAGGCGGGGUUGGAAAGGCCUCUAGGGAAGGCUUAGGUGACUUAGCCGCCUCGAUCCUCCUUUUCUCCGAGCGGACGUUACAGAGGGGGGGCUCGGCUAUAUUGUCACCGACCUCAGCGGAGCUGUUGGCGCCCAAAUCCACAAAGGAGAUAUCCUCCAGGCGGACAACGCGUGUCCUCUUCUUCUUCCGGGGAUGGGAGGCGACCUCCUCCACCUCAUCAUCGAUACGGUCCCCAGCGGGCCUCAAGUGCCCCUCAAUGGACCAACCAUGCCCGAGGCGGCCGGGCCUCACAGGACCACGGCGAGAAAUCUCAACAAGCAGGUCGUUCGUCGCCAGUUCAUCAGCACUCAGACGGUAGAAAGGAACGAUACCAGUGCGAGCCUUCAGGGUGUCCAACGGAUCCCACCCCACGGGAGUGUACUCAAGGGGCCCGAGGCAAGCCAGCUCCACAAAAAAGAAAAGAUCCCGCCACCCGUGCGACAAGGACGUUGUUCCGAUCAGUAGUCAUCGGGUAAAUGUGGAACCAGUUGAGGAACAGGGGGACAGUGGGCACAAUGUCGCAUUCCACACAAAGGGCACUGAAAGUGAGGAUACUGAUGAAGCACUGAAUCUGCUACCAGGGCUCGCGGUGGUGCGAGGUUGAUGCCGGAGGCUUUGGAGUCCACGACGCACGCUCUACGUCAAAUACCUGCAAGUGGAAACUAGGCGAUUCUAAUGAGACUCGCCGAGUUUCGUAGUGUAGUGCUCUGGUGUGAGAGUGGAACUUGAAUCGUGCCUUUGAGUGUCCCCUUGGGACCCCUUUUAUAGGGUCUCGGAGGGCGCACUCAUCGGCGGAAAUCGCGCCUAUGGUCAUAUAUGGUAACAUUUAUGACGUUGGCUGCCGCCGAGUAACGGUCGUAAGUCGCCGAUUCAGGUAUGGAAGUCGCCUAGUUAAGGGCUAACUCGGCGAGUUUCUAGGGCCAAGAUGUAUAGUCUACCAUACUGCCGAUCUUGCCUUAACUCGGCGAGUUAUCCUGUAUGUCGGCGACUUGGUAGUCCAAUCGGGCGACUUUACGGGCUAACUCGGCGAUCUGGACGAUGAACGUGUUCAGCACCGUGGGAGCUCUCCGGGGGUCCUGCCAUAGCGACGGAGCCCUAGUCCUUGUUGAGAGGCGUUGAUGGGUAGUGACUGGUGUAAUCAGGCAUGUCUCACCAGAUACGAUCCGCAGCGGCCGGAGGGAACUGCGAGAGCGACCGCCUGCAGGGACUGAUGACCGCCUGAAGAAAGGGAGAAAGCGGCAAUGUCAUGCGAGUGUCUACAUAAAGAAUGUAGACCGCGACAUGGCCAGGUGGGGGAUGCGAGGUAAAAAGUUUCCCCGACAACUGGUACUUCGGUGGGUCCUUGUACUUGUACAUCUGUCGGAGGGCAUCCUGACACAUCGAUGGGGUGACCUUAGAGAGCGGAUUCUUGGUAUCCGCUUCAGGAGAGAACAUGCAAUAAAUAAGGUCCUCGACCAAGGCGUCAGGCGAGGCAAUGGGAGUGCGAGGAUCAGACAUGAGAGGCCUGUAAGGAAAUCGUCGGAGUUUAGAGAGCAAAACAGGAAACAAAGAGCAAAAAUGGAAAGUAGUAGGAAGCGAAGUGAAGUCAGUAAUAUUUAUAAAGACGGGGGGGGUUCAGAAGACGAAGAGUAGCGAAUACCUGGAUAUCCCAAGGAAUGAGGGCCCAAUAAGACGGCCCACAUAGACACGACCAGGCCCGUAACCCAGCGCGUCCGAAAACAAGGCAUACGACGAAACACGGCGCGGCCCCGGGUCACGUCCGAAGAGCACCCGGGCCAACCGGGAUACCGAGCGACAUGACUCGAGGGGGCGGCGAUUUUGUCCAACGGUUGGUCGAGGUGAGCACAGGGCGGAAAUGUUUCGGGCAACGCCCCGACAGGGGAACCAGGCCCGGAGCCGGACAAAUCCGGCCGGCCGAAAAGGGGUCGUAGGGCCGAAGGAGCAUAGCCCGAGGGCCGAAGGGCAUCAGACGAUUACGGGAGAGGAUCGGCGGAUGAGCGGAGCUCGAGUAGAACGCGGGCCAGAUCAACAACGGGCGGUGAGGGUAAAUCAACUGUAUGAACAUUGCACGAAAGAAGAAAAGGCGUUCAAAAUUUAAAAGUGCGCAAGUACCCAAACAUAAUUUUAAGUGAUGAGAUUCAUUACAAGCCCAGAGGCAAUACAAAAUUACAGCAGAAGCCACAAGUAUAUGCCAUAAGUUACAAACUAGUGUCAAAAGCUAAACGUGCAUUAAAGAAAAAAGAGCAGCGGGAGUAAGUCGGGGGAACCAUAUGGCCUCCCUUCAGGUAAUCUCAUACCAAAGGAAGAAGAGGAGGAAGUUAUCCCCAGACGACUCAUCUACAGGGGCCUAGGAACAGGCGAGACGCUGCUCGAGGGAGGGUGUCCGAUAGCGUUCGAACAAAAGCGGCCCCUACAUCUGGCAUAAACACGGGCCUAGUGGCCCAAUUUAGGUGGCCUCGACAAAAGGUGCCGCAAAUCGGUAGCUAGAAGGGACGGGGACCCACUUGAACCGCGACGACCGCGAGAUAACCGUCGCCAGCCACCACCCACAGUCGGAGCAGCGGCAGUGGUGUCGUGUAGAGAGAAGCAGAAGCUCGAGGUCACAGCACCAGCAGCAACAUCAGAAGCGACCGGCGCACCAGAGGAUGAGGGCGCGUCGGUUUGGCGAAGCUGGGCGAGGCGGCGGUGGAUAUCGAUCGAGACGGAGUUGAGCCGCUGACUCUCCAACACAGCAACGGAGUGAAAGGCACCGGUAGGUAGCAGCAGACACUCAGUCCAAGCAGAGUGCUGGAGUUUCACAUCGUGGCCGAACUCCUCCAAAAGAUCUUGGGUGCUCAUCGUUUUCUCGUGAGAUGAGAAAGUUGGCACAUGGAGUCAGCUAUUUAUGGACAAAAAGGGGAACAAAUAACGAAGUGUCAUAAAGAAGGUAGCUGAGUGGGCAUGGAAACAGGCCGGGCGAGCCUUAACCCCCUCGGGCCCAGAGGGAGUACUGUUAGUACCAGGGCCCGUCCAGACGGACCAUGGGCCGAACAUGACUAUUGGGCCCAGAAGGCCUAAGGAAAUGUCUUAUAAAUACUUCCCCUGGUGCAACAGGGGAGAGGGUCGAUUAUUAGUGAAAGCAAUACUAGAGAGUUAUGUGUAUGAGCACCCUAGCGCAUCACAUUCUAAUAUACAAAGGGUUCAGAUUUAAAUAUCUCAUAUCUGAGAUAUCUCAGUUGAAGUUGGACCUUGGUAAACUAUUGCCAACUUUAUUUUUCUCUCCUAAUUUCUCAUCUCAAUCAGGUAUGAACAUAGGUCGGAGAGGCUGCAUAGAGGGAAGAGGUACUUGAUAAGUGAUGUACAAAUUAGUUGAUAGAGUAGAUGUAGGUAGGGAGAAAAGUCAUAGGUAAGUGUGGAAGGAAUCUUUGUUUCAUGAAGAUGUGUGCAAAAAAUAAAUAAAAAACUCUUAAUAAAGAGGACGGUUGGGAUGAUGAGGACAUGAGGUACAACAUCCAACGGUGAAUGUUUUUGAGCUUACCCUAUGUUGAACUUAGUGGAAAAAAGCUGUAUGUUAAUAAUGCAGUUUGAUAUGGGUGAUUUUCUUAUUGGCAAACAAAGCAGUGGUAAAUUUCGUUCUUCUCUCUCUCUUUACUUUUUUUGUCCUCACAUAUUUUUUGCCAUGCAGGCUACUGUUAUCGAAAUCAACUAUGCUAUUAAUUAGAGUUGCUGGUGUGCGAGGAAUGCAAGACCAUAGUUGCAGUCUUACAGAUAAUGGAGAAAUGAUAUAUAUUCCAAUUUCUUGUUUCAGAGGUAACUUUUAUGUGUACAUUACUUGGUUGAUCUGUUUAAAACUGUAAUUAGCUAGGUUUAACAUUCAUUUGCUGGGUUUUGAUGAUGUGUAGACGUAACCAAGUAAAAUAUGCUCUGAGAUAGGUCUUUGCGAGUUCAAUGGAAUCCAAGGAGUUGGGUUAGUUCACUCAUACAUGAUUUCUUAGUUACGUGUUCUUGGUUUAAUAACAUUUCUCUAUGAACACAGUAUUAUUGGCAAUUUGGCAUUGAGAGUGUGGUUGAUGGUACCGGCCUUCGAAGUGAUGUUAUGUGCAAUGUCUGUGAGAUGAGCGUUGUAUGGAUUAAAAAUCAACUUAUACAGAAUCGAACACAAGAAUCCAUAUUAAAUUACGUUAAUGAGGUGAAGAAAAAAUAUCAUUUAAUGUUUUUUUAUAGGAUUUAUAUUUGUCAUUAAGAAUAAUCCAUUGCAUUUGCAGUAGUUAUGUGAACGAUUGCCGAAUCAGCUGUUGAUUGCAGCAACCAUGCUUCUAUGCCUACUGCUUCUUUCACUAUAGGAGGCAAAAUAUUUCAACUCAAACCCGAGGAGAUAAAUCUGCAUAAUUCUCCCGACAGCAGCAUUGGGCUGGAAAGGCAUGUUGCUGAUGACCUUCUCUGCUUCUUUAAUGUAUCCAUUCUUACACAGCAAAUCCACAACACACACAAAGUGAUCCAUGUCAGGUUCAAUUCCAUAUAAGCUCUUCAUAUCUCGGAACAACAACAUUCCUUCUGCCUGGUAAGAACCCUUCUGUUUCCGCCUGUUUGAAUUUCUGCAAUGCUCAUAUUCCAUGGCCAUGAAUCCCCAAUAUAUGCUGAUAUCAGAGCUGUCCAGGAAACCAUGUUCUUUUCACCCAUUUCUUUGAAAACUUUUAAAGAGCCCUCAAGAUUUCCACAUUUCCUAUUAAUAAUUAAUUUAUUAGUAUUUAGUAUUUAUUAAUUUAUUACUACCUGUCCAGUUCUUUAUUUAGGGAUUUUAAAAUUUCAUUCUCUCCUUUGUCGCCAUCCAUUCUUUUUUUUGUCUCCACUCUCCACAGCUACUCAGGACCACAACUUUACACCUUCAUUCAUUUAAUUCUUGAUCGAUUUUUCUUUCUCUACCUUACAUAAGUCUGACACAGUUUUACACAAAUAAAAANNNNNNNNNNNNNNNNNNNNNNNNNNNNNNNNNNNNNNNNNNNNNNNNNNNNNNNNNNNNNNNNNNNNNNNNNNNNNNNNNNNNNNNNNNNNNNNNNNNNAUUUUUUAUCCACAUUCUUUAUUGUUAAAUUUGUUAUUAAUUUAAUUAUAUAUUUUUUUACAUAUAUAAUCAAUGGAUAAAUUUAUAAUAAAAAUAGAAUAUAAAUUGUCUAAUCCACAACCAUAAUAUGGAUGAUAUUUGGUUGAAUGAUAUCUUUUAAAAGGUUUUUAAAAGAUAAUGAUACGGUAUCGGUAAUGAUUGCUUUUGGGUUUUAAAAGAGAAUAAAACAUCAAUGAACAUAGAUUUUCUCAACUGGUCAAACGAAGAGGAAUAUUUAUAAAUACACUUCACUUCCAUGGAAACACGUAGUUUAAAAUAUUACACAUUACUUAAUUAGUUUCCGGGAACGAAGUUUGUGGCAUAAUUCCAUGCGUUGUUUGCGACGGGAUCAGCGAGGUGGUCUGCAAGGUUCUCCAAUGGCCCCUUUCCGGUGACGAUGGCUUGAACAUAGAAUCCGAACAUGGAGAACAUGGCUAGUCUUCCGUUCUUCAACUCCUUCACCUUCAACUCAGCGAAGGCUUCUGGGUCUUCAGCAAGGUUGAGUGGGUCGAAGCUGCCCCCGGGGUAGAGUGGGUCCUCGAUCUCUCCAAGAGGUCCACCGGCUACACGGUAUCCCUCAAUGGCUCCCAUGAGAAUCACCUGGGUGGCCCAGAUGGCAAGGAUGCUCUGAGCGUGGACCAAGCUGGAGUUACCAAGAUAGUCCAAACCACCGUCGCUGAAGAUCUGCGAACCAGCUUUGAACCAAACAGCCUCGCCGAACUUCACUCCGUUACGUGCGAGCAAUUCAGGGAAAACACAUCCAAGAGUUCCGAGCAUGGCCCAUCUGGCAUGGAUGACCUCAAGCUCACGGUUCUUGGAGAAGGUCUCGGGAUCAGCUGAGAGACCGGCAGUGUCCCAUCCGUAGUCACCGGGGAACUCACCAGUAAGGUAUGAUGGGGAUUCUCCAGAAAAUGGACCCAAGUACUUGACACGGUCGGAACCGUACCAUGGGCUACCAGACGAAACUGAUUUAUUAACUGUAUUCCUCCUCAUGGUGAUUCUUCCAACACCGA
This 89429-nucleotide long non-coding RNA is filed under the name Zostera marina. RNAcentral's name for it is "long non-coding RNA (ZMAR_LNC002014)". Lineage: Eukaryota; Viridiplantae; Streptophyta; Magnoliopsida; Alismatales; Zosteraceae. The record is from RNAcentral.